This 99187-nucleotide long non-coding RNA is filed under the name Hordeum vulgare. RNAcentral describes it as "long non-coding RNA (HVUL_LNC014740)". Lineage: Eukaryota; Viridiplantae; Streptophyta; Magnoliopsida; Poales; Poaceae. The record is from RNAcentral.
CGCACUUUAUGAACCUGGACGCGCUCAUCCUCCCUCUUUCCCUCGCUGCCGGUGAAGCUGCGGGCGAGACAGGGGAGGAGGAGGAAGAAGAAGGGGAGGUGGGGAGCUGGUUAAGAUUUGGGGCCAGAGGAGCGAGGCCCAGGGCGGGGUGUGGAGGUUAAGAUUGGGGGGGCGCGGCGCGGGGGCGGGGACAAAUGGAGGGGAGCGCGGGGGANNNNNNNNNNNNNNNNNNNNNNNNNNNNNNNNNNNNNNNNNNNNNNNNNNNNNNNNNNNNNNNNNNNNNNNNNNNNNNNNNNNNNNNNNNNNNNNNNNNNNNNNNNNNNNNNNNNNNNNNNGGGGGGGGGGGGGGAGGAGAGGGAUGCGGGGGUGCGGCCGAGGAAGCGGUCUCCGCGCCGAAUCGCUGGGUGCCUCCGCUUAGCCUGGUCGCUACGCUCGCCGAGGGAGAAGAAGAGAACCAACGGUGGGUGGGGUGGGUGGGGGUGGACACGGUGUGCGCGCGCAUCAUUUCCUUCUUUAUUACCGCCCGCUCCUGCCCGGCCCCGGCACCGGCACCGGCAGCGGCAGCAGCAGCCAUCAUCACGCCCCGCCCCAUAAUUAAUUUCCUGGCUAAUCCCGCGUGCAAACUCGUUCAUCCAUUCAUUCAUCACAGUUUUCCACCGAGUACAAAUGUUUCUUCUCAGCAAAAAAUAUUAAACUUCUGUUAUAGACAGUGCAAACAGUUGAGUGUGUGUAAUCCGAUUCCAAAUGUGGGGAGUGAGAAUCUGAUGUGUAUCCUUGGCAGGGUCAGCUGUAUCGUCAUAAANNNNNNNNNNNNNNNNNNNNNNNNNNNNNNNNNNNNNNNNNNNNNNNNNNNNNNNNNNNNNNNNNNNNNNNNNNNNNNNNNNNNNNNNNNNNNNNNNNNNNNNNNNNNNNNNNNNNNNNNNNNNNNNNNNNNNNNNNNNNNNNNNNNNNNNNNNNNNNNNNNNNNNNNNNAGUAAGGCCAGCUUGAUUGAACGUGUGGUCGAAAAGGUUGGAACGCUUAUCACGAGGCGCACAGCAAGAAUCCGUCGUAUGUGCUUGGCGGGGCUAGCUGUAUCGUCAUAAAUGUAGGAAUUGUGCUACGCUGGUCGUAAGUAAGGCCAGCUUGAUUGGCACAGAGCUCACGCGUGGUCAAAAAUGUUGUAGCGCUUACUACGAGUCAUAGUAAGAAUCCGUUGUGUAUCCUUGGUAGGGUUAGUUCUGUGGUUAUAAAUGCAGGGGUUCUGUUACGCUGGUUGUAAGUAAGGCCAACUUGAUUGGAUGUAAUCUCAUGUACGGUCAAAAAGGUUGUAAUGCUUACUAUAAGGCGGAGAGUAAAAAUCCACCGUAUUGUUGGUUGUAUGGUCAUAAAUGUAUGGGUUGUGCUAUGUUGGUCAUAAAUAAGGCUCACUUGAUUCGAUAAAGAUUUCAUUUUUUUGUCAAUAGGGUAUAACUUGUGUUUGUCUACCUUUUUCUAUCGAUUGUUCUUACUUAAGGUCUUCUAUGUUAGCUUGACUAUGUGGUUCUUUGGUAAGGUGCAUCAAGCUAGAGGACAAUGCUGACAUCAUCAUAAAUGUAGGGGUUAUGCUAUGCUGGUGGCAAGUAAGGCUAGCUUGAUUCGAUGAAGAUAUCGCUUUUCAUAGAAAAGGUGCAACGGUUGUUUCGAGCCAGCCAAUAAGGAUUCAUCGUUUGCUUGGCAGGGCUAGUUGUGUCGCCAUAAAUGCAUGAGAUGUGCUACACUAGCGAAAGUAAGGCAUGCUCGAUUCGGAAAAGGUACCACGCUUUGGCGAAGGGAUGUCACACGCGUUUAUCUAUCUGUUGCUUCUUUUAGAUUGUCCCCACUCGACAGUCAUUAAACCGCCUUUGGGAUCUCUUUGGUGUUAUGGUUUUUCAGCACUGUGCAUCAAGGAGGGCGUUUCAAAUUUGCAACGGUUGUGUGAUGAGUUAAAUUUUGCAUUAUUUUUACCUUUUAUAUUUCACCUUAGUUGUAAGAUUUGCCCGAUUUUACCACGACCGUGGACCUCUUUUGUUUGCUUUCGUCAAAAUUUCACCCAUAGAAGUACUUCGAGGUAUAAGGAGGAAAUAACAAGACUAUAGUGUAAAAUCAUGUGAAAUCUCAUGGUAAAGGCUACUAUAAAAUGAAGAAGAAAAUUGGACAAGAAAUCAGUCGCCACAAGGGCUCCAGAGCAAACAAUGACGUCUGGUACAACCACACACGCCCUUUACAUCGGUCAUACCAGCCACCGACCCAACCCAUGGCCUAGUAUUUCUACCUUGUGCGCGUAGAUCUAGAAUCAGACGCAUAUAGCCACCAGAAACCUCUCCAGAACUAAGAACCCUAGCAUUGUUCUUUGGAAGGGAAUCCAGUUCUCUUCAUACUAAAGACUGAAGUAUAAACCUUGCAUCCAUUCUCUAAGGAUUAACAAGGUUUUGAAUAGGCAAUAGGAAAAACUGCAAUGAGAGAAGGAAGCAGAUUGACUUUCAUGAUUAUAGGGCACCUACUAAACUAGAUGCAACUCACAAGAAUGAUACAACUCUAUCUAGUGAAGAUUUAGGCUUUCUUGCCUUCCACAAGCUUGUUUGUUUCUUUGUGUCUCUCACUUACACACUUCUAGGUUUAGAAGCUAUGAGAAUGUUUAAAGGCUUAUUCGAGCUAGUCUACACUAGUGAAAAAAAGCCUAGCUAUGGCAUGGCCAAACUAGCCUUGCUGGCGUGGACAUCAGACGCCGCCAAUAUUACACCACAGUUAAAAAAUAGUGAUGGCGUUGGAGCCUAUGCCAGCUGUAUAUUACAUAUUGUUGACAUCCACGUAGCCCAACGCCAGCAAUUUUUUGGAUAAUAAAAAAAGUACUUCAAAAACUAAGAGUGUAAACUUCACAAAAGGUACAGAUCAAUUAAACAUACUCAUAAACUUCAUAAGAGUUUAAAACAUACCCAACACUCUAGAUGUCGCUCUCUAUGUUCUUCAAUACAAAGUUCAUCGUAUUUUCGCGGUGAUCUAUUUGAUGUAAUCACUUUGAGCGGUGCAUUUGUUGGGAUCCGAUGAAUUGUGGGUUCAUGUUCAAAUUAUUUAUGAAAAAGAUUUGACUCUUCUCUCAGUUAUAUGAUUCUUAUUUGCAUGAUUAUUAUAGCUUCGUAAAUCUCUCAAUCUAUUGAUUUGGUUUGGUGUCGUUGUCAAAACCAACUCAUCUCGAGUAGGGGGUCCGAAUUGUGGAUCUAGAGUCAAUGGGUAACAAGAGACAAAGAAGACGAUGUUUUGCCCCGGUUCGGGCCCUCUUGAUGGAGGUAAAANNNNNNNNNNNNNNNNNNNNNNNNNNNNNNNNNNNNNNNNNNNNNNNNNNNNNNNNNNNNNNNNNNNNNNNNNNNNNNNNNNNNNNNNNNNNNNNNNNNNNNNNNNNNNNNNNNNNNNNNNNNNNNUCUUGAUGGAGGUAAAACCCUACGUCCUGCUCUUGUUGCUAUUGAUGGAGUAGUACAGAGUACAGAGUUGAUCUACUUCGAGAUGAGAUGUUGUGGUCUAAACCCUAAUCGUAAUGAGCUUAAUGUGUCCAACGAGCUAUGGCCCUGGCUUAUAUAGAUUCUAGGGGUGCUAGGGUUACACAAGGUUGGUUAUAGUAGAGAAGGAGCAUGCUGAUUACUACAUCGCCUUGGAUUGUGUGCCAAGUCUUCGGAAGAGUCCACCUUGAGUCUGAUGCUUCUACUAAUAGUCGAACCGGCCCGGAGUCCGACCAGUGAGAAUAGGCACACAACCCGAGGACCCCUUUGUCCAGACUCCCUCGGUAGCCCCUGAACUGGCCUCCAAUGCCGAAACCUUCUACCUUUGGUGACUUUAUAGGGACUCUGGCUUGCGAGGCGAGUUCCUUUCUUCCUUUAACCGAUGAUAGCUCGGUUGUCGAUGACUUCCCUCCUUCGAAUGCAUAUAUAAAUAUAUAUAUAUAUNCCGAUGAAUUGUGGAUUUAUGAUCAGACUAUCUAUGAAUCUUAUUUGAGUUUCUUCUGAUCUCUCUUAUGCAUGAUUUCAUAUCCUUGUAAUUCUCUUCGAGUUGUGGGUUUUGUAUGGCCAACUAGAUCUAUGAUUCUUGCAAUGGGAGAAGUGCUUGGUUUUGGGUUCAUACUAUGCGGUGACCUCAACCAGUGACAGAAGGGGUAGCGAGGCACGCAUCGUGUUAUUGCCAUCAAGGGUAAAAAGAUGGGGUUUUCAUCAUUGGUUUGAGAUUAUCCCUCUACAUCAUGUCAUCUUGCUUAAAGCGUUACUCUGUUCAUCAUGAACUCAAUACACUAGAUGCAUGCUGGAUAGUGGUCGAUGUGUAGAGUAAUAGUAGUAGAUGCAGAAAGUAUCGGCCUACUUGUCUCGGACGUGAUGCCUAUAUGUAUGAUCAUUGCCUUAGAUAUUGUCAUGACUUUGCGCGGUUCUAUCAAUUGCUCGACAGUAAUUUGUUCACCCACCGUAAUACUUGCUAUUUUGAGAGAAGACUCUAGUGAACACUAUGGCCCCCAGGGUCUACUCCACACCAUAUUUUCAGCCUUACACUUUUUACUUCGCUGCACUUUCCGCCUUCAGAUCUCACUUUGCAAACAAUCUUGAAGGGAUUGACAACCCCUUUGAAGCGUUGGGUGCAAGCUUGUUUGUGUUUGCACAGGUACUGUGGACUUGACGAGACCCUCCUUCUAGAUCGAUACCUUGGUUCUCAAACUGAGGGAAAUACUUACUGCUCCUGUGCUGCAUCACCCUUUCCUCUUCAAGGGAAAAACCAACGCAAGCCCAGCCUCUGUCAACGUGUCAAUUUCUGGCGCUGUUGUCUGUGAGAUAGCAGAAGGAUUUCUGGCGCCGUUGCCGGGGAGGAAUAUUAAGUCAAGAACUCAUCCAAGUAGGUGUCGCAAACUCAUCUCUUGCAUUUACUUUGUUUGCCAGUUGCCUCUCGUUUUCCUCUCCCCCACUUCACCAAUUUGCCUUUUAUCGUUCGCCUUUUUCUUCGCUUGCUUUCGGUUUGCUUGUGUGCUAUGUGCCUUCAAAAUGCUUGCAUCUUCGCUUGCUAAGAAUCUAGUGACAUGUAUUCUCAUCCACUUGCUAAUCUUUUCAAGAGGUCCAACUAUGUUGAACCCAUUGCUAGUGAGUUUUGCUCACUAGAUUAUCUUUAUGGAGUUUUGCUUGAGAUGCGUGAAUCUGAAAAUUGUGAGGAAGAAAUUUAUGAAGUGAUUCACGAGGGCUCCUUGGAUGAAAAGCAUGAUUGCAAUGGUUUCACUAUAAAUUCUAUUAGUGACAGUCAUGCCAAAUAUAUGCAAAACCCUAAGCUUGGGGAUGCUAGUUUUGCUAUGUCCACUACUUGUUGCAAUAAUCAUGAUUGGGGUGAUGAUUUUUCUUACGAUCUUGAAAAUUUGUUCAAGCCUCGUGAUGAAUAUGAUAUUUGCAAUUUUAUUGAAAGUGGGUUUGGAGACGUCAUGACUUUAGUUGAUAAUAAUCCCACUAUUUUUGAAGAGCAUCAACUUUGCAUGCAUGUGGAUCAUGAAAAGAAUAUCCUAUGUGAUAACUAUAUCGUUGAAUUCGAAUAUGAUCCCACAUGUAAUGAUUAUGAGAGAGGAAAAUAUUGUGGUAGAAACUUUCAUACCACCAAAUCACCUCUCGUUAUGUUGAGAUUGCUCUUGUCUCUUUCUUCUUCCUUGCAUAUGGCAGCUAUUGGUUGUCUUGCCAAUUUGUUCUCCUAUAAAAUGCCUAUGCAUAGGAAGUAUGUUAGACUUAGAUGUGAUUUUCACAUGCCUUAUGAUGCUCUCGUUGUGCUUCAAUUCUUGUAUUUUGUGUGAGCAUCAUUGAUUUAUCAAUGCCUAGCUAAAAGGCUUUAAAGAAAAGCGCUUGUUGGGAGGCAACCCAAUGAAUCUAUCUUUUUCUUUCUGUUUUGUUGCGUCCACUGAUGACCCACAAGUAUAUGGGAUCAAUCGUAGUCCUUUCGAUAAGUAAGAGUGUCGAACCCAACGAGGAGCAGAAGGAUUUGACAAGUGGUUUUCAGCAAGGAAAUAUCUGCACGCACUGAAAUUAUCGGUAACAAGUGAUUGUGUGGUGAGAUGAUCCAUAGCAAGCAACAAGUAACAAAAGUAGCAACGGUGCAGCAAGUGGCCCAAUCCCUUUUGUAUCAAGGGACAAGCCUGGACAAAGUCUUAUAGGAGGAAAAAUGCUCCCAAGGACACACGGGAAUUUCUGUCAUGCUAGUUUUAUCAUGUUCAUAUGAUUUGCGUUCGUUACUUUGAUAGUUUGAUAUGUGGGUGGACCGACGCUUGGGUACUGCCCUUACUUGGACAAGCAUCCCACUUAUUAUUAAACCCUCUCGCAAGCAUCCGCAACUAUGAAAGAAGAAUAAAGACAAAGUCUAACCAUAACAUUAAACUAGUGGAUCCAAAUCAGCCCCUUAUGAAGCAACGCAUAAACUAGGGUUUAAGCUUCUGCCACUCUAGCAACCCAUCAUCUACUUACUACUUCCCAAUGCCUUCCUCUAGGCCCAAAUAAUCGUGAAGUGUUAUGUGGUCGACGUUCACAUAACACCACUAGAGGAAAAAAAAACAUACAACAUAUCAAAAUACCGAACAAAUAUCAAAUUCACAUGACUAUUAUUAGCAUGACUUAUCCCAUGUCCUCACGAACAAAAGUAACUACUCACAAAGAAUAAUCAUACUCAUGAUCAGAGAGGUAAUGAGUAGCAUCAAGGAUCUGAACAUAAACUCUUCCACCAAAUAAUCCAACUAGCAUCAACUACAAAGAGCAAUCAACACUACUAACAACCUUACAAGUACCAAUCGGAGUCGCGAGACGGAGAUUGGUUACAAGUGAUGAACUAGGUUUGGAGAUGAGAUGGUGCUGAUGAAGAUGUUGACGGUGACGAGUCCCCUAUGAUGAGAGGAGUGUUGGUGAUGACGAUGGCGACGAUUUCCCCCUCCGGGAGGGAAGUUUCCCCGGCAGGAACGUCCUGCCGGAGCUCUAGAUUGAUUCUGCUCAAGUUCCGCCUCGUGGCGGCGGCGAAACCACGAAAAAGCUCCUCCUUGAUUUUUUCCUGGACAAAACCCUCCAUAUAGCAAAAGAGGAGGGCAAGUGGGCCAGCAGGGUGCCCACAAGCCCCCAUGGCGCGACCUGGGGGGUGGCCGUGCCGUACAGGCUUGUGGCCACCCCCUGGCGCCCCUCUGGCGCUUCUUCGGCCCAGUAUUUUAGAUAAAUUGGGAAAAAAAUCCCCGUUGAUUUUCACGGCCUUUGGAGUUGCGCAGAAUAGGUAUCUCAACUUUGCUCCAAUUUCAGGCCAGAAUUCCAGUUGCCGGUAUUCUCCCUCUUCAUGUAAACCUUGCAAAAUAAGAGAGAAAAGACAUAAGAAUAGUACCGUGAAGUGAAAUAACAGCCAAAGAAGCGAUACAUAUCAACAUGAAAACAUGAUGCAAAAUGGACGUAUCAACUCCCCGAAGCUUAGACCUCGCUUGUCCUCAAGCGAAAGCCUAGCUCAAUAAAUAUGUCCACAUGUUUAGGGAGAGAGGUGUCGACAAAACAAGAUACGAACAUGCAUGCAUCAUGAUCAAGAUCAAAACAGCAAUACCAACAUAUUAUCUCUCAUGCUAAAGUGACAAUUCCUUCACAAAGUAAAGCAUGGAUCAAGAACCUUACUGAGAAGUAACAACCGAUAGCCUUUAGUCAUUGAAGCAAGUGCAAUUUAUCACAACAUCGGAAAGAGUCAAAUAAGAGCUCGUAAAGCAAAUCCACAUACUCAAUCAUUCUUUCGUUCUCUACAAUUGCUACAACUCACGUGGUACUCAUGAGAUCAAAGUUUCAGCUGAACACAGAGAAAGAUAGGGGCUUAUAGUAUUGCCUCCCAACUGCUUACCUCAAGGGUAAUGUCAACAAUAACAAUUCAUGAAUGCCUACCUCCAAGUUGACAUAUGAAUAUAGAUCUUUCCCAAGCAUGUGACGAUAGCCAAGAUAAAGGCGAAAUAAGGAAUUGGUGAAGAUCACCAUGACUCUUUCAGGGACAAAAAGUAAAGGUACAAGAUAGGCCCUUCGUAGAGGGAAGCAGAGGUUGUCAUGCGCUUUUAAGGUUUGGAUGCGUGUCCUCUUAGUGCGGAGGAACGUCACUUUAUAUUGCCUCCUGUGAUAAAGAACUUUAUUAUGCAGUCUGUCGCUUUUAUGUCUUCCUCAUCACAGGUUCGUAUAAAGCUUAUUUUCCACACACUCUUAGAUCAUACAUAUUAGAGAGAAAUUUUUAUUGCUUGCACCGAUGACAACUUACUUGAGGGAUCUUAUUCAAUCCAUAGGUAGGUAUGGUCGACACUCAUGGCAAAACUGGUUUGAAGGUUUAUGGAUGCACAAGUAGUAUCUCUACUUGGUGCGGGAGUUUUGGCUAAUAUGAGGUGGAAGCAAUCGUCACAUGCUAAAGGAUCUCUAAUCAUAUAACAUUGUUCAGAGCCAAGCAAACACAAUUCAUUACGUUGUCUUCCUUGUCCAACAUCUACUUCUAGGCAUGCAAGAGUUUGGUGAGUGUUCACAAUCAUAGAUGGUGUCAGAGAUGAUAUAUUUAUAUGUGAACCACUCCUUCUUUAUCACUUCCUAUUAAUUGCAACAAUGACCAAGGUCUACGUUUGCCUACCCUCAACAUGUUUCAAUCCUCAUUCUUUUUAUAUGUGAAUCCAUCAAAGUUGAGCUCAAAGUUUGAAAUCAAAGUUGAGCUCUUUGAUUGCCCAAUAAGCUUUAUGCUCUAGCUCAAGAGGUAAAUGACAUGCUUUCCCAUACACCAUUUUGUACGGAGACAUGCCCAUGGGAUUCUUAUAGGCAGUUCUAUAAGCCCAUAGUGCAUCAUCGAGCUUCUUAGACCAAUUCUUUCUAGACCUGUUGACAGUCUUUUGCAGAAUCAGUUUAAUCUCUCUAUUACUUAGCUCUACUUGACCACUGGACUGAGGGUGAUAGGGAGACGCAAUUCUAUGGUUGACAUCGUACUUAGCAAGCGUUUUACGGAAAGCACCAUGGAUGAAGUGUGAACCACCGUCGGUCAUUAGAUAUCUAGGGACUCCAAAUCUAGGGAAGAUAACUUCUUUCAGCAUCUUGAUAGAGGUGUUGUGAUCAACACUACUAGUGGGGAUAGCUUCUACCCACUUAGUGACGUAAUCAACAGCAACUAAGAUAUGUGUAUACCCAUUGGAUUUUGGAAAAGGUCCCAUAUAAUCAAAGCCCUAAACAUCAAAUGGUUCAAUGACAAGUGAAUAGUUCAUAGGCAUUUCCUGACGUUUGCUAAUAUUACAUAUUCUUUGACAUUCAUCACACGACAAGACAAACUUACGGGUAUCCUUGAAGAGAGUGGGCCAAUAGAAACCUGAUUGCAAUACCUUGUGUGCAGUUCUAUCUCCCGCAUGGUGUCCUCCGUAGGCCUCGAAGUGACACUUCUGUAGAAUCUGUCCCUGUUCAUGUUCAGGUACACAACGUCUAAUAACACCAACUACUCCUUCCUUAUAAAGGUUAGGACCAUCCGAGAAGUAAUGUCUCAAGUCAAAGAAGAAUUUCUUCUUUUGCUGGUACGUGAAACUAGGUGGUAUAUAUUUGGCAACGAUAUAGUUCGCAUAAUCAGCAUACCACGGUGCACUACGUGAAGCAUUGAUGACAUUCAAUUGCUCAUCAGGAAAGCUAUCAUCAAUAGGUUGUGGGUCAUCAAGAACGUUCUCCAACCUAGACAAGUUAUCUGCUACUGGGUUAUCAGCACCCUUUCUGUCAACAACGUGCAAAUCAAAUUCGUGUAGCAAGAGAACCCAUCUGAUAAGUCUAGGUUUAGCGUCCUUCUUCUCCAUGAGGUACUUAAUAGCAGCAUGAUAAGUGUGAAUAGUGACUUUGGAAUCAACUAUGUAAGACCUGAACUUUUAACAUGCAAACACGACUGCUAAAAAUUCCUUUUCCGUAGUGGCAUAGUUUCUCUGGGCACUGUCUAGAUUUUUACUAGCAUAGUGAAUAACAUUCAAUUUCUUAUCAACUCUUUGCCCUAGGACAGCACCAACAGCAUAAUCACUAGCGUCACACAUGAUCUCAAAAGGUAAGUUCCAAUCAGGUGGUUGAACAAUAGGUGCAGUUAUCAAAGCCCUCUUAAGUAUUUCGAAGGCUUCCUCACAAUCCUCGUCAAAGACAAAAGGAAUAUCCUUUUGCAAGAGGUUGGUAAGAGGCCAAGAAAUCUUAGAGAAGUCUUUAGUGAACCUUCUAUAGAAACCAGCAUGACCAAGGAAACUUAUUAUCCCUUUGAUAUCUGUGGGGUAUGGCAUUUUCUCGAUUGCAUCAACCUUAGCCUUAUCGACUUCGAUACCUCUUUCAGAAAUUUUAUGUCCUAAGACGAUGCCUUCAUUAACAAUAAAGUGGCACUUCUCCCAAUUGAAGACAAGAUUGGUGUAUUUACAUCUAUGUAAGACUUGAUCAAGCUUGUGAGGCAAUCAUCAAAGGAAGACCCGUAAACGGAGAAGUCAUCCAUGAAAACCUCGACAAUCUUUUCAAAAAAGUCAGAGAAUAUAGCCAUCAUACAACUUUGAAAGGUGGCAGGUGCAUUACAUAAGCCAAAAGGCAUACGUCUAUAAGCAAAGGUACCGAAAGGGCAGGUGAAAGUGGUUUUCUCCUGAUCAGAUUGUGCAACUGGUAUUUGGGAGAAACCAGAAUAACCGUCUAGAAAGCAGAAGUGUGUGUGUUUGGACAGCCUUUCUAGCAUUUGGUCGAUAAAAGGCAAAGGGUAAUGGUCUUUCCUAGUGGCUUUAUUCAAUUUCCUAAAAUCGAUCACCAUCCUAUAGCCAGUAAUAAUCCUUUGUGGGAUCAAUUCAUCCUUAUCAUUAGGGACAACGGUAAUGACUCCCUUCUUAGGGACGCAAUGCACGGGACUCACCCAAUCGCUAUGAGCAACAGGAUAGAUGAUACCUGCUUCCAGGAGCUUUAGUAUUUCUUUUCUCACUACUUCUUUCAUCUUAGGAUUUAAUCUCCUUUGAUGAUCAGCAACUGGUUUGAAAUCAGGAUCGGUUUUAAUCUUUUGCUGGCAUAGGGUAGGACUAAUGCCCUUAAGAUCAUCAAGAGUAUAUCCAAUAGCAGCACGGUGCUUCCUCAGAGUUUUUAGUAACUUCUUUUCUUCUUGCUCCGAGAGGCUAGCACUAAUAAUAACAUGAUAUAUCUCUUUUUCAUCAAGAUAGGCAUACUUAAGAGUAUCAGGCAACUGUUUUAGCUCGAACACAGGAUCACCCUUUGGUGGGGGUGGAUCCCCAAGCAGUUCAACACGCAGGUUAUUCUUAUGGAUAGGAUAUUGUUCUAAGACAACUCUAUCUAUCUCAUCCCUUUCAUCCAUAUGCAUAUCAUUUUCAUGCUCAAGCAAGUAUUUCUCCAAGGGAUCAGUAGGAGGCACGGCAAUAGAAGCUAAGGCAAUAAUUUCAUACCUACUAGGCAACUCCUUUUCAUGAGGUUGUCUACCAAACUUAGAGAAAUUGAACUCAUGUGACACACCUUCAAAGCCAACAGUGACAGUUUGUUUCUCACAAUCAAUAUGAGCAUUGAGAGUAUUGAGAAAGGGUCUACCAAAUAUGAUGGGACAAAAGCUAUCUUGUGCAGUAGCAAGAACGAGGAAAUCAGCAGGAUACUUCGUUUUACCACACAAGACUUCAGCAUCCCUAACAAUUCCCACAGGUCAGAUAGUAUCUCUAUUGGCAAGCUGAAUAGUGACAUCAAUAGGUUCUAUCUCAACGGGUGCAAUCUCAUCUUUGAUUUCAUCAUAUAAGGAGUGAGGUAUUGCACUAACACUAGCACCCACGUCACAUAAGCCAUGAUAACAAUGAUCUCCUAUCUUAACAGAAACCACAGGCAUGCCAACAACAGGCCUAUGUUUGUCUCUAGCGUGAGGUUUAGCAAUUCUAGCAGCAUCUUCACAGAAGUGAAUAUCAUGUCCCUCAACUUCUUCAGACGGAAGAUCUUUGAUAAUAGCAAUGCUAGGUUCAACUCUAAUUUUCUCAGGGGGUGUAGGUGUUCUAAUAUAGCCUCUACGUAUCACAGUUGAACCUUUAGAAUGAUCCUUUAUCCUAACAGGGAAAGGUGGUUUCUCAAUGUAAGCACUAGGAACAACAGGAUCAUUAUAGACAAUGACUUUCUCUUCAACUGGAGUGGGUUUAACUACAUUGACUUCUAAAGGAGGAUGAUAUUUAAACCACUUCUCUUUGGGGAGAUCAAUAUGAGCAGCAAAGGAUUCACACAAUGAAGCUACUAUCUCAGAGUCAAGUCCAUACUUAGCGCUAAAAUCACUAAAGGUAUUUGUCUCAACAAAGGAUUUAAUGCAAUCAAACGUGAAAUUCAUACCUGACUCCUUACCUUCUUCAAGCUCCCAAUCUUCAGAGUUGCGUUUAAUUCUCUCCAAUAAAUUCCACUUGAAGUCAAUAUCUCUCUUCAUAAAAGAACCGGUAGAAGAAGUGUCAAGCAUGGUGCGAUCAUCAUGAGAAAGCCGAGCAUAGAAGUUCUGAAUGAUAAUUUCUCUCGAGAGCUCAUGAUUGGGGCAUGCAUAUAGCAUUGAUUCAAGCCUCUCCCAAGCUUGAGCGAUGCUUUCUCUUUCACGAGGCCAAAAAUUGUAAAUAUAAUUCCGAUCACGAUGUACUAAAUGCAUAGGAUAAAACUUUUGAUGAAAUUCGAAUUUCAACCGAUUGUAGUCCCAUGAUCCAGUAUCAUCACAUAGCCUAUACCAUUCAAAGAUAAAGGAAAGACCUUCUUCUUGACCUCAUCCUCGGGCACACCUGCAAGCUUAAAUAAAGCACAAACUUCAUCUACAUAGAUCAGAUGCAAGUUUGGAUGAGAUGUUCCAUCUCCUGUAAAAGGAUUAGCCAGCAGUUUCUCAAGCAUACCCGAAGGAAAUUCAAAGCAAAUAUUUUCAGUAGGUGCAGCAGGUUGAGGAGCAACUAUUUGUGCUUCCGUCUGAGGUGAAGAUACCCCGAACAAGCCCCUCAAAGGAUUAGUAUCCAUAGUGACCAGUGACAAUAAAUUUCAGCACACUAUAUGAAUGUUUCCUUACCAAGUUCCACUUACCAAAGACGCUUCACUCCCCGGCAACGGCACUAGAAAAGAGUCUUGAUGACCCACAAGUAUAUGGGAUCAAUCGUAGUCCUUUCGAUAAGUAAGAGUGUCGAACCCAACGAGGAGCAGAAGGAUCUGACAAGUGGUUUUCAGCAAGGAAAUAUCUGCAAGCACUAAAAUUAUCGGUAACAAGUGAUUGUGUGGUGAGAUGAUUCGUAGCAAGCAACAAGUAACAAAAGUAGCAAUGGUGCAGCAAGUGGCCCAAUCCCUUUUGUAGCAAGGGACAAGUCUGGAGAAAGUCUUAUAGGAGGAAAAACGCUACCAAGGACAUACGGGAAUUUCUGUCAUGCUAGUUUCAUCAUGUUCAUAUGAUUCGCGUUCGUUACUUUGAUAGUUUGAUAUGUGGUUGGACCGGCGCUUGGGUACUACCCUUACUUGGACAAGCAUCCCACUUAUGAUUAAACCCUCUCGCAAGCAUCCGCAACUACGAAAGAAGAAUAAAGACAAAGUCUAACCAUAACAUUAAACUAGUGGAUCCAAAUCAGCCCCUUAUGAAGCAACGCAUAAACUAGGGUUUAACCUUCUGCCACUCUAGCAACCCAUCAUCUACUUACUACUUCCCAAUGCCUUCCUCUAGGCCCAAAUAAUGGUGAAGUGUUAUGUAGUCGACAUUCACAUAACACCACUAGAGGAAAAACAACAUACAACAUAUCAAAAUACCGAACGAAUACCAAAUUCACAUGACUAUUAUUAGCAUGACUUAUCCCAUGUCCUCAGGAACAAAAGUAACUACUCACAAAGCAUAAUCAUACUCAUGAUCAGAGAGGUAAUGAGUAGCAUCAAGGAUCUGAACAUAAACUCUUCCACCAAAUAAUCCAACUAGCAUCAACUACAAAGAGCAAUCAACACUACUAACAACCUUACAAGUACCAAUCGGAGUCGCGAGACGGAGAUUGGUUACAAGUGAUGAACUAGGUUUGGAGAUGAGAUGGUGCUGAUGAAGAUGUUGACGGUGACGAGUCCCCUAUGAUGAGAGGAGUGUUGGUGAUGACGAUGGCGACGAUUUCCCCCUCUAGGAGGGAAGUUUCCCCGGCAGGAUCGUCCUGCACGAGCUUUAGAUUGAUUCUGCUCAAGUUCCGCCUCGUGGCGGCGGCGAAACCACGAAAAAGCUCCUCCUUGAUUUUUUUUCCUGGACGAAACCCUCCAUAUAGCAAAAGAGGGGGGCAGGUGGGCCAGCAGGGUGCCCACAAGCCCCCAUGGCGCGGCCUGGGGAGGUGGCCGCACUGUGCAGGCUUGUGGCCACCCCCUGGCGCCCCUCUGGCGCUUCUUCGGCCCAGUAUUUUUGAUAAACUGGGAAAAAAAUCCCCGUUGAUUUUCACGGCGUUUGGAGUUGCGCAGAACAGGUAUCUCAACUUUGCUCCAAUUUCAGGCCAGAAUUCCAGUCACCGGUAUUCUCCCUCUUCAUGUAAACCUUGCAAAAUAAGAGAGAAAAGGCAUAAGAAUAGUACCUUGAAGUGAAAUAACAGCCAAAGAAGCGAUAAAUAUCAACAUGAAAACAUGAUGCAAAAUGGACGUAUCAUCCACACUAUCACAAUUCUUUUGUGAUUGUGUUUUUUGUGUUUCUUUUUGUGUUUGAGCCAAGCAAAACCUUUAUGACUAGUCUUCGUGAUGGUUGUUUGAUCGUGCUUGAAAAAGACAGAAACUUUUCGCUCACGAGAUGAUUUUUCAUUUUUAUUCAGUAAGAGAUUUUGAGUUGAUUCUUUUUUCUACUGAUUGAUAUGCUUUUAUCCCAGGCCGUCGUAACUUUUCAGAUUUUUUGAGGUACUAGAAGUAUACGAAGUAUACAGAUUGCUACAGACUGGUCUGUUUUUGACAGAUUCUGUUUUUGUUGAGUUGGUUGCUUGUUUUGAUGAAACUAUGGUUAGUAUUGGGGGGUACUAGCCAUGGAAAAGUGAGAAUACAGUAGCCCAUCACCAAUAUAGAUGGAAUUCAAGUUUUCUACAGUAUCAAAAGAAGUGGUGGUUUGUUUUCUUGUACUAAUGUUAUCACAAGUUUCUGUUUAAGUUUUGUGUUGUGAAGUUUUCAAGUUUUGGGUAAUGUUCUCAUGGACAAAGAGACAAGGAGUGGAAAGAGCUCAAGAUUGGGGAUGCCCAAGGCACCCCAAUCCAAAUUCAAGGACACCAAAAAGCCUAAGCUUGGGGAUGCCCCGGGAAGGCAUCCCCUCUUUUGUCUUCAAUCCAUCGGUAACAUUACUUGGAGCUAUAUUUUUAUUCACCACAUGAUAUGUGUUUUUUCUUGGAGCGUCUUGUAUCUUAGGAGUCUUUUCUUUUUGUUGUGUCACAAUCAUCCUUGCUGCACACCUUUUUUUAGAGAGAGAGACAUGCACUCAUCGUGAUUUUGCUAGAAUGCUCAUAGUGCUUCACUUAUAUCUUUUGAGCUAGAUACUUUUGCUCUAAUGCUUCACUUAUAUCUUUUGAGCUAUAUACUUUUGCUCUUGUGCUUCACUUAUAUCUUUUAGAGCACGGCGGUGCGUGAUUUGGUAGUUGGUUUAUGCUAUGAAAGUAGUCCCAAAUGUGCUAGGUACCCAAAGAGGAUGCAAAAACCUCCAUCUUCAUGUGCAUUGAGUAGAAAGAGAAGUUUCGAUUCCUCUCAAUUAGUUUUGAGACAUGGAUUCAGUAAUAUUAAAAGUUAUGUUAGUAGGGUGUUGUGAAUCUAGAAAUACUUGUGUUGGAGUUAGUGAUUCCCGUAGCAUGCACGUAUGGUGAACCGCUAUGUUAGGAAGUCGGAGCAUAAUUGAUCUAUUGAUUGUCAUCCUUUGUGUUGAGGUCGGGAUCACGCGAUGGUUUACACCUACCAACCAUUCCCCUCGGAGUAUGCGUUUAGCACUUUGUUUCGAUUACUAAUAAAAACUUCUACAACAAGUAUGUGAGUUCUUCAUGACUAAUGUGAGCCCAUGGUAUAGAUGCACUUUCACCUUUCACCAUUGCUAGCCUCUCUAGUGCCGCGCAAUUCUCGCCGGUGCACAAACCCACCAAAUUCCUUCCUCAAAACAGCCACCAUAUCUACCUACUAUGGCAUUUUCAUAGCCAUUCCGAGAUAUAUUGACAUGCAACUCCCACCUUUCCGUCUCAUGACUUGUGUCGUCACUCUCAUAUUGCCAUUGCAUGAUCGUAAGAUAGCUAGAAAGAUGUUUCAACGGCAUACGCCAUGCUAGAUCGUUGCACAUCCCGGUACACUGCCGGAGGCAUUUCCUAUGGAGUCAUCAUCAUUGUGAUCUUUGAGCUAUGAAUAAAUAAAAGUGUGAUGAUCAUCAUUAUUAAAGCAUUGUCCCAUGUGAGGAAAUUAAAAAAAAAGAGGCCAAAGAGCCCAAAAAAAGAGAAAAAAGAGAGGCUAAGAGCCCAAACGAAAAAAGAGAGAAAAAGAGAGAAGGGACAAUGCUACUAUCUUUUUCCACACUUGUGCUUCAUGUUAGCACUAUGUUCUUCAUGAUUGAGAGCUUCUUGCUUUGUCACUACCAUAUGCUAGUGGGAAUCUUCAUUUUAUAACUUGGCUUGUAUAUUCCAAUGAUGGGCUUCCUCAAAAUUGCCCUAGGUCUUCGUGAGCAAGCAAGUUGGAUGCACACCCACUAGUUUUCCUUUUGAGCUUUCACAUACUUAUAGCUCUAGUGCAUCCUUUGUAUGGCAAUCCCUACUCAUUCACAUUGAUAUCUAUUAAUGGGCAUCUCCAUAACCUAUUGAUACGCCGAGUCAGUGUGACCAUCUCCUCCUUUUUUUUGUCUCACAACCACCACCACACUCUAUUCCACCUAUAGUGCUAUAUCCAUGGCUCAAGCUCAUGUAUUGCGUGAUAGUUAUAAAAAGUUUGAGAAAGUAAGAGUGCGAAAACAAUUACUUGGCCAAUUCCGGGGUUGUGCAUGAUUUACAUUAGUUGUGUGAGGAUGAUGGAGCAUAGCCAGACUAUAUGAUUUUGUAGGGAUAACUUUCUUUAGCCUUGUUAUUUUGAAAGUUCAUGAUUACUUUGCUAGUUUGCUUGAAGUAUUAUUGUUUUCAUGUCAAUAGCAAACUAUUGCUUUGAAUCGUACGGAUCUGAACAUUCAUGUCACAUGAAAGAAGUUGCAAAGGACAACUAUGCUAGGUAGCAUUCCACAUCAAAAAUUUAUUCUUUAUCACUUCCCUACUCGAGGACGAGCAGGAGUUAAGCUUGGGGAUGCUUGAUACGUCUCCAACGUAUCUAUAAUUUUUGAUGGUUUCAUGCUAUUAUCUUGUCAAACUUUGGAUGUUUUGCAUGCCUUUUAUUUAUUUUUUGGGACUAACUUAUUAACUUAGUGCCAAGUGCCAGUUCCUGUUUUUUCCAUGUUUUUGACCCCUUUCAGAGGAGAUUUUGAAACAGAGUCCAAACGGAAGAAAAUCUCCGAAAAUAUUUUUUCUGGAACGGAAGAAGAUCGGGGAGCUUGGGAGCCAAGGCACGGGAGCCCCAGGGGCCCCACAAGCCCCCAACCUGCGUCCAGGGGGGAGGUCGCGCCAUCCAGGCUUGUGGGCCCCCUGAGCGUCCCCUGACCUAGGGGUUGCGCUUAUAUAUUCCCUAAAAAUCCCAAAAAAAUCAGGAGAUCAUCGAAAGUACUUUUCCGCCGCCGCAAGCUUCUGUCUCCGCAAGAUCCCAUCUGGGGCACGUUCUGGUGCCCUGCCGGAGGGGGGAUUCGGACACGGAGGGCUUCUUCAUCAACACCAUGACCUCUCCGAUGAUGCGUGAGUAGUUCACCAUAGACCUACGGGUCCAUAGCUAGUAACUAGAUGGAUUCUUCUCUCUCUUGGAUCUUCAAUACAAAGUUCUCCAUGAUCUUCAUGGAGAUCUAUCCGAUGUAAUCUUCUUUUGCGGUGUGUUUGUCGAGAUCCGAUGAAUUGUGGAUUGAUGAUCAGAUUAUCUAUGAAUCUUAUUUGAGUUUCUUCUGAUCUCUCUUAUGCAUGAUUUCAUAUCCUUGUAAUUCUCUUCGAGUUGUGGAUUUUGUCUGGCUAACUAGAUCUAUGAUUCUUGCAAUGGGAGAAGUGUUUGGUUUUGGGUUCAUACUGUGCGGUGACCUCACCCAGUGACAGAUGGGGUAGCGAGGCACGCAUCAUGUUGUUGCCAUCAAGGNNNNNNNNNNNNNNNNNNNNNNNNNNNNNNNNNNNNNNNNNNNNNNNNNNNNNNNNNNNNNNNNNNNNNNNNNNNNNNNNNNNNNNNNNNNNNNNNNNNNNNNNNNNNNNNNNNNNNNNNNNNNNNNNNNNNNNNNNNNNNNNNNNNNNNNNNNNNNNNNNNNNNNNNNNNNNNNNNNNNNNNNNNNNNNNNNNNNNNNNNNNNNNNNNNNNNNNNNNNNNNNNNNNNNNNNNNNNNNNNNNNNNNNNNNNNNNNNNNNNNNNNNNNNNNNNNNNNNNNNUAAUAGUAGUAGAUGCAUAAAGUAUCGGUCUACUUGUCUCGGACGUGAUGCCUAUAUGUAUGAUCAUUGCCUUAGAUAUCGUCAUGACUUUGCGUGGUUCUAUCAAUUGCUCGACAGUAAUUUGUUCACCCACCGUAAUACUUGCUAUUUUGAGAGAAGCCUCUAGUGAACACUAUGGCCCCCACGGUCUACUCCACACCAUAUUUUCAGCCUCACACUUUUAACUUCGCUGCACUUUCCGCCUUUAGAUCUCACUUUGCAAACAAACUUGAAGGGAUUGGCAACCCCUUUGAAGCGUUGGGUGCAAGCUUGUUUGUGUUUGCGCACGUACUCUGGACUUGACGAGACCCUCCUUCUGGAUCGAUACCUUGGUUCUCAAACUCAUGGAAAUACUUACCGCUCCUGUGCUGCAUCACCCUUUCCUCUUCAAGGGAAAAACCAACGCAAGCCCAACCUCUGUCAAUGUGUCAAUUUCUGGCGCUAUUGUCUAUGGGUAGCAACGUUCCAUCAUGGAGUUCAUGUCCCCAUUUUCCAGGGAUAUGGUUUAUGGUUUGGGUUAUCCCACGCGCCCAUAAUCGCACAUUUUUAUCAGGAAAUGAUGGUGUUUACAGCAGAGUGGUGAGGCUUUUGGUAUUUAGGCAAGCCAUAAAAGGAGAAACCGUCGCCUGAGCCCCUUCACACACCUUAGAUAUCGCAACGCCAUUGCCAUUCCCUGCCACUCAAGCCGCUCAAACUCCACCCUAACCGUCGACCCUCCUUGGAGGAGGGGCCAAGGGUUGCGACCUAACCCUACCCCUUGCCUCCUAUAUAUAGUUAGGAGAGGGGGGCUGGACACAACAACUCCCACGCCAUGCGGCCUCCCCUCUCUCCCAUUUUUCCUCCUUCACGGUUCCGGAGGCGCUUGGGGAAGCCCUGCUAGGAUUGCUCCUCCACCACGCCGUCAUGCUGGUUGAGAUCACAUCUACUUGUGCUUCCUCUCUUGUUGGAUCAAGAAGGAGGAGAUGUCAUCGAGUCGCACGUGUGCUGAACACGAAGGUGUCAUCUGUUCGGCGCUAGAUCGCGAUUGGAUCGUGAAGAGUACGACUACAUUAAUCGUGUUAUAUACGCUUCUGCUUAGCGAUCUACAAGGGUAUGUAGAUGCACUCCCCCUCUCGUAGUUGUUAAUCUCCAUAGAUAGAUCUUGAGUGCGCGUAGGAAUUUUUUUGUUUCCAUGCAACGUUCCCCAACAUGGAACGAUGUUCACUGGUUAAAAAUAUCCUUAAGUACCUCAAGAGGACUAAGGAAAUGUUUCUCGUUUAUGGAGGUGAAGAAAAGCUCAUCGUAAAGAGUUACGUUGAUGCUAGCUUUGACACUGAUCCGUGUGACUCUAAGUCUCAAACGAGAUACAUAUUUAUUUUGAAUGGUGGAGCAGUCAGCUGGAGUAUCUCCAAGCAGAGCAUUGUAGCUGCAUCAACAUGUGAGGGAGAAUAUAUAGUUGCUUCAGAAGCAGCGUAGGAAGGAGUCUAGAUGAAGGAGUUCAUUCCCGAUCUAGGUGUGAUUCCUAGUGCAUCGGAUCCCAUGACUAGCUACUGUGACAACACUAGUGUCAUUGCCAUUGCCGAGGAGCCAAGGUUUCACAAUAAACUAAGCAUAUCAAAUGUCGCUUUAACUCCACAUGACUAUGUCAGGUAAGGAUACAUAGAGAUUUGCAAAGUUCAUACGAAUGUAAAUGUCGCAGACUUGUUGACCAAACCUUUUUCAUGAACAAAACAUGAUCAACACCAGGAUUCCAUGGGUUUUAGAUUCAUUAUGAUGUAAACUAGAUUAUUGACUCUAGUGCAAGUGGGAGACUGCUAGCAAUAUGCCCUAGAGGAAAUAAUAAAUUUGUUAGUAUCAUAUUUUCUUGUUCUUGAUAAGUGUUUAUUCUCCAUGCUAUAAUUGUAUUAACUAGAAACUCAAAUUCAUGUGUGGAUACAUAAACAAACAUUUGUGUCCCUAGUAAGCCUUUACUUGACUAGCUCGUUGAUCAAAGAUGGUUAGGAUUUCCUAACCAUAGGCAUGAGUUGUUAUUUAAUAAUGGGAUUACAUCACUAGGAGAAUGAUGUGAGAGAAAAAAUCAAUCAUAAGCUUAGCAUCUGAUCAUGUCACUUAGUUUAAUUGAUAUAGAUUUCUCAAUGUCAAGUACCCAUUCCUUAGAUUAUGAGAUCGUGCCACUCCCUAAUACCGGAAGAAUACUUUGUAGGUAUCAAACAUCACUUCAUAACUCGGUGAUCAUAAAGCUGCUCUUCACGUAUCUCAUAAAGUAUUUGUUGGGUUGCAUGGAUCGAGACUGGGAUUUAUCACUCCAUGUGACAAAGAGAUAUCUCUGGGUCCUCUCGAUAAUUCUACAUCCUAAGUAGCUUGCAAGCAUGUGACUACUAUGUUUAGUCAUGAGAAUAUUGUCGGGGAACGUUGCAUGGGAAACAAAAAAAUUCCUACGCACACGAAGACCUAUCAUGGUGAUGAUCAUCUACGAGAGGGAGAUCGGAUCCACAUAUCCUUGUAGAUUGCUAAGUGGGAAGCGUUAAGAAACGUGGUUGAUGUAGUGGACCGCCUUCGCGAUCCAAAUCGCCGCCGUCCCACGAUCCGUCCCGAUCUAGCGCCGAACGAACGACACCUCCCCAUUUAACACACGUACAUCUCGACGAUGAUCUCCGCCUUCUUGAUCUAGCAAGAGGGGGAAGCGAGGUAGAUGAGCUCUCCGUCAGCGUGACAGCGUGACGGCGAUGGUGGUGGAGCUAGUCCAGCAGGGCUUAGCCUAAGCACCGCUGAAAACUAGACUAGAGGAGAAACGGAUCUAGAGAGAGGGCAGCACGUGGCUGAUUAUUGUGUCUCAAAACCCCUCAAAACCUAUAGUAUAUAUAGCAGGAGAGGAGAGGAGGCUGCCUUGGCCCCUCCUCCAAGGAGAGGGGUCGGCCGAACCAAAGGAGGAGUCCACCUCCUUGUGGGAAGGUGGACUACUUUGGGAGGACUCCUCCUUUCCCUUCCUUUUAAAAGUUCUUUGCCUUUUAUCUAUUCUCCUAUCCGCAUGGGCCAUUGAGAAAGGCUUUGGCCAGCCCACCAGGGGCUGGUACACCUCUUCUCACAGCCCACAAGGCUCUUGGGUCAUCACACCCCUCCCGAUGGUCCCCCGGCACCCUCCCGGCACUCCCGGUACACUAUCGAUAAGCCUAAAACUUUUCUGGUGACCAAAACAGGACUUACUGUAUAUCAAUCUUUACCUUUGGACCAUUCCGUAGCUCCUCGUGACGUCCAUGAUGUUAUCCGGGACUUUGAACAACCUUUGGUCACCAACACCUAUAACUCAACUAUACCGAAACAUCAUGAAACCUUAAGUGUGCAGACCCUGCGGGUUCGAGAACAAUGCAGACAUGACCAAGACACUCUCCGGUCAAUAUCCAAUAGCGGGACCUGGGCGUCCAUAUUGGAUCCUACAUAUUCUAUGAAGAUCUUAUCGGUUGAACCUCUAUGUCAAGGAUUCACACAAUCAUGUAUACCAUUCCCUUUGUCCUUCGGUAUGUUACUUGACCGAGAUUCGAUCGUCGGUAUCGACAUACCUAUUUCAAUCUCGUUACCGACAAGUCUCUUUACUCAUUCUGUAAUACAAGAUCCCAUGGCUAACUCUUUAGUCACAUUGCUUGCAAGGCUUGUUUGUGAUGUUGUAUUACCGAGUUGGUCCCGAGAUACCAAUCCAUCACACGGAGUGACAAAUCCCAGUCUUGAUCCAUGCUAACUCAACGGACACCUUCGAAGAUACUUGUAGAGAAUCUUUAUAGUCACGCAAUGAUAACCCACAAGUAUAGGGGAUCGUUUGUAGCCUUCUUCGAUAAAUAAGAGUGUUCAAUCCAACGAGGAGCUAAAGUCAGAACAAAUAUUCCCUCAAGUUCUAUCGACCGCCAAUACAACUCUACGCACGCUUGACGUUUGCUUUACCUAAAACAAGUAUGAAACUAUUUUGCAAGAACAAAACUACGAGUUCUUUGCGAGAAUAAAACUAAGAAUAAAUUGCAAGGUAAUAAAAGUGGAUAGCUUUUGUCAACAAGAAAGUCAUUUGUCCCUAGGAAAUCGAUAACAAGUACCGGUAAUCAUUCUUGCAAUUUUAUAUGAGGGAGAGGCAUGAACUAACAUACUUUCUCUGCUUGGAUCAUAUGCACUUAUGAUUGGAACUCUAGCAAGCAUCACAACUACUAAAGAUCAUUAAGGUCGUGAAACCCAACCAUAGCAUUAAGUAUCAAGUCCUCUUUACUCCCAUACGCCAUAACCCACUUAUUCGCGUUUAGGCUGUUGUCACCCCGCAACACCGACAAUAAGCAAACCAUGAACAUAUUGCAACACCCUAUAGCGGGCGGCCCUCAUGUUUGGUGACAUAGAGGGCACCAUAGUACAACACCAUAAAUAAAAUAUACAAUCAUACCAACCAAUAUCACGAUUAACCCAUAGGACAAAACGGAUCUACUCAAACAUCAUAGGAUAGCCAAAUAUCAAUGGGAAAUAAUAUAUGGGGUUGAGAACCAUGUUUAAGUAGAGAUUACAGCAUAGAUAAGGGGUGUUACACCGCUGCAUAGAGGGGGAGAAAGUUGGUGUUGACGGUAGCAAGGUUGUUGAUGUAGAUCGUCGUCACGAUCCUAGCCCCGGCGGCACUCCGACACCACCGAGAGAGAGGGAGAGAGAGAGACCCCCACCUUAUUCUCCUUCCUUGGCCUCCCCCUAGAUGGGAGGAGAGUUCCCCCUAUGGUCCAUGCCCUUCAUGGAGGCGUAGGGGAGAGAGCCCCUCCGAGAUUGGAUCUCCUUCUCUGUUCUCUUCUGUUUCGCGCUUCCCAGAUCUGGCCCUUCACUGUUUCUUAAAUUCCCAUAUAUCCGUAACUCUGAUUGUGCUGAAAUUUUUACACUAUUUUUUUCCAUAAAUUAUCUUUCUUGCGCCAGAAGAAGGGCUCCAACCAACGUUCUAGGAGGGCACAAGAUACUAGGGCGCGCGUGGGGCCUGUGGCGCUCCCUGGUGGGUUGUGGACUCUAUGGGCCCCCGUUUGCGUUUAUUCCACCUCCCAAAAAUCACAUCAAUUCCAAAAUAAUUAUCCGUAAAUUUUUAUCAUGUUUGGACUUCAUUUGAUAUGGAUUUUCUGCAUACAAAAAACAUGCAAAAAAUAGGAACUGGCACUGGGCACUGGAUCAAUAGGUUAGUCGCAUAAAUCAUAUACAAAGUUGCCAAAAUUAUGUGAAAGUUGUAUAAUAUUGGCAUGAAACAAUCGAAAAUUAUAGAUACAACAGAGACGUAUCAUCAUCCCCAAGCUUAACUCAUGCUCGUCCUCGAGUAGGUAAAUGGUAGAAAAAUGAUGUGGAAUGCUACCUAGCAUAAACUUGAUCAUAUAUCUAAUCAUGACAUGAAUAUUAAGACAUAAGUGAUUCAAAGUAAUAAUCUAUAAUUUGACAUAAAGAGAACAAUACUCAGGCAUCCCAAUAAACAAUCAUGUAUUUCAAAAUAUCAACGCUAAAGAAAGCUAUCCCUACAAAGUCAUAUAAUCUUGUCAUGAUUUGUCUUCUUAACACAAAGUAUAAAUCAUGUACUAUCCCGGUGUCAGCCAAGCAAUUGGUUCAUACUAUUUAACGCGCUUCAGCUUUUUCAACCCUCACGCAAUACAUGAGCGAAAACCAUGGAUAUAGCACUAUGGGUGGAAUAGAGUAUGAUGAUAGGGGUAAAUAUAAAGAAGCCAAAAAAGUAAUAAAGUCUCACAUCAACGCGGCUAACCAACGGGCUAUGGAGAUGCCCAUCAAUUGAUAUCAAUGUGAGGAGUAAGGGUUGUCAUGCAAUGAAUGCACUAAGAGCUAUAAGUGUAUGGAAUCUCCAUAUGAAAACUAAGUGGGUGUGCAUCUAAUCCUAUAAUGAAAAAUUCCCACCGGUAUAUGAAAGUGACAAAAUAGGAGACUCUCCAUAUGAUAAACAUGGUACUACUUUGAAGCACAAGUGUGGAACUAGCAUCCCCCUUCUCUGUCUUUUUUCUUCUUUUUUUAUUUCUUUCUUUUCUAUAUUUUUUCUUUUUUUAUAUUUUUUUCUCUCAUUGUCCCGAGUCUCAUCCCGACUUGUGGGGGAAUCAUAGUCUCCAUCAUCCUUUCCUCACCGGGACAUGCUCUAAUAAUGAAUAAUGAUGAUCAUCACACUUCUAUUUACUUAUAACUCAAAAGGAAUAAAAAUUACAACUCGAUACCUAGAACAAAAUAUGACUCUACAUGAAUGCCCCUGGCAGUGUACCAGGAUGUGCAAUGAUCUAGCGUAACAUGUAUAAAAAUGAUGCACGGUGGUUGAGCCACGACUACUAUGCCAGCUAUAUGAUCAUGCAAAGCAAUACGACAAUGAAUGCUCAAGUCAAACGGAGGCGGUGGAAAUUGCAUGACAAUAUAUCUCGUAAUGGCUAUGGCAAGGCCAUAAUAGGUAGGUAUGGUGGCUAUUUUAAGGAAGAUAUAAUAAGACUUAUGUGUGAUAGAGCGUAUCAUAUCACGGGGUUUGGAUGCACCGGCGAGGUUUGCACCACGUCUCGAGGUGAGAAAGGGCAAUGCACGGUACCAUAGAGGCUAACAAAUUGCGGAAAGGUAAGAGUGCAUACAAUCCAUGGACUCACAUUAGUCAUAAAGAACUCAUAUACUUAUUGCAAAAGUUUAUUAGCCCUCUAAGAAAAGUACUACUACGCAUGCCCCUAGGGGGGAGGUUGGUAGGAGUUAACCAUCGCGCGCCCCGACCUUCACACAAAGAUAGACAAUCAAGGAUAAAUUGUGCUCCAACUUCCGGCAUAACGAGAGACUAUACGUGCAUGCUUCGGGAAUCACAAACCUUAACACCAAUAUUCUUACUAACCACAACCGUUUACUAGUACCUCCCACAUAUUUCAUCUCUAUAUCUCAAAACUACCGCAAGGAAUCAAACAUAUCAUAUUCAGUGAUCCAUAAGUUUUAUGUAGGAUUUUAUGACUAACCAUGCAAAUGACCAAUUCUUGUUGACUCUCUAAAUAGAUAUAAGUGAAGCAUGAGAGUUUAAUUCUUUCUACAAAAGAUCAUGCUCUAAUAAGUAUAAGUGAAUCAAUAGAGCAUUCUACAAACAACGGUUUUUUAUGUGAAGAGAAACAGGCAAUCCAAACUUCAAAUGAUAUAAGUGAGGCACAUGAAGCAUUCUAUAAAGCCAUACUCAAAAGAUAUAAGUGAAGUGCAAUGAGCAUUCUGUAAAUCAACCAUGUACUAUCUCAUACCAGCAUGGUGCAUAAAAGAAAAAAUGAAAACUAAAUGCAAAAGACGCUCCAAGAGUUGCACAUAACACAUGAACGAAGCAAAGACGAAAACAUACCGAUACUUGUUAAAGAAAGAUGGGAUGCCUUCCGGGGCAUCCCUAAGCUUAGACGCUUGAGUCUACUUGAAUAUUUACUUGGGAUGCCUUGGGAAUCCCCAUGAUUGAGAUCUUGCCUCUCCUCCCUCUCCUUAUAUCGAGACUUCCUCGAUCUUUGAUCACUUCAUCCACACAAAACUCAACAGAAAGCUCGGUAAGAUCUGUUAGUAUAAUAAAGCAAAUCACUACUCUAAGUACUGUUGCAAACCAAUUCAUAUUUUGUUUUUGCAUUGUAACUAUUGUAAUAUAACUUUUCCAUGGCUCAUACCACCGAUAAAAAUCGAUAGUUUCAUCAAAACAAGCAAAACAAUGCGUCAAAAACAGAAUUUGUGUUAAAAACGACAAGUUGUAGCAAUCUUUACAUCUACCAUACUUCUGGUACUCCAAAAAUUCUGAGAAAUUAGGACGAAAUAAAAAAAAUUGUAUAGCAAGAUUGUGCAAAAAGUUUCAGAACCUUUUUAGUUCCAGUAAAAAAUGAAAAUUCACGCACUACAGCCAAAGUUUCUGUUUCUGCACCGCACAUACCAACAAGCAAUGUACCCAUACUAAAGGAAAAUCUUGGCACAUUAUUUUUAUAAUACAAUGGAUUUGUACAAGGGGAUAAUUAUUUUUGUGAGAAUCUUCAUGAAAACUUCUACAUUGUUUCCGUGAGCAUGAACACAAGUGUUCAAGGUCGACCCUCACUUCACCAAUGCAUCACCUUUCAAUCGCUUCUAUUUUUGUGAAGUAUUAAGUUCCCCUCUAUUUUUUUGUUUUUAAACAUUGUAAAAGCACUCAACAGAAUGAAAUGACUCUAAAACUUCCAGGUUGUCUCCCUGGGAGCGCUUUCUUUAAAGCCAUUAAGCUAGGCAUAAAAUGCUCAAGCAAUGGAUCCACUCGGAUCCCAAGGUAUAUCAAAGCCAAUUUUAAUUAGCAAUGAUUUGGCAUUUAGUAGUGAGAACAAAGCAACAUAUAUCAAGCAAUGACGAAGUCUAACUAUCUUCCUAUGCAUCGGCGUGUCAUACAAGAACAAUUCAUGCACAUCAAGUAAAGACCAAUACAUAGCGUAAGCAGUUUCUUGCAAUUUUAUCGUGUUGGAAACAUAGAGAGGCGGAGAUGUAGUUCCUCUAUCGUAAUAGUUGCAAGUAGGAGCAGCAAGCACAUGUAUAUUAUAUUCAUAAAAAUCAUCAUGUGUAGUGGUAAAAGGCAACCCAUCAAUAUAAUCCUUAACAAGUGCAAACUUCUCCGAUAUAGUGUAGUUUGGAGAAUUCAAAAAGAUAAUAGGACUAUCAUGUGUGGGUGCAAUAGAAACAAUUUCAUUCUUAAUAUAAGUAACAAUAGCAAGUUCAUCUCCAAUAGAAUAUUUCAUAUUGGCAUCUUGUCCACAAGCAUAGCAAGCAUCAUCAAAAAGGGAUAUUUCAAAGGAAUCAACGGGGUCAUAGCAAUUAUCAUAGCAUUCAUCCUUCGGUAAGAACAAAGGGACGUUAAACAAUGUAUGAGUUGAAGAGUUACUCUUAUUAGAAGGUGGGCACAGAUGAUCAAUCCGCUCUUCCUCCUUUUGUUCUUCGCUCUCCUCAUCAUCUUUUUCAUCCAAUGAGCUCACAGUUUCAUCAAUUCCUUCUUCCAUAGACUCCUACAAAAUAUUAGUCUCUUCUUGGACAGGGAAACUUUCUCAAUAAACACAUCAAUUUCGGAAUUGUAUUUAUAAUUCUCAUAGCAAUAUUUAAGGAUAGCAAAAAUUUAAGGUCUAUAAACCGAAUCAUCAAAAUCUUCAAACUUUUCAAACAAAGAUUCAAUUUCAUAAGCACCCUUAAAAGCAACAAAUUCUUCUAUUCGUUCCACAUCAUAGUAAUCAUAUAUACCAUUAGCAUAAGAAGCCAAGAUUUCAUUAUCAUUAAAUUUGCAUGAAAAGGGAAGGUGUGGAGAAUUCAUCCUAGAGCAACAAGUAAAAUCAUAUCUCUCGCAUAAAUUCCAAGCAUACCAAUGCAACCUAUCAAUUUGAUCCCAUAACAAUUUCCCUUUUUGUGUCAAGCAAUAAUCCCUAAAGUAUUCACGUGGAUCCAGCGUGUCUCCCGUUAUCAUGUUGAAUGUGGUUUUCUCAGGAUUAUCAAAGUAGUGCAUAAUAUUUUUCACAUAACGAGCAUCGAGGGUUUUAGGAGGUUCCCCAUCUCUAUGAGUAGCAAGUACCACUAAUUUUUUGGUGUUUCGUGUUCCAUAUCCAUAACUAAAGAUAGAGAACAACAUAAACGGGAAAUAAAAACUACUUAGUGAUAAAGCAAACAAGCACACACGAGAAUAUUCACCCCACGCUAUUGCUCCCAGCAACGGCGCCAGAAAAAGGUCUUGAUAACCCACAAAUAUAGGGGAUCAUUUGGAGCCUUCUUCGAUAAAUAAGAGUGUCGAACCCAACGAGGAGCUAAAGGCAGAACAAAUAUUCCCUCAAGUUCUAUCGACCGUCGAUACAACUCUACGCACGCUUGACGUUUGCUUUACCUAAAACAAGUAUGAAACUAUUUUGCAAGAAUAAACCUACGAGUACUUUGCGAGAAUAAAACUACGAAUAAAUUUCAAGGUAAUAAAAGUGGAUAGUUUCUGUCAACAAGAAAGUCAUUUGUCCCUAGGCAAUCGAUAACAAGUACCGGUAAUCAUUCUUGCAAUUUUAUAUGAGGGAGACGCAUGAGCUAACAUACUUUCUCUACUUGGAUCAUAUGCACUUAUGAUUGGAACUCUAGCCAGCAUCCGCAACUACUAAAGAUCAUUAAGGUCAUGAAACCCAACCAUAGCAUUAAGUAUCAAGUCCUCUUUACUCCCAUACGCCAUAACCCACUUAUCCGCGUUUAGGCUGCUGUCACCCCCACAACACCGACAAUAAGCAAACCAUGAACAUAUUGCAACACCCUACAGCGGGGGGCCCUCACGUUUGCGUGACACGGAGGGCAUCGUAGGACAACACCAUAAAUAAAAUAUACAAUCAUACCAACCAAGAUCACGAUUAACCCAUAGGACAAAACGGAUCUACUCAAACAUCAUAGGAUAGCUAAAUAUCAUUUGGAAAUAAUAUAUGGAGCUGAGCACCAUGUUUAUGUUGGGGAACGUCGCANNNNNNNNNNNNNNNNNNNNNNNNNNNNNNNNNNNNNNNNNNNNNNNNNNNNNNNNNNNNNNNNNNNNNNNNNNNNNNNNNNNNNNNNNNNNNNNNNNNNNNNNNNNNNNNNNNNNNNNNNNNNNNNNNNNNNNNNNNNNNNNNNNNNNNNNNNNNNNNNNNNNNNNNNNNNNNNNNNNNNNNNNNNNNNNNNNNNNNNNNNNNNNNNNNNNNNNNNNNNNNNNNNNNNNNNNNNNNNNNNNNNNNNNNNNNNNNNNNNNNNNNNNNNNNNNNNNNNNNNNNNNNNNNNNNNNNNNNNNNNNNNNNNNNNNNNNNNNNNNNNNNNNNNNNNNNNNNNNNNNNNNNNNNNNNNNNNNNNNNNNNNNNNNNNNNNNNNNNNNNNNNNNNNNNNNNNNNNNNNNNNNNNNNNNNNNNNNNNNNNNNNNNNNNNNNNNNNNNNNNNNNNNNNNNNNNNNNNNNNNNNNNNNNNNNNNNNNNNNNNNNNNNNNNNNNNNNNNNNNNNNNNNNNNNNNNNNNNNNNNNNNNNNNNNNNNNNNNNNNNNNNNNNNNNNNNNNNNNNNNNNNNNNNNNNNNNNNNNNNNNNNNNNNNNNNNNNNNNNNNNNNNNNNNNNNNNNNNNNNNNNNNNNNNNNNNNNNNNNNNNNNNNNNNNNNNNNNNNNNNNNNNNNNNNNNNNNNNNNNNNNNNNNNNNNNNNNNNNNNNNNNNNNNNNNNNNNNNNNNNNNNNNNNNNNNNNNNNNNNNNNNNNNNNNNNNNNNNNNNNNNNNNNNNNNNNNNNNNNNNNNNNNNNNNNNNNNNNNNNNNNNNNNNNNNNNNNNNNNNNNNNNNNNNNNNNNNNNNNNNNNNNNNNNNNNNNNNNNNNNNNNNNNNNNNNNNNNNNNNNNNNNNNNNNNNNNNNNNNNNNNNNNNNNNNNNNNNNNNNNNNNNNNNNNNNNNNNNNNNNNNNNNNNNNNNNNNNNNNNNNNNNNNNNNNNNNNNNNNNNNNNNNNNNNNNNNNNNNNNNNNNNNNNNNNNNNNNNNNNNNNNNNNNNNNNNNNNNNNNNNNNNNNNNNNNNNNNNNNNNNNNNNNNNNNNNNNNNNNNNNNNNNNNNNNNNNNNNNNNNNNNNNNNNNNNNNNNNNNNNNNNNNNNNNNNNNNNNNNNNNNNNNNNNNNNNNNNNNNNNNNNNNNNNNNNNNNNNNNNNNNNNNNNNNNNNNNNNNNNNNNNNNNNNNNNNNNNNNNNNNNNNNNNNNNNNNNNNNNNNNNNNNNNNNNNNNNNNNNNNNNNNNNNNNNNNNNNNNNNNNNNNNNNNNNNNNACUAUUAUCUUGAUACAUGAAUUAUAAUAACAACUAUACAUUUAUUAUUGCCUCUAGGGCAUAAUUCCAACAGUCUCCCACUUGCACUAGAGUCAAUAAUCUAGCCCUCACAUCACCAUGUGAAUUACAUUGUAAUAAAUCUAACACCCAUACAGUUCUGGUGUUGAUCAUGUUUUGGCCGUGGAAGAGGUUUAGUCAGCGGGUCUGCUACAUUCAGAUCCGUGUGCACUUUGCAUAUAUUUACGUCCUCCUCCUCGACGUAGUCGCGGAUGAGGUUGAAGCGUCGUUUGAUGUGUCUGGUCUUCUUGUGAAACCUUGGUUCCUUUGCCAGGGCAAUGGCACCAGUGUUGUCACAGAACAAGGUUAUUGGAUCCAGUGCACUUGGCACCACUCCAAGAUCCGUCAUGAACUGCUUCAUCCAGACACCCUCCUUAGCCGCCUCCGAGGCAGCCAUGUACUCUGCUUCACAUGUAGAAUCUGCUACGACGCUUUGCUUGGAACUGCACCAGCUUACUGCACCCCCAUUAAGAAUAAAUACAUAUCCGGUUUGCGACUUAGAGUCGUCCGGAUCUGUGUCAAAGCUUGCAUCGACGUAACCUUUUACGGCGAGCUCUUCGUCACCUCCAUACACGAGAAACAUCUCCUUAGUCCUUUUCAGGUACUUUAGGAUAUUCUUGACCGCUGUCCAGUGAUCCACUCCUGGAUUACUCUGGAACCUGCCUGCCAUACUUAUGGCCAGGCUAACAUCCGGUCUAGUGCACAGCAUCGCAUACAUGAUAGAACCUAUGGCUGAAGCAUAGGGGACGGAGCGCAUAUGCUCUCUAUCUUCAUCAGUUGCUGGGCACUGAGUCUUACUCAAUCUCGUACCUUGUAAAACUGGCAAGAACCCUUUCUUGGACUGUUCCAUUUUGAACCUCUUCAAAACUUUAUCAAGGUAUGUGCUUUGUGAAAGUCCUAUCAGGCGUUUUGAUCUAUCCCUAUAGAUCUUAAUGCCUAGAAUGUAAGCAGCUUCUCCUAGGUCCUUCAUAGAGAAACUUUUAUUCAAGUAACCUUUUAUGCUCUCCAAAAGCUCUACGUUGUUUCCAAUCAGUAAUAUGUCAUCCACAUAUAAUAUUAGAAACGCCACAGAGCUCCCACUCACUUUCUUGUAAAUACAAGAUUCUCCAACCACUUGUAUAAACCCAAAUGCUUUGAUCACCUCAUCAAAGCGUUUGUUCCAACUCCGAGAUGCUUGCACCAGUCCAUAAAUGGAUCGCUGGAGCUUGCACACCUUGUCAGCAUUUUUAGGAUCGACAAAACCUUCGGGUUGCAUCAUAUACAACUCUUCCUUAAGGAAACCGUUAAGGAACGCCGUUUUGACAUCCAUCUGCCAGAUUUCAUAAUCGAAAAAUGCAGCUAUUGCUAACAUGAUUCUGACGGACUUAAGCAUCGCUACGGGAGAGAAAGUCUCAUCGUAGUCAAUUCCUGGAACUUGUGAAAAACCCUUUGCCACAAGUCGAGCUUUAUAAACGGUCACAUUGCCGUCAGCGUCCGUCUUCUUCUUAAAGAUCCAUUUGUUCUGAAUAGCCUUGCGGCCCUCAGGCAGUAUCUCCAAAGUCCAUACUUUGUUCUCAUACAUGGAUCCUAUCUCGGAUUUCAUGGCUUCUAGCCAUUUGUUGGAAUCUGGGCCCACCAUUGCUUCUUCAUAAUUUGCAAGUUCAUUGUUGUCUAACAACAUGAUUGACAAGACGGGAUUACCGUACCACUCUGGAGCAGCGCGUGAUCUCGUCGACCUGCGUGGUUCAACAGAAACUUGAACUGGAGUUUCAUGAUCAUCAUCAUUAACUUCCUCCUCAACCGGCGUCGCAAUGACAGAGGUUUCCCCUUGCCCUGCGCCACCAUCCAGAGGGAUGAGAGGUUCGACAACCUCGUCAAGUUCUAUCUUCCUCCCACUCAAUUCUCUCGAGAGAAACUCCUUCUCGAGAAAAGUUCCGUUCUUAGCAACAAACACUUUGCCCUCGGAUUUGAGAUAGAAGGUGUACCCAACUGUCUCUUUUGAGUAACCUAUGAAGAUGCACUUUUCCGCUUUGGGUUCCAGCUUUUCAGGCUGAAGCUUUUUGACAUAAGCAUCACAUCCCCAAACUUUAAGAAACGACAACUUUGGCCUUUUGUCAUACCAUAGUUCGUAUGGUGUCGUCUCAACGGAUUUCAAUGGUGCCCUAUUUAAAGUGAAUGCAGCUAUUUCUAAUGCAUAACCCCAAAACGAUAACGGCAAAUCAGUAAGAGACAUCAUAGAUCGCACCAUUUCUAACAAAGUACGAUUACGACGUUCGGACACACCAUUACGCUGUGGUGUUCCAGGCGGUGUUAACUGCGAGACAAUUCCACAUUGUCUUAAGUGAGUACCAAACUCGAAACUCAGAUAUUCACCCCCACGAUCAGACCGUAGGAACUUGAUCUUCUUGUUACGAUGAUUUUCCACUUCACUCUGAAAUUGUUUGAACUUUUCAAAUGUUUCAGACUUGUGUUUCAUCAAGUAGACAUAACCAUAUCUACUUAAAUCGUCAGUGAAGGUGAGAAAAUAACGAUAUCCGCCGCGUGCCUCCACGCUCAUUGGACCACACACAUCGGUAUGUAUGAUUUCCAACAAGUCACUUGCACGCUCCAUUGUUCCGGAGAACGGAGUCUUAGUCAUCUUGCCCAUGAGGCAUGGUUCGCACGUGUCAAGUGAAUCAAAGUCAAGUGACUCCAAAAGUCCAUCAGCAUGGAGUUUCUUCAUGCGCUUUACACCAAUAUGACCCAAGCGGCAGUGCCACAAAAAUAUGGCGCUAUCAUUGUUUACUCUAACUCUUUUGGUCUCAAUGUUAUGUAUAUGCGUAUCUCUAUCAAGAUUCAAUAUGAACAAUCCUCUCACAUUCGGUGCAUGACCAUAAAAGAUGUUACUCAUAGAAAUAGAACAACCAUUAUUCUCAGACUUAAAAGAGUAACCGUCUCGCAAUAAACAAGAUCCAGAUAUAAUGUUCAUGCUCAACGCAGGCACUAAAUAACAAUGAUUUAAGUUCAUCACUAAUCCCGAUGGUAGUUGAAGUGACACUGUGCCGACGGCGAUUGCAUCAACCUUGGAACCGUUUCCUACGCGCAUCGUCACUUCGUCUUUCGCCAGCCUUCGUCUAUUCCGCAGUUCCUGCUUCGAGUUGCAAAUGUGAGCAACAGAACCGGUAUCGAAUACCCAGGCACUACUACGAGAGCUGGUUAAGUACACAUCAAUAACAUGUAUAUCAAAUAUACCUGAUUUUUCUUUGCCCGCCUUCUUAUCUGCCAGAUACUUGGGGCAAUUGCGCUUCCAGUGACCCAUACCCUUGCAAUAGAAGCACUCUGUUUCAGGCUUAGGUCCAGCUUUGGGUUUCUUCGGCGGAUUGGCAACAGGCUUGCCGCUCUUCUUCGAAUUGCCCUUCUUGCCUUUGCCGUUUCUCUUGAAACUAGUGGUCUUGCUCACCAUCAACACUUGAUGCUCUUUACGGAGUUCAGACUCUGCGACUUUCAGCAUCGCAAACAACUCGCCGGGAGACUUGUUCAUCCCUUGCAUGUUGUAGUUCAACACAAAGCCUUUAUAGCUUGGCGGCAGUGGUUGAAGGAUUCUGUCAGUGAUAGCUUCUUGCGGGAGCUCAAUCCCCAGUUCAGCUAGACGGUUUGAGUACCCAGACAUUUUGAGCACAUGUUCACUGACAGACGAGUUUUCCUCCAUCUUGCAAGCAUAGAAUUUAUCGGAGGUCUCAUACCUCUCGAUCCGGGCGUUCUUCUGAAAGAUGAACUUCAACUCCUGGAACAUCUCAAAUGCUCCAUGACGCUCAAAGCGACGUUGAAGUCCCGGUUCUAAGCCAUACAAGACUGCACAUUGAACUAUUGAGUAGUCCUCCUUACGCGCUAACCAAGCGUUCUUAACAUCCUGAUCAGCCGUAGCGGGUGGUUCAUCUCCUAGCGCAGCAUUAAGGACAUAAUCCUUCUUUCCAGCUUGUAAGAUUAGCUUAAGAUUACGAGCCCAGUCUACAAAGUUGCUUCCAUCAUCUUUCAACUUAGCUUUCUCUAGGAACGUAUUAAAAUUGAGGAUGACACUUGCGUGAGCCAUGAUCUACAACACAAAUAUAUUCAAAGUGGACUUAGACUAUGUUCAAGAUAAUUAGAGUUCAACUUAAUCAAAUUAUAUGCUAAACUCCCACUCAAAAAGUACAUCUCUCUAGUCAUUUGAGUGGUUCAUGAUCCACCUACACUAUCCCAAGUCCGAUCAUCACGUGAGUCGGGAGUAGUUUCAGUGGUAAGCAUCCCUAUGCUAAUCAUAUCAUCUAUAUGAUUCAUGAUCGACCUUUCGGUCUCAUGUGUUCCGAGGCCAUGUCUGCACAUGCUAGGCUCGUCAAGCUUAACCCGAGUGUUCCGCGUGCGCAACUGUUUUGCACCCAUUGUAUGUGAACGUUGAGUCUAUCACACCCGAUCAUCACGUGGUGUCUCGAAACGACGAACUAUAGCAACGGUGCACAGUCGGGGAGAACACAAUUUCGUCUUGAAAUUUUAGUGAGAGAUCACCUCAUAAUGCUACUGUCGUUCUAAGCAAAAUAAGGUGCAUAAAAGGAUUAACAUCACAUGCAAUUCAUAAGUGACAUGAUAUGGCCAUCAUCACGUGCUUCUUGAUCUCCAUCACCAAAGCACCGGCACGAUCUUCUUGCCACCAGCGCCACACCAUGAUCAUCCAUCAACGUGUUGCCAUCGGGGUUGUCGUGCUACUUAUGCUAUUACUACUAAAGCUACAUCCUAGCAAAAUAGUAAACGCAUCUGCAAGCACAAACUUGUUAGUAUAAAGACAACCCUAUGGCUCCUGCCGGUUGCCGUACCAUCGACGUGCAAGUCGAUAUUUCUAUUACAACAUGAUCAUCUCAUACAUCCAAUAUAUCACAUCACAUCAUUGGCCAUAUCACAUCACAAUCAUACCCUGCAAAAACAAGUUAGACGUCCUCUAAUUUUGUUGUUGCAUGUUUUACGUGGUGACCAAGGGUAUCUAGUAGGAUCGCAUCUUACUUACGCAAACACCACAACGGAGAUAUAUGAGUUGCUAUUUAACCUCAUCCAAGGACCUCCUCGGUCAAAUCCGAUUCAACUAAAGUUGGAGAAACCGUCACUUGCCAGUCAUCUUUGAGCAUAAGGGGGUUACUCGUAACGAUGAAACCAGUCUCUCGUAAGCGUACGAGUAAUGUCGGUCCAAGCCGCUUCAAUCCAACAAUACCGCGGAAUCAAGAAAAGACUAAGGAGGGCAGCAAAACGCACAUCACCGCCCAAAAAACCUUUUGUGUUCUACUCGAGAAAACAUCUACGCAUGAACCUAGCUCAUGAUGCCACUGUUGGGGAACGUCGCANNNNNNNNNNNNNNNNNNNNNNNNNNNNNNNNNNNNNNNNNNNNNNNNNNNNNNNNNNNNNNNNNNNNNNNNNNNNNNNNNNNNNNNNNNNNNNNNNNNNNNNNNNNNNNNNNNNNNNNNNNNNNNNNNNNNNNNNNNNNNNNNNNNNNNNNNNNNNNNNNNNNNNNNNNNNNNNNNNNNNNNNNNNNNNNNNNNNNNNNNNNNNNNNNNNNNNNNNNNNNNNNNNNNNNNNNNNNNNNNNNNNNNNNNNNNNNNNNNNNNNNNNNNNNNNNNNNNNNNNNNNNNNNNNNNNNNNNNNNNNNNNNNNNNNNNNNNNNNNNNNNNNNNNNNNNNNNNNNNNNNNNNNNNNNNNNNNNNNNNNNNNNNNNNNNNNNNNNNNNNNNNNNNNNNNNNNNNNNNNNNNNNNNNNNNNNNNNNNNNNNNNNNNNNNNNNNNNNNNNNNNNNNNNNNNNNNNNNNNNNNNNNNNNNNNNNNNNNNNNNNNNNNNNNNNNNNNNNNNNNNNNNNNNNNNNNNNNNNNNNNNNNNNNNNNNNNNNNNNNNNNNNNNNNNNNNNNNNNNNNNNNNNNNNNNNNNNNNNNNNNNNNNNNNNNNNNNNNNNNNNNNNNNNNNNNNNNNNNNNNNNNNNNNNNNNNNNNNNNNNNNNNNNNNNNNNNNNNNNNNNNNNNNNNNNNNNNNNNNNNNNNNNNNNNNNNNNNNNNNNNNNNNNNNNNNNNNNNNNNNNNNNNNNNNNNNNNNNNNNNNNNNNNNNNNNNNNNNNNNNNNNNNNNNNNNNNNNNNNNNNNNNNNNNNNNNNNNNNNNNNNNNNNNNNNNNNNNNNNNNNNNNNNNNNNNNNNNNNNNNNNNNNNNNNNNNNNNNNNNNNNNNNNNNNNNNNNNNNNNNNNNNNNNNNNNNNNNNNNNNNNNNNNNNNNNNNNNNNNNNNNNNNNNNNNNNNNNNNNNNNNNNNNNNNNNNNNNNNNNNNNNNNNNNNACUAUUAUCUUGAUACAGGAAUUAUAAUAACAACUAUACAUUUAUUAUUGCCUCUAGGGCAUAAUUCCAACAGUUUAAGUAGAGAUUACAGCGGGGAGAACGGGUGUUACACCGCUGCAUAGAGGGGGGGGAGUUGGUGUUGACGGUAGCAAGGUUGUUGAUGUAGAUCGCCAUCACGGUCCUAGCCCCGGCGACACUCCGGCGCCACUUGAAGAGAGGGGGAGAGAGCCCGCCCUACUUUUUCUCCUUCCUUGGCCUCCCCCUAGAUGGGAGGAGAGUUCCCCCUCUGGUCCAUGGACUCCGUGGUGGCAGAGGGACGGGAUCCCCUCCGAGAUUGGAUCUCCUUCUCUGUUCUCUUCUGUUUCGCGCUUCCCAGAUUUGUCCCUUCGCGGUUUCUUAAAUUCCCGGAGAUCCAUAACUCUGAUUGCGCUGAAAUUUUUACACGAUUUUUUCCAUGAAUUAUCUUUCUUGCGCCAGAAGAAGGUCUCCAACCAACGUUCGAGGAGAGCACAAGACAUCAGGGCUCGCUUGGGGCCUGUGGCGCGCCCUAGUGGGUUGUGGGCUCUGUGGGCCCCGUUUGCGUUGAUUCCACCUCCCAAAAAUCAUAUAAAUUCCAAAAUAAUUUUCCGUAAAUUUUUAUCACGUUUGGACUUUGUUUCAUAUGGAUUUUCUACGAUACGAAAAACAUGCAAAAAACAGGAACUCGCACUGGCACUUGAUCAAUAGGUUAGUCGCAUAAAUCAUAUAAAAAGUUGCCAAAAGUAUGUGAAAGUUGUAUAAUAUUGGCAUGAAACAAUCAAAAAUUAUUGAUACGACGGAGACGUAUCACCCAGUAAUGUUGCGGCGUUUGAUACACACAAGGCAUUCCUCCGGUGUCAAUGAGUUAGAUGAUCUCAUGGUCAUAGGAAUGCAUACUUGACAUGCAGAAAACAAUAGCAACAAAAUGACACGAUCGUAUGCUACGUUUAUAGUUUGGGUCUUGUCCAUCACAUCAUUAUCCUAAUGAUGUGAUCCCGUCAUCAAAUGACAACACUUGUCUAUAGCUAGGAAACCUUAACCAUCCUUGAUCGAUGAGCUAGUCAACUAGAGGCUUGCUAGGGACAGUAUUUUGUGUAUGUAUCCACAUAUAUAUAUUUAUGUUUCCAUUCAAUACAAUCAUAGCACGGAUAAUAAACGAUUAUCUUGAAACAGGAAAUAUAAUCAUAACUAUUUUAUUAUUGCCUCUAGGGCAUAUUUCCAACAGUCUCCCACUUGCACUAGAGUCAAUAAUCAAGCUUGACAUCUCUAUGUGAUUUACAAUGUAAUGAAUCUAACACCCAUACAGUUCUGGUGUUGAUCAUGCUUUUCUCGUGGAAGAGGCUUAGUUAGCGGAUCUGCAACAUUCAGAUCCGUGUGCACUCUGCAAAUAUUUAUGUCCUCAUCCUUGACGUACUCGCGGAUGGCAUUGAAGCGUCGCUUUAUGUGUCUAGUCCUCUUGUGAAACCUUGGUUCCUUGGCUAGAGCAAUGGCACCAGUGUUGUCAAAGAACAUAUUGAUUCGGUUCAGUGCACUUGGCACUACUCCAAGAUCUGACAUGAACUGCUUCAUCUAUACACCCUCCUUAGCCACCUCUGAGGCAGCUAUGUACUCUGCUUCGCAUGUAGAAUCAGCUACGACGCUUUGCUUGGAACUGCACCAGCUUACCGCAUCCCCAUUAAGAAUAAAUACGUAUCUGGUUUGUGACUUAGAGUCAUCUGGAUCGGUGUCAAAGCUUGCAUCGACGUAACCAUUUACGACGGGCUCUUCGUCACCUCCAUAAACGAGAAACAUUUCCUUAGUCCUUUUCAGGUACUUCAAAAUAUACUUGACCGCCGCCCAGUGCUCCACUCGUGGAUCACUCUGAAACCUGCCUACCAUAGUUAUGGCCAGGCUGACAUCCGGUCUUGUGCUCAACAUUGCAUACAUGAUAGACCCUAUGGAUGAAGCAUAGGGGACGACAGUCAUCUUUUCUCUAUCUUCUGCAGUUACUGGACAAGAACUUUAUACCUUGUAACACAGGCAAGAACCCCUUCUUGGAUUGUUCCAUUUUGAACUUCUUCAAAACUUUGUUAAGGUCUGCUUUAUGAAAGUGCUAUAAGGCGCCUUGACCUAUCUCUAUAGAUCUUUAUGCCCAAUAUGUAAGCAGCUUCUCACAGGUCCUUCAUUGAAAAACUUUUAUUCAAGUAAUCAUUUACGUUUUUCCAAAAACUCUACAUUGUUUCCAAUCGGCAAUAUGUCAUCCACAUAUAAUAUUGGAAACUCUAUAGAGCUCCCACUCACUUUCUUGUAAAUACAAGCUUCUCCAAAAACUUGUAUAAACCCGAACGCCUUGAUCACCUCAUCAAAGCGUUGAUUCCAACUCUGGGAUGCUUGCACGAGUCCAUAAAUGGAUCGCUGGAGUUUGCACACUUUGUCAGCAUUCUCUGGAUCGACGAAACCUUCGGGUUGCAUCAUAUACAACUCUUCCUUAAGAAACCCGUUAAGAAACGCCAUUUUGACAUCCAUCUGCCAGAUUUCAUAAUGGAAAAAUGCAGCUAUUUCUAACAUGAUUUGGACAGACUUAAGCAUCGCUACGGGUGAGAAUGUCUCAUCAUAGUCAACUCCUUGAACUUAUGAAAAACCCUUUUCCACAAGUCGAGCUUUAUAAACAGUAACAUUACCGUCUACAUUUGUCUUCUUCUUAAAGAUCCAUUUGUUCCGAAUAGCCUUUCGACCUUCAGGUAAUACUUCCAAAGUCCAUAAUUUGUUUUCAUACAUAGAUCCUAUCUCGGAUUUCAUGGCUUCUAACCAUCUAUUGGAAUCUGGGCCCACAAUUGCUUCUCCAUAAUUCGCAGGCUCAUUGUUGUCCAGCAACAUGAUUGAUAAGACAGGAUUCACGUACCACUCGGGAGCAGUACGUGCUCUUGUCGACCUGCGAGGCCCGAUAGCAACUUGAUCUGAAGCUUCAUGAUCACCAUCAUUAGCUUCCUCUUCAACUGGUGUUGCCUCGACAUAAAUUUCUUUCUGCCCUGCGCCACCAUCUUGUUGAAGUAGAGGUUCCACAACCUCAUCAAGUUCUAUCUUCCUCCCACUCAAUUCUUUCGAGAGAAACUUUUUCUCAAGAAAAGAUUCAUUCUUAGCGACAAACACUUUGCCCUUGGAUCUGAUAUAGAACGUAUACCCAACUGUCUCUUUUGGGUAACCUAUGAAGAAACACUUUUCCGCUUUGGGUUCUAGCUUUUCAGGCUGAAGCUUUUUGACAUAAGCAUCACAUCCCCAAACUUUAAGAAACAACAACUUUGGCUUCUUACCAUACUACAACUCGUAUGGUGUCGUCUCAACGGAUUUUGAUGGUGCCCUAUUUAAAGUGAAUGCAGUUGUCUCCAAUGCAUAGCCCCAAAAUGAUAAUGACAAAUCGGUAAGAGACAUCAUAGAACGCACCAUAUCUAAUAAAGUACGAUUACGACGUUCGAACACACCAUUGCGCUAUGGUGUUCUAGGCGUUGCCAACUGUGAAACAAUUCCACAUUGUCUUAAGUGUGCACCAAACUCGUAACUCAUAUAUUCACCUCCUUGAUCAAAUCGUAGGAACUUGAUCUUCUUGUUACGAUGAUUUUCAACUUCACUCUGAAAUUGCUUUAACUUUUCAAACGUUUCAGACUUUUGCUUCAUCAAGUAGAUAUAAUCAUACCUACUCAAAUCGUCCGUGAAGAUGAGAAAAUAACGAUAUUCACCGCGCGCCUCUAUGAUCAUUGGUCCGCACACAUCAGUAUGUAUGAUCUCCAACAAGUCACUUCCAUGCUCCAUUGUUCCAGAGAACGUAGUCUUAGUCAUAUUACCCAUGAGACAUGGUUCGCAUGUGUAAAGUGAUUCAAAAUCAAGUGACUCCAAAAUUCCAUCAGCAUGGAGUUUCUUCAUGCGCUUUACACCAAUAUGACCUAAGCGACAGUGCCAUGGCGCUAUCAUUAUUAACUCUGCAUCUUUUGGUCUCAAUGUUAUGGACAUGAGUGUCAUCAUAAUAGAGAUUCAAUAUGAACAAACCCCUCACAUUGGGUGCAUGACCAUACAAGAUAUUACGCAUAUAAAUAGAACAACCAUUAUUCUCUGACUCAAAUGAGUAACCGUCUCGCAAUAAACAAGAUCCAGAUAUAAUGUUCAUGCUCAACGCAGGCACUAAAUAACAAUUAUUUAAGUUCAUCACUAAUCCAGGUGGUAACUGAAGUGAGAGCGUGCCGACGGCGAUCGCAUCAACAUUGGAACCAUUUCCCACGCGCAUCGUCACUUCAUCCUUUCUCAGCCUUCGUUUAUUCCGCAGUUCUUGUAUCGAGUUGCAAAUGUGAGCAAUAGAACCGGUAUCAAAUACCUAGGCACUACUACGAGAGUUGGUGAGGUACACAUCAAUAACAUGUAUAUCAAAUAUACCUUGUUUGGUGUUGGCCGCCUUCUUAUCGGCCAGAUACUUGGGGUAGUUUCGGUUCCAGUGACCAGUUCCCUUGCAGUAAUAACACUCAGUUUCCGACUUAGGUUCAGCCUUGGGUUUUUCGUAGGAGGGGCAACAGGUUUGCCACUCUUCUUGGAGUUACCCUUCUUUCCUUUGUUGUUUUUCUUGAAACUGGUGGUCUUAUUGACCAUCAAAACUUGAUGCUCUUUUUGGAUUUCUGACUCUGCGACUUUCAGCAUCGCAAACAGCUCGGCGAGUGACUUAUUUAUCCCUUGCAUGUUAUAGUUCAACACGAAGCUCUUAUAGCUAGGUGACAGUGAUUGAAUAACUCUGUCAGUGAUAGCCUCUUGCGGGAGUUCAAUCCCCAACUCAGCUAGACGGUGAGAGUACCCAGACAUUUUGAGUAUGUGUUCACUCACACGUCCGUUCUCCUCCAUUUUGCAAGCCUAGAACUUAUCGGAGGUCUCAUACCUCUCGAUCCGGGCAUUCUUCUCAAAGAUAAACUUCAACUCUUGGAACAUCUCAUAUGCUCCAUGACGUUCAAAACGUCUUUGAAGUCCCGGUUCUAAGCCAUACAAAAUUGCACAUCAAACAAAUGAGUAGUCAUCCUUACGGGACUGCCAAGCGUUCAAAACAUCUUGGGUCACCGUAGCAGGUGGUGCAUCACCUAGCGCAACAUCAAGGACAUAUUGCUUUUGGCCAUUCGUGAGGAUAAGCCUCAGAUCACGAGCCCAGUUAACAAAGUUUCUUCCAUUACCUUUCAGCUUAGCUUUCUCUAGGAAUGUAUUAAAAUUCAGGGUUGCUACUGCGCGAGCCAUUGAUCUACAACAUAAAAGUUUGCAAAGAUUACUUAGACUAUGUUCAAGACAAUUGAAUUUAACUAAUCAUAUUACUAAUGAACUCCCACUCAAAUAGACAUCCAUCUAGUCAUUCGAGUGUCGCAUGAUCCAAAUCUACUAACUCAAGUCCGAUCAUCACGUGAGUUGAGAUUAGUUUCAAUGGUGAAUAUCUCCAUGUUGAUCAUAUCAACUAUAUGAUUCAUGCUCAACCUUUCGGUCUCUUGUGUUUCGAGGCCAUGUAUGUACAUGCUAGGCUCGUCAAGUUUAACCCGAGUAUUCCACGUGUGCAACUGUUUUGCACCUGUUGUAUGUGAACAUUGAGUCUAUCACACCCGAUCAUCACGUGGUGUCUCAGAACAACGAACUGUUGCAACGGUGCACAGUCGGGGAGAACACAAUUUUAUCUUGAAAUUUUAGUGAGGGAUCACCUUAUAAUGCUACCUUCGUCCUAAGAAAAAUAAGGUGCAUAAAAGGAUUAACAUCACAUGCAAAUCAAAAGUGACAUGAUAUGGUCAUGAACUUGUGCUUCUUGAUCUCCAUCAUCAAAGCAUCGGCAUGAUCUCCAUCGUCACCGGCGCCGCACCAUGAUCUCCAUCAUCGUGUUGCCAUCGAGGUUGUCGUGCUAUCUAUGCCGUUACUACUAAAGCUACUUCCUAGCGAUAUAGCAAGAGCAUGUGCAAGCGCAAAAUAAAUUUAAAGUCAACCCUAUGGCUCCUGCCGGUUGCCGUAGCAUCGACGUUCAAGUCAAUAUUUAACUAUUACAACAUGAUCAUCUCAUACAUACAAUAUAUCAUAUCAUGUCAUUGGCCAUAUCACAUCACAAGCAUACCGUGCAAAAACAAGUUAGACGUCAUCUAAUUUUGUUGUUGCAUGUUUUACGUGGAUGCUAUGGGUAUCUAGUAUGAUUGCAUCUUACUUACGCAAAGCCACAAUGGUGAUAUGCAAAUUGCUAUUUAACCUUCUCCAAGGACUGUCUCGGUCAAAUCUGAUUCAACUAAAGUUGAAGAAACAGACACCUGCCAGUCAUCUUUAUGCAACAAGUUGCAUGUUAGUGGAUGAGACCGGUCUCUCGUAAGUGUACGAGUAAAGUUGGUCCGGGACGCUUCAAUCCAACAAUGCCGCUGAAUCAAGAAAAGACUAAGGAGGGCAGCAAAUCGAACAUCAAUGCCCACAAACUCUUUUGUGUUCUACUCGAGAUAUCAUCUACGCAUGAACCUAGCUCAUGAUGCCACUGUUGGGAACGUUGCAUGGGAAACAAAAAAAUUCCUACGCACACGAAGACCUAUCAUGGUGAUGAUCAUCUACGAGAGGGAGAUCGGAUCCACAUACCCUUGUAGAUCGCUAAGCGGGAAGCAUUAAGAAACGUGGUUGAUGUAGUGGAACGUCUUCGCGAUCCAAAUCGUCGCCGUCCCACGCUCCGUCCCAAUCUAGCACCGAAUGGACGGCACCUCCGCGUUUAGCACAUGUAUAGCUCGAUGAUGAUCUCCGCCUUCUUGAUCCAACAAGAGGGGCGGAGAGGUAGACGAGUUCUCCGACAGGGCGACAACAUGACGGCGAUGGUGGUGGAGCUAGUCCAGCAGGGCUUCGCCUAAGCACCGUUGAAAACUAGACUAGAGGAGAAACAAAUCUAGAGAGAGGGCAUCACGUGACUGAUUAUUGUGUCUCAAAAACCCUCAAAACCUCUAGUAUAUAUAGGAGGAGAGGAGAGGAGGCAGCCUUGACUCCUCCUCCAAGGAGAGGGGUCGGCCGAACCAAAGGAGGAGUCCACCUCCUUGUGGGAAGGUGGACUACUUUGGGAGGACUCCUCCUUUCCCUUCCUUUUAAAAGUUCUUUGCCUUUUAUCUCUUCUCCUAGCCGCAUGGGACCUUGAGAGAGGCUUUGGCCAACCCACCAGGGGCUGGUCCACCUCUUCUCACCGCUCACAAGGCUCUUGGGUCAUCACACCCCUCCUGAUGGUCCCCCGGCACCCUCCCGGCACUCCCGGUACACUACCGAUGAGCCCGAACUUUUUCGGUGACCAAAACAGGACUUCCUAUAUAUCAAUCUUUACCUCUGGACCAUUCCGGAGUUCCUCGUGACGUCUAGGAUCUUAUCCGGGACUCCGGACAACCUUCGGUCACCAACACCUAUAACUCACCUAUACUGAAACGUCAUCGAACCUUAAGUGUGAAGACCGUGCGGGUUCGAUAACUAUGCAGACAUGACCGAGACACUCUCCGAUCAAUAUCCAAUAGCGGGACCUGGACGUUCAUAUUGGAUCCUACAUAUUCUACGAAGAUCUUAUCGGUUGAACCUCUAUGUCAAGGCUUCACACAAUCCCGUAUACCAUUCCCUUUGUCCUUCGGUAUGUUUCUUGCCCGAGAUUCGGUCAUCGGUAUCGACAUACCUAUUUCAAUCUCAUUACCGGAAAGUCUCUUUACUCAUUCCGUAGUACAAGAUCCCGUGGCUAACUCUUUAGUCACAUUGCUUGCAAGGCUUGUUUGUGAUGUUGUAUUAUCGAGUGGGCCCCGAGAUACCUCUCUGUCCCACGGAGUGACAAAUCCCAGUCUUGAUCCAUGCUAACUCAACCCACACCUUCGGAGAUACCUGUAGAGCACCUUUAUAGUCACCUAGUAACGUUGCGACAUUUGAUACACACAAGGCAUUCCUCCAGUGUUAGUGAGUUACAUGAUCUCAUGGUCAUAGGAAUGUAUACUUGACAUGCGGUAAACAAUAGCAACAAAAUGGCACGAUCAUAUGCUACGUUUAUAGUUUGGGUCUUGUCCAUCACAUCAUUCUCCUAAUGAUGUGAUCCCGUUAUCAAGUGACAACACUUGUGUGUGGCUAGGAAACCUUAACCAUCCUUGAUUGAUGAGCUAGUCAACUAGAGGCUUACUAGGGACAGUAUUUUGUGUAUGUAUCCACACAUGUAUUUAUGUUUCCAUUCAAUACAAUUAUAGCACGGAUAAUAAACGAUUAUCUUGAAACAGAAAAUAUAAUAAUAACUAUUUUAUUAUUGCCUCUAGGGCAUAUUUCCAACAAAUAUUGUAUAGCGGAAUGAGCUAGAGACUUACCGGUAACGAGAUUGAACUAGGUAUGGUGAUACCGACGUUUGAAUCUCGGGCAAGUAAUAUAUCGCUAGACAAAGGGAAUUAUAUACGGGUUUAUUUGAAUCCUUGACAUAGUGGUUCAAAACGAUAAAGAUCUUCAUUGGAUAUGUGGGAGUCAUUAUGGGCGUCCAGGUCCCGCUAUUGAUUAUUAAUCGGAAAGGUGCCUCGAUCAUGUCUGCAUGUUCUCGAACCCGUAGGGUCACACACUUAACGUUUGGUAAUGCUAGGGUAAUAUUAGGAUAUUCAUAAUGGUAAGUUUGAAGAUAGUUCAGAGUCUUAGAUGGAAUUCGGGACAUCACGAGGAGCUUCAGAAUUGUCCAUAUGUAAAGUUUCAUAUAAGGGAACUGGUUUUUAGGGUUCCAGAAAAGUUCGGUAAUUUUCUGGUAUUGUAUCGAGGAGUUCUAGAAGGUUCCAAGGGGUUCCACAAUGGGGCCCACCUGACACCCGAGGCCUGCAUGGGCUGAGGGGGCACCCUGGACUACAUGGGCUAGGGGCGCCGCACCCCACAGGGCCCAUGUGCCAAGGGGGGAGGGUAAAAGGGAGGGGGAAUCACAUAUCUUGGAGGGCGGGCCUCCCCCCUGGCCGCCUCCCCCUUGGCUUGGAGGGGGGUAAGGGUUGGUUGCAUCCCUUACCCCCAUAUAAAGAGAGGGGGGUUGUGCGGAGCCAAACCUUCACCCUUGGUCGCCGCCCUCUCUCUCCCCCUCCAUCUCCUACUCCGUUUCCACUUGGCGAAGCCCUGUCGGAGUUCCACCACCACCACCACCACGUAGUCGUGUUGCUGUCCUAGAUCCCAUUUAUCUCUCCCUCUCGCUUGCUGGAUGAGGAAGGAGGAGACGUCAGUGAGCCGUACGUGUGCACUUCUUGGAGAUUCCGUUCGCUCAAUGUUGGAUCCGAUUGGAUCAUGAAGAGUACGACUGCAUCAACACGUUCAUUAGAACACUUCCGCUUUCGGUCUACAAAGGUACAUAGACACUCCCCCGUCCUUACUAGCAUUUCACAGAAUAGAUCUUGGGUGGAUCCAUAGGAGGGAAAAAAUCAUGCAACGUUUCCCAAUAGUUUUGAGCUUUUCAUUCAAGGUGAACCACAAGAAACCACUAUAUCGGUGGUAGCGCUAGUUGUAUCGCCAUGUUGUGCUAUGUCGUAAGUAAGUCCUACUUGAUUUGCUAAAGGUCUCACAUUUCAUCAAAAAAAUAUAACGCGAUUUAGUAAAGAAAGGAACAUCAUUUUCAUCCUUUGUGUAGAUGCAUGCUUCUUUUUUAUUAUUCCACCUUCAUGGUUGUUGCACAGAUUUCGGUCUAUGCUUGCAGCUAUAGGUUGUUCAGCAACGUGGGACAAAGAGACCUUUGCAGAUUACAACAAUUUUCACUUCUAAGACAAUUUGUUAUCUUCCAACAUUAUAUCUACAUGUAUCUUUCAAAAAAAUUGUAUCAUUAUGCACGUUCCAAAAUAAUAAUUUAGUUACAUGUUUCCGCUGCAAAAGCUAAUUCUGAUUAGUUUUUUGUUAUUUAUAUUAGCAUUAUAUAUAGCAAAGAGAGUAUGUAAUUAGCAAUUCCACUGUGUCUGUAAUGCGUAAAUUGUAUACGAAAUGGUUCAACUUUUGUAGGAAAUUCGAAAGGCUCGGAACAGUUCAAACUAAAACCACAACACUUAUUUCGAAACGAAGAGAGUACAUGUUUGUAAGGAAGUGGGAGGGUCCGAAAAAGUUGUUUUAAGCUUGUAAUCCAAGUCUAACCGAAAGAAACCACCACAUCCUUGAAAGCGAUAUCACUAUGAAUGUAGGGGCGGUGCAACGCUACUCGAUUCAGUGAAGAUUCUUAUCUUCUCUAAUGUAUAUAAACACAAUAAAGAGGUCACAUUAAUGGCAAUUAAAAUAAUCGCAGGACCUCUGCAUCUCCAUGCAUGCCAUCGUUUUCUCUUGCUACAUUGUUGCGUCAUGUGUCCCUUGAUCGUUCAACGGCAUUUCGCUGCCGCCCGACUGCGUGAGUUGUUUAACGACCGAAACCAAAGAGAGCAUACCAAAAUUUGUCAACAGCUAAUCUCGUGUAAGAUACAAUAAUAUCCUCCAAAACGAUGUGAGCAAGAUAUGCCUCCAUGAAAAUAGUAAAGAAUGUGUUUGUAUCGCCUAAAUUUCACGGGUUUUUGCAGGAAUUUCAUAGGAUACAACUAUGUUUGGGAUAAUCCAACAGGUUCUAAGAUAAUUAUAACAUUUGUAAAUUUACAAGUGAAUAGACCGGUGUUCCAAAUGGGGUGUCUUAAUUCUGAAGGAAUGGUGCACUACCAGGGUGGUUGCACAACCGCUACCGCCCUUGCUUUUUCCUGAUAUGAUAUUUUCUAAUCAUUUUCUCAACUUUGUCUUAUUAUUUUAUUGCAUUUUUUUUUAUUUAUGGCUGCCAUCUGCCCACGCCACCAUACCAACUGUUUUCAGCGUCACUUCCUUUCUAGGGUGACAACAUAUAGGCACUAGCCACUCUUGCCAGAAAAGGGAAAAGUGAGAUAUGUUGGUUGAAAGGCAAGACAUCAAGAUUCAGAAGUGCACAGGCAUCUCAUAUAAUUGGACCAUAUCCUUUCAGUUGUCAAUACAUAAAUCAUUACUAUUUCAGAAACCUUUUUGCACAUCUCUGAAUCAGUUGCCGGUCAUGCUUAUAGAUUAUUAUCAUUUUUCAACAAUAUUUCAUUAAGAAAACACCUCAAUUCCUGCAGAAACAGGGGAAAAUCCAGCAAAUCGGCGCGGCCCUCGUUUAUUUGGCGGUUCCACUGAUUAGGGUACCAAGCAUCCCCUCCCUAAACUUAGAAGCAAAGCAAUAUCAUACACAUAUGUAUGUGGUCUACAAACUGCACUGAUUACUUGCCUGGACAGAAAUGGUUCAUCAGCUAACUUCCCAUCCAGCUGUGAGUGGGAGCAGUUAGGAACAACCAUCAUAUAUAUCCCUGUGAGUGCAGUGUGUGUACCAUACAAAAACUAGUUGGGACAGCUAAUAAAAUCCAGGAUCCAACUGGAUAGAUUAGAUUGGACAAUGGAGCUCUUGUUUCCUUCCCUCUCCUGUCCUGCCACAUCAGCAGUGGAGCCUGCGCCACCACUCAUGUACAAUCAGUUUUGUGCAAACAAGCAUAACAUACGGUUCACCCAAGCCGAACUGAGAUCUCAGUUGACCUAGGUGGUGCCACUGAUUGAACUGGGGUUUCAUGGAACAUUAGCGAAUGCGGUACAGUUUGAAGCCGGGGCAAAUUUCUCGCCCCUGUCAAAAUUUAUUUCACGGCUCUUGUUGACCUUUUUCUGGUCCAACAAAAGGCGCAUAGAACAGUUGGCAAAUCCUUGCCUGGUAGACUAAGCCAAAGGUUAAGCACUCUCCGAAGUUCUGACUACAGGGUUGUCCGGUUACUUGAAUUUGUGGAUCCUUUUAGCUGAAUCCAGUGUGUUCGAUAGAAGCAUCGCAAUUGUCAUCGGCCCGACACCGCCUGGUACUGGUGUGAUAGCUCCAGCCACCUUGGAGGCCUCCUCAAAGCAUACAUCUCCAACAAGACGAUAACCUCGAGGGCUUGCUGGAUCCUGAUGCAUUUCAGAUCAGCAGUAAGUAUACGAUGCAGGAAAAGUAAUGCACGUGCUGCCAAAAUAAAAAAUAUACACUGGAAGACAUGAAUCAAAUAUGACUUUCUAGGUACUAAUAGAGUUCUGAACUAACUGAUCAAUACCUGCUGCCCAAACUUAAUAUAGAGUCUACAAAUUACCAGAAUAUGACAAACAUGAGGUUCAUACGCUAGUUGCAACUUCAAUAAAUAUAUGCCCAAUGGUGGGAGCACAGGGCUUCAUAGAGUUUGAUCCCAGGGAGAGACCUGAAGAGAAACACUUACUCCCCAAAAAGUACCAUGCGGAACUAUCCAUAUUCUGAGAUUGUCAAAAACUUGCAUAUCCAAAAGCAUGAUACAAAACGUACAGCAUCGUAACUGUUUUAACAACACUAUCAAGCUUUACCAUUCAGAGACAGCCGUAUGUUAACAGUAAACAGAUCACCUUACCACUAAAUAUAAAAGAACAGGAAAAGAAGAUGAAAAAGGUUCUAGCCAAAAGAGAGUAGGUGCCUUACAUCAACCGGAUUGAUGCCAACAUCAAUAAUAGCAGCUCCAGGCUUUAUCCAACUCCCUCUGACCAGGUUAGCAACUCCAACAGCCGCAAUGAUAAUAUCUGCUUGUCUUGUUAUUUCCUCGGGGUUCUUGGUUUUUGAAUGUACAAUGCUCACAGUUGCAUUUGCUUUCUAAUAAACAUUUUAAACAUAUUAAACACUGAAAUAAAGUUGAUCAAACUAUUUUAAAUGAAAAACUAGUUCAUACUUGUAAGAGUAAAGCAGCAGGCGUCCCCACAAUAUUGCUUCUUCCAAUUACAACAGCUCUCUUCCCAUUUAUUUCAACUCCAGAUCUGUGUAGCAGCUCCAUGCAUCCUUUAGGGGUGCAUGGAACAAAGAAUGGAUCCCGACCUUGCAUCGCCAGUCGUCCAAUAUUCACUGGAUGAAAGCCAUCGACGUCCUUUUCAAUACUAACAGCAUUCAAUAUGUUCUCGUCGUUCAUAUGCUGCAAAUUAAUUACAAGAUAUGAGUGAAAAAAGAAGCUCAAGAAUCCAUGAGUAUCCAUGCUGCAAAUUAACCAGUAUAGACUGUCAUUUUUAAUAGAACGCUGACAACAAACACAAAACCUCGAUUGGCAUGUGGCCUUUAGCCAAAACAAAAUAAAAUAUGUUCAUCUGUAGUAUCCAUGAGUUCUAAAGAAUGUAACCAGAUGGCUUCCGUAUUAUUUAUACAACAUCUAUGCAGUUACUUGAAUUUAUAAAUGGAAAUGUUUGGUGUAGGGUAAAGGGAAUCUGCCACUAUCUACAUAAUGUCUAGGUCAGUGAUCACUAGACAAAAUAAAACUAAAAAAAGAUCAAAUAAUGCGAGUCCCUUGAGCCAACCGGUUCAGUUAUAGUAGCCAUAGAGUAGGGACUAUCAAGGACUCACGCGAGGCAAGGGCAACUGAACCAAGAUGCCAUGGACAGACGGGUCAUCAUUGAAGGUCGCAAUGUGCUUGAUGACCUCGUACUCGGAAGCGUCCUCCGGCAAAUUGACCUCGUACGACUUGAUACCGACCGCCUCGCACGCCUUCUUCUUGUUCCGCACGUACGUCUGGGAAUCCUUCCUCGAGCCGACUAGGAUGACCGCCAGCCCAGGCACCACACCGGUCGCGUCCUUCAUCCUGGCGAUCUCAACGCCGACUUCCUCUCUUAUCUGCUUCGCCACCAGCUUGCCGUCGAUGAUCUUGGCAGACGCGUCAGCUAGAACGGUGGCUGCAGAAGCAAACCAAUCCAUAAACAUAAUUAUUAUAAGCUUAUAACACCACAACAACAUGAUCCCUACAAGAUUUGCAGUUGGGCAUAUGUAACAACUAACAAGCCUGUUCAGUUAAGGGCGAUUCAUUUGUUGCUACACUUGAACUAAUAAUGCGAUAAGAAAUAAAGAAAAUACAGUACUAUCCAAAGGCUGUGCUUCUGCCUAGAGAGACAUCAGUCGUACACAAGCGAAUACUUAAAGACUACUACUAAUGAAGCGAGGUGAAGAGGAAAUGGGCGCGCGCACCUGGGUCGGCGGAGGAGGCAGCGGCGGAGAGCGCGGCCAUGCGGCGCGCGCGGGGGAGGAGCGGGAGCGGGGCGGCGGCGGUGAGGAGGAGAGGCCUCCUCGGCGACGGCGCCGGACCGGGGGACGGGCGGAAGCGGGGCGGCGGCGGGUGGAGGGCGCGGCGGAGGGGGAGGAGGCGGGAGGUGGCGCAGGAGGAGCAGUCGGACAGGAUGGAGGACGCCAUCGCCCCGGAGCCGCGCAGGGAGCGGAGUUGGCGGCGGCGGCGGCGGCGGCGGGGGCGGGGGCGGCGGCGGCGGUGGCGGCGCAAAAAGGAGCGGUCGGGCGAGAAAGUCGUGGGCACGAGUCUUUGAGCAGUGACCUAAAACCCCAAUUUGCCCAGGUUUAGCGAGGGUAGGAGUAGUAAUAUUUUUGGGGUAAUUAAUUGUGGUUGAGUAAGAACUAAAAAGUAUACGUUUAAUAAGAUGAAAUUUACUCCCUUCGUUUCUAAAUGUAAGCUUUUCUUAAAAGGUUUCACUGAAAAACUACUCCCUCCGUAUCAUAAUAUAUGACGUUUNNNNNNNNNNNNNNNNNNNNNNNNNNNNNNNNNNNNNNNNNNNNNNNNNNNNNNNNNNNNNNNNNNNNNNNNNNNNNNNNNNNNNNNNNNNNNNNNNNNNNNNNNNNNNNNNNNNNNNNNNNNNNNNNNNNNNNNNNNNNNNNNNNNNNNNNNNNNNNNNNNNNNNNNNNNNNNNNNNAAACGUCAUAUAUUAUGGUACAGAGGUAGUAUAUCCGAAUUAAAAUAAGCAAAUCUACACUUUAAAUAUGUCCAUACACAUCUGUAUGUAGUUUUUCUAAUAGAAUUUUUAGAAAAACUUAUAUUUAGAAUGUUUGUAUACAAAUGAAUACGCGAUAAAAAUUGGAUGAUGAAAAUAUUCGCAAACAGCAAUAAUGAGUAGGGGAGUUCGAGACACUUGUUGAUUUACAAGAAAAGAAUGCAAAAUACAAGAAUUCUCGGAACCUUGUUCGUUGUAGAUCUAACCAGUUUUUUAGGGUUCAUUUAUUCAAUGUGAUGAAUCCAAUUUUCAAUUAGCUCUCACUACUAUGACUCCUCCUAAUCAUGCUACCAACGAUGGCUCUAUUUGGAUAUUCUAACUCAGUUAAAGGUUAGAAUUAGAUUCUAACCCUAGGCUAACUCUAAACUUACUCUAACCAAAGAAAUGUUUGGAUGGUAGGGUUAAAUUGUCAAUAAAUACAUUUUUUUCAAUCAUUUGACUUCUUUAACCAGGAUUUGGUAUGGCGGAGAUAGAGUAAAAACGUAACUUUUUUUUAGGCCCCACCUAACUCUAUCCCAAAUAAGCAUUUUUUGGAUGGGUUUUUUUUUGGGUAAGUUAGAUGCAUUUUAAUCAACUCUAACCUUCUGUUUGAUGUUUUGAGGUUAGUUCGAUCCAAUCUAACCAACUAUAACUCUAUCCCAUGGACCCAAACAGGACCGAUGACUAAACAAUUCAUCGCCAAAAUAAAACGAUGACUAAAUAGUUCAUCGCAAAGUAGUAUCAACACCGCCUAAGACAAAUGAUAUUUUCAUGCAAUAUUUUUUAUGGCUACAAUAUUAUAAUAUGAACGUGAUCGGCCAAGCGAAAGUAGUAUCAACAUAUUAGUUAUUUAAAAAGUAUUCUCUCCAUUCCUAUGUUGUUGUUUUUCAUGGUAUUACGUGUCUCAUUCAUAGCUCACAAACCGAAUACAAGUCACGUAAAAACCGAUAUGACAAAAUUGAAAAGAUAGCAUAACAUCGCUAAACUUCACACCAACGCCCGUCACCUACCUACAGUACCACCACGGUAGCCACCAAAGGAAAAAAUGGCGGAGCACCUCCUUACUUGAGCUCGACGCGGCUCCAUCGCUGAUAUGCAGAUUUGCGGACCUUUAAGAUGGCUCAUCAAAAGUGAAGCCCUUGACGUUUAAACGAAUCAGACCGGGGCAACACCCCAGACAUGCCAUCGAUCUCCAGAUCUAGCACCCCACCACGACUAAGACGUUGAAGAAGGAAACCAUAUCUGCCAUCCAUCAACCACGAAUCCAGCACAAGUUCUGUCUUUCAGAUGUCGUCGAUGCAUAUCACAAUCCGCAUCCGCUCCUGGACUACCUCCCAAGCUCCACAACAACGUUAGAGCAGACACCAUCGCAACGACGGAGCCCGAAGACACAGAUCUACCACAAGAAUGACGCCACCGUCACACCAUCCUUGCUUGAACUGACUAGUUUCCAAAUUCAUCCCCAACCAUAAGACCGAUUGCCUCGUUAGGGACAGAUCGGAACCUUCUUUAUUCAGCGCCGCCAUCGCCUCCUUCAAAGUGAAGACAAUGAACAGCCGAAAAGACCAAAGCUACUAGGGCCUAACCUAAAGCUAUACGAUCCACACACGUAGAUCCGGCGACCUCCCUCACCACCAACGACCGAUGUCGUCGGUGGAGGGGGGCCGUCGGAGGAACGAGGUGAAGGGACUCUCGUGGCGGCAACUAGGGUUUCUAUAUGUAUCUCAUUCCUAGGUAAUUUAAACUAGUCAUAUUUUUAGAAACGAAAGGAGUAUUAUAGUUAUAUAUAAAUGCUUACACUACUUUAUAUGAUACGAAAUCGCAUGCCUAUGUUCAUUAUAAAUGUUAUUAUGUACUCCCUCCGUUCCUAAAUAUAAGUCCUUUAAGAGUUUUCAUUAGAAAACUACAUACAAAUGUAUAUAGACAUACAUUAAAGUAUAAAUUCAUUCAUUUUAUUUCGUGUUUAGUCUCGUAGUAAAUCUCUAAAAAGAUUUAUAUUUAGGAACGUAGAGAGUAUUUAAGUUCGUAAGAUGGAGAUUUUUAGGUGAAUCGGGAACUCAGAAAGGCUUCUUUAUUUAUUUUUCACUUUUCUUUUGGUAGACUAAAUAAAACAGAAACAUUGGUUUUAGGAAUAAAAGCACCUGGCGUAGAAAACAUCUCUGUAGUACAUCAUCAAAUAUUGGUAGUUGAAGCAUCAACUUGUAGUACUAUGAUACAGAAAAAAACACUUUAUUAGGCGCCAAACUAUUCGUACAUCUUACUAGAAGUGUCCUAUGUGUUCCCAGCAACGGAAGAAAUAGGCAACACAACCUACAAAAAGUACAGCAAGAUGGAGCACAUAUCCUCAAAAUCCAUGACACGCGUAAAAAAAAAGAGUAACACACCAUCACUCUCUCACAUUAUAUGAUUGUUCUGGAUUCCCUACAAAAAUUUACGAAGCCGCGGGAACGGCAGAUUCAACCGGCGACUCUUGCUGCUUCUGCAGUGACUCCCAGUUCACCUCUUUCAGGAUCUUGAACCUUUCGUCGAGACUCACAAAACCGGACUGAGGGGCUACCGCACCAGAGGUGCCUGCUUUGUGCACGAGGAUUACGGUACUGUCCAUGGCAGGUCCGUGAAGCUUCCCAGUCAACAGUACUCGGAGUGGCAUAAAUAGCGACUUUCCCUGAUCAAAGGUUAAUACAACAAUACAAUGCGUAUUAGUUGUUUCUUUCAGUUGUAUAUAUGGCCAGGAAAAGCAUUAGUAUUCAAGGAGCCGAAUGAAGAACUUGAUAUCAGCCAGGAUUAUCAAGGAUUGUAUCGAACUAAUUAUUUGUUAUCUGUGUUUUCAACAUUUCUAGUUAUCAUGGUUUAGGUGAGAGAUAGGUUGCUUCCAGAAGUUAUGGAUUCAGUUCAGGCUAGAAAAUACGGUAAUAAGUCUUGCAUGUAUUUGUUGAGGCAGUUCAAAAUUAAAACUAAUUUAGAUGCUCCAGCGGUUUGGCCAAACCGUUGAAACAGUCCAGGAACAACCCUAGAUUCCAUUGGCAACAAAAUAAAACCACAAUCGCCCUCAUCAACAUUUCAACACUGACCUUCCUUUUGUGAGUCUUGCCAAAAGAUUUCACCCACUUCUUCCAACCAUCAUGGCCUUCAGCUAAUGCUUGAUCAAGCUCACCACUAUCAUAAGCAGAAAUGAGACCCGAUGCAAUCUCAGAAAGUUUGUCUUCCACCACAGAUUUAGCUUCAUCACUGGAGAUUAAAAACACGCGAAUAAAAAAACAGUUAUUGAUCGGAACAGGCCUACCACAGUCAGUCAAAGAAAUUUACAAGACUACACAUUUGGCAACAAUUUCAGAAUUAGUUCAGGAAAAGGGUAAACAAAGAAUUAAUGAGACACUAAAUUGGUUUGCAGACCUGCUUAAAGUUUCAUGAAGGGGAUACGACAAUAAUUUACAAAGGGCAGCAUCUGCAUCUGUUAUCAAAUCAAUGCCCUCCUUCAAAAGCUCAGCAGCUUCCUGCGCAAAAUAGUGCAUAUUAUUAUUAAAGCUUCCCAGGAUAGCAACUAGUCCUAAACCUCCUGAUGUUGCAGCAUUUGAAAGAAAAAUGAUUAACCACAAAAUAACAACAUUUUGUACAUCGCUUUCUUUUGGUGGUUGUGAGAAAGAAACAAAAACUCUUAGAACCAAAUGCUGUGUCAAAUAAGUCCGCGUUUCCGUUUAGCAUGUAGUUCCAAAGUAAAUAACCCCUGGUGUGUACAGAAAAUUGAAUUCCAGUCUUACUUUAGCAAAACCACUUUCAGACUCCAGAAGAAUUCCUGUGCUCCUCCAUUGAUCUUCGAAGUCCUUGAUGAGUAAGUCGGAAGGAAGUGAGCGUAGAUGCUGUCCAUUCAUCCAUCUAUAAACAAACCAGAUUAUUGUGAAAAUAGAUCAGUGAAGCACAUAUACAACUUCCCAUGUUCAAGUGAGUCCGAAAGGUCCUGGUAAUAUGAAAAUUGUUAGAAUUUUGAUUUACUUCAAUUUUGUUGCGUCAAAGACUGCUCCACUUUUAUUGACGCGGUCUAUAGUGAACUUCUCAACUGCAAGUGAUGGAACACCGAAGUGAGAAUUGAUGAAAGAAAAGGUCCACAGGUUUUUCAAAACCACCCGGUGAAGUAAGAGUUGACGAACUAACCUAAGUCAUCAAUGAUGAAGAACUCAUUUUCAGUACCAUCACCCCAGCCCAGGAGUGCUAAAUAAUUGACCAUUGCCUGAGGCAGAUAGCCCAUCUCUUUAUACUGUUCAGAGAAAGAAAAAACAAAUGAGUGAUUCACUUUCGUGCCUCAAUAGUAAAAUAUGUUCAGAGAAGAUGUGAAACUAUGAGUAAUUAAAUUGAACAAUACAGACAAUUAGAGAGAAAUAUAUCAGGAAUACAGUUUGACAGACACAUAUUUUGAUGCAGGUAAACACCUCAUAUUUCCAACAAUCAGCUAGUUACCUGCCCCACAGAAGUAGCCCCAUGACGUUUAGACAGUUUACUUUUAUCAGGAGCCAGAAUGAGGGAAACAUGAGCAAAUAAAGGCAUUGCAAAUCCAAGAGCCUGCAGAGGAUCAUAACAUUGCAUUUGAUGAGACAGACAUUUCGAAGGUCAGGACUAUGGUCACACAUUUCGAAGGUCAGGACUAUAAUCACGACACACAAUAGAAGCAGAUGCAGGAAAUUACUUUAUAAAUGAGGGCUUGCCGUAAUGUGUUUGGUAGGUGCUCCUCGGCUCUGGAAAAAACAAGAGAAUGCAUGAAUACUGCACCAGACGACCAGAAAUAAGUUCCAAGAGUAAUAACUUUCAGUUACCUAAUAACAUGAGAGAUGCGCAUGGUAGCAUCAUCAACAGUGACACAGAAGUUAUAGACUGGCUGGCCGUUGCUUCUCAUGAUCACGAAAUCACCAAGUGUGUUUAGAUUCCAACUGACCUUUAUAAAACUAUCCGAUGGUCAGUGUAUGUAUAUCACACUGCGACUCGCACAAUUCACAAAUUUUGAAUUACUAACAUAGCAAGCAUGAGAGCAGUUCAUGGUGUGGGCCUAUGGUAAUGUGAAAGCAUAGACUCAAACACUUUAUGUCAUUACCUCACCACGAAUAAGGUCAUUAAUUUUUAGUGAACCUUCCUUUGGCACUCGGAAACGGUAAGUGUAAGGUGUGCCUUUCUCUAACUCUUGUUGCACUUCUGCAUCUGAAGCAGUAGCCCACUUCCCCAUGUAUACAGGAGGAAUCUUCAUCCGAUUCGCAGUUUCCUUCAUUUUCUCAAGUUCCUGAAGUAUCAAUAACACUUGUUAGACAAGCUACUAAUUGAUCAGUAAAUAUUACAGCCAGGUGAGGCCAUGAGUUUACUUGAAAUAACACCCUCAAACUGUUUACCAGGUUUGAAAUGACUCAUACAUGGUGGUCAUGGACUCAUGGUAGGAUAUGUCACAUUCAAUUUUUCAUGAGAAGCACAAGAUCCCAAGCAUCUUACUCAAAGCAACCAAAAUAAUUCAUUUGUGGAACUUUAAUCAGCUCGCAUGUUGAUAAGAGCCAACAAAAACAGCCUAUGCUAGUACAUAUACGUGGAACUUGGAACCAGGAAACUCAUGUUUCACUAAGCAGGGAAACAUGCAGGUCAGGAGAGGGGGAGAAAGAUACCUCGUUAGAGCAAAAGCAUCGAUAAACAGCACCAGACUCCAUUAGCUUCUGGGCAUGCUCUUUGUACAGAGCAUUGCGCUCCGACUGGCGGUAAGGGCCGAAAUCGCCACCAAUGUCCGGGCCUAAACAGGUACACAUACAUGAGCACAUCAAUUUGCAGGUAACAGAUUCUACUCUAGUUAUUAACUACUCCAAUACAGCGGAAUAAUCAACUACACCAUUGCAAAUUUCCUAUAAAAAGCAACCAUCGCAAACACAAUCCAGAGUAGGAGUUCGUUCUUAAACUCUGGUCAUCAGAAAGCCCUCGGUGACCUCAGAAGAACCCUGCCAGGCUGAAAUGUGGGUGAUGGUAAAUACCUUCGUCCCAGUCGAGGCCGAGCCAGGAGAGGUCGGUGAGGACGGCCUCCUCGGACUUCUUGGUGGAGCGCUCGAGGUCGGUGUCCUCGACGCGGAGGACGAACUUGCCGCCCCUGGAGCGCGCGAAGAGGUAGUUGAAGAGCGCGGUGCGGGCGCCGCCGACGUGGAGGUUGCCGGUGGGCGACGGCGCGAAGCGGACGCGGACCGGGCCGCUGCCGCCGCUGUCCGCGGAGGCGCGGGUGGCGAGCGCGCGGCGGGAGAGGCGCGGGGUCACGGACGGGAGGAGCCCGACGCGGAGCCGCGCCGACGACCCCAUGAAGUUGCUCGCCGCCAUCUCGUCGCCUUCUUCGCCGGGUGGUGGAUUGGAUUGCGACGAGGAGAGGAAGAUUUGACGAGGGGGGAUAGGAUGGGUUCGGGGGCCCAAGCCCUAUAGCCCACGAAGCCCUGAUCACCACCCUGAAGCCAGGCCUGGUUUGGUGUCCGGCUGACGUGUGGGACCCACUUUGCAUGGUUUAGGUUGGGUUUGGGCCUUUGGGGGCUAGGUUGGUGUGAGGCUGUGGGACCUACUUAGGGCAUCUUCAACAAUGCAACACAAUUGUCAUCAAAUCGGGCACCAUGACAUUUCAAUUCAGUGCUAGUCAUUAUUGUUAUUUUCCUUUUGUUUGAUUUCAUCAACCACUUCCUCAUGUGCAUCGGAGCUCGGACACACGGUCACACGCCAUGUGAUGGAUAGAGAGGUAGAGUGACCGACUCGGGUGGCAAGUGUGUCGCUCGCACAUUCCUUUACUUCCUGGGCCUGCACACGACGACUGCCUCGGCCAUGUUCUCCACUGCAUCGGUCAGGCCAUCAUCGCGUGCCCCCAUACGCUUCACGCCCCACGUGUCGGCCUCCACUUGAUCUCAUAGUUGAUGGGGAUCUUGAGUUGGCGACAACCAGGACCAUGCAUGUCAUCACCUUUAACAACAAAGAAGGGGUGUGGUGGUCGAGCCGGUGUUCCACAUGGAGCUAGUUGUGGAUACGUCCAAGACGCUGACGUGGUUCAUGAUGGCGAACUUCCACGCGAUGUUGCGGGGCUCUUUCAGGUUGUCGUGAACGAUGAUAUAGCCCAACACACACAAGUGGGACAUUCAACAUCGGUUGUGAUUCCUCGUCAUCUAGCGCACAAUACAUUACACAACCCGAUGCAAAACUUUUGAUUGUAUCCUCGUGAUUAGUUCCUUAAUCAAUAUAUCAAGUUAUCCUCUUUACCGAUUUGUACUCUUUUCUCAAUUUGUAUCUCGGUAUCCCGCUACUAACUCCUUAGUCACAAUAUAUGGCCAGGCGAUGCUGGACAUCGUAAUAACGAGUGGGCCUAGAGUGUAUCUCUUUAUCGUCACACGAGCAAAUUCCAAUCUUGACAUAUUUAGCACAACUGACUACUUUCUGGUGUGUCCAAGAUUCGUCUUUAUAACCAUCCAAUUAAGAAGUAACGUUGGAUAACCUCAAAGUUACCAUCCAGUAUUCGGAUUUAUGAUAUUAUUAUGGGCUGAGGACAUAUGUAAACGUUAAUAAAUUAAAAAACAACAUGAUUACCCUAUCAGACCACGUGAUAACUUGUCACUUUUGCCUAUUUUGUGUAUAGGAUUUGGCUAGGCUUUUGGCGUUGGACUUUUAGUAGGAUUGGCAUGUGAUGAUGAUUUUGAUCCGACCAGAUCCUUCGCAAACCCUGUUGAUCCAGUUUUAUUAGUGUAGGAUCUUUAUAACUCUAAUAGUGAAAGGAACAAUCUACGCUUAUCUCUGUUGUCGCAUGAUACGUCUCAAAUGUAUCUAUAAUUUUUUAUGGUUUCACGUUGUUAUCUUGUCAACUUUGGAUGUUUUAUAUACAUUUUAUAUCUUUUUUCGGACUAACUUAUUAAUUCAGUGCCAAGUGUCAGUUCCUGUUUUUUCUGUGUUUUUGACUCUUUUCAUAUCUGAUUUUGGAACGGAGUCCAAACGGAAUAAAAUCCCCGAAAUAAAAUUUUCCAGAUCAGAAGAAGGUCACGGGACUUGAGGGCCAAGGCAAGGGCCCCAGAGGGAUCCCACAAGCCCUGUUGCCGCGACCAGGGGGGCCCGCGGCAACCAGGCUUGUGGCCUCCCUGGCGCUCCCCUGCCCUAGCUCUUUGGCCUAUAAAUUCCCUAAAAUCACAGAAAAAAUGAGGGCAUCCACGAAAACAUUUUUCCGCCACCGCAAGCUUCCGUUUCCACGAUAUCUCAUCUGGAGACCCUUCCCGGUGCCUUGCCGGAGGGGACUUUGGAGUUGGAGGGCUUCUACAUCAACAUCAUCGCCUCUCCAAUGACUCGUGAGUAGUCCACUUCAGACCUACGGGUCCGUAGUUAGUAGCUAGAUGGCUUCUUCUCUCUCUUGGAUCUUCAAUACAAAGUUCUCCAUGAUCUUCAUGGAGAUCUAUCCGAUGUAAUCCUCUUUGGCGGUGUGUUUGUCGAGAUCCGAUGAAUUGUGGAUUUAUGAUCAGAUUAUCUAUGAAUUAUAUUUGAGUCUUUGCUGAUUUCUUAUAUGCAUGAUUUGAUAUCCUUGUAAGUCUCUCCGAGUCUUGGGUUUUGUUUGGCCAACUAGAUCUAUGAUUCUUGCAAUGGGAGAAGUGCUUGGUUUUGGGUUCAUACCGUGUGGUGACCUUUCCCAGUGACAGAAGAGGCAGCAAGGCACGCAUCGUGUUGUUGCCAUCAAGGNNNNNNNNNNNNNNNNNNNNNNNNNNNNNNNNNNNNNNNNNNNNNNNNNNNNNNNNNNNNNNNNNNNNNNNNNNNNNNNNNNNNNNNNNNNNNNNNNNNNNNNNNNNNNNNNNNNNNNNNNNNNNNNNNNNNNNNNNNNNNNNNNNNNNNNNNNNNNNNNNNNNNNNNNNNNNNNNNNNNNNNNNNNNNNNNNNNNNNNNNNNNNNNNNNNNNNNNNNNNNNNNNNNNNNNNNNNNNNNNNNNNNNNNNNNNNNNNNNNNNNNNNNNNNNNNUAAUAGUAGUAGAUGCAGAAAGUACCGGUCUAUGAUACGUCUCCGACGUAUCUACUUUUCUAAACUCUUUUUCCCUUGUUUUGUGAAAAGGACAUGGAUGUCGCCUAGAGGGGGGGUGAAUAGGCGCUUUAAAAUAGUUAAGGUUUAGGCUUGAACAAAUGCGGAAUAAAACUAAUCGUUUAAUAUGUCAAGCACAAAACCUACAAACAACUAGGCUCACCUAUGUGCACCAACAACUUAUGCUAAGCAAGAUAAACAACUAAGUGAUAGCAAGAUAUAUUACAAUAAAGAAUAUGUCUAUCACAAAGUAAAGUGCAUAAGUAAAGGGUUCGGGUAAGAGAUAACCGAGGCACGGGGAGACGAUGAUGUAUCCCGAAGUUCACACCCUUGCGGAUGCUAAUCUCUGUUAGAGCGGUGUGGAGGCACAAUGCUCCCUAAGAUGCCACUAAGGCCACCGUAAUCUCCUCACGCCCUCGCACAAUGCAAGAUGCCGUGAUUCCACUAAGGGACCCUUGAGGACGGUCACCGAACCCGUACAAAUGGCAACCCUUGGGGGCGGUCACCGAACCCGUACACGUGGCAACCCUUGGGGGCGGUUACCGGUACCCGUACAAAUUGCUCGGGGCAAUCUCCACAACCUAAUUGGAGACCCCGACGCUUCCCGGAGCUUCACACCACACUGAUUGAGCUCCGAGACACCACCAAGCUUCUAGGACGCUAAAGCAUCCACGAAGAACAAUAUCAAGAGUACUAAGUACCAAAGGUAGUAAGCUUCUCAACUUCUCACUUCCACGUAUCACCGUGGAGAACUCAAACCGAUGCAACUAAUGCAAUGGCAAGAACACACGAAGUGGUCAAGUCCCUCACACUCAAAUCCCUCCACAACAACAAAAGCUAUGGAGAAAUAUGAGAGGAAGAACAAGGAGCUCACAAAGAACUCCAAGAUCAAGAUCCAAGGGGUUCCCCUCACAUAGAGGAGAAAGUGAUUGGUGGAGAUGUGGAUCUAGAUCUCCUCUCUCUUUUCCCUCAAGAACAAGCAAGAAUCAUUGGAGGGAUAGAGAGUAAUCAAGCUCUAAGAAUGUCAACAAUGGAGGUAGAACAAGAGCUCAAAAGAUGGAUCUGACCAAGGGGGAAGAAGACCCCCUUUAUAUAGUGGGGGAAGGAAUCAGACCGUUACCCCCACUUUCUGCCCGAGCUCCAGCGGUACUACCGCUGGCUGCAGCGGUACUACCGCUGGCACUCCAGCGGUACUACCGUUGGCACUCCAGCGGUACUACUGCCAGCUAGCGGUACCACCGCUGGCUGCAGCGGUACUACCGCUGGCCCCCUGGUAGUGCAACGGCACUACCACCGCCAAGAAAGUCUUCGCAAAAAGGUCCGUCCACGAACAACCGCUAGGCAGGCGGUACUAAGCUCCUGGAGUGGUACUACCGUUGACCAGGGGCGGUACUACCGCGAGCCAGCGGUACUACAGCUAGGGCCAGCUGUACUACCGCCAACUCUAGCGGUACUACCGCUAGGUCCAGCGGUACUACCGCCAACUCUAGCGGUACUACCGCUAGGUCCAGCGGUACUACCGCUUGCCACUGAAACAACCAUAACUUUCGCAUACGAGCUCCGAAUCGAGCAAACCCAAGCUUGUUGGAUUCAGGACGACAAGGGCUAUCUUAAGACCAUGCGGUUAUGAAUAUGCCAAAGAUAUAGAGAUGUGAGAUCUCUAUGAAUGAAGAACCGGCAAAAACUCCAACAUCGAAAACAUCAUAGUAGAUGCAUAUGGACUCCGUUUUCGAUGAACUCGAGCUUGUCACGAAGAUGACCAUAAGCUCUAAAACUCACAAAGAGAAACACCAAACAAGAACCAAGAAGUAUGUUGCAAGGAUGCAAAUGGUUUGAGCUCUCAACGAACGAUACGGUCAAGCUACUCACUUGAGAGCCCCCCCCCUUGAUAGAACAGCAAUCUAUCCUAACCAGAAAACCUAUCAAGGGCAAACCUAUACCUUGCACCUCGUCCUCUUGAGCUAGAUGAUGAUGAUCUUGGUUUCCUCAAGAUGGACCACCUUUCUUGAUUGUGUUGGCUUGAUGAAGACUAGUUGAUUGCUCCCCCAUACUCACUAUGGGUGAGCCACUCUUGAGCAUAUCUUCACAAGUCCAUUGCCACCACAAUGGAUGGCAAGCUUCAAGCAUGCUAUCUUCGUGCUGAUCCACUUGAACUUGCACAUCGCAAUCUUGAUGACGAUCACAGCUUGACGUCAUACUCCAUGGGUUGUAUGAGAUCUUCCCUUUGACGCAAGCCCAUGUAAACACACCUAACCCCCACAUAGAACUCUCANNNNNNNNNNNNNNNNNNNNNNNNNNNNNNNNNNNNNNNNNNNNNNNNNNNNNNNNNNNNNNNNNNNNNNNNNNNNNNNNNNNNNNNNNNNNNNNNNNNNNNNNNNNNNNNNNNNNNNNNNNNNNNNNNNNNNNNNNNNNNNNNNNNNNNNNNNNNNNNNNNNNNNNNNNNNNNNNNNNNNNNNNNNNNNNNNNNNNNNNNNNNNNNNNNNNNNNNNNNNNNNNNNNNNNNNNNNNNNNNNNNNNNNNNNNNNNNNNNNNNNNNNNNNNNNNNNNNNNNNNNNNNNNNNNNNNNNNNNNNNNNNNNNNNNNNNNNNNNNNNNNNNNNNNNNNNNNNNNNNNNNNNNNNNNNNNNNNNNNNNNNNNNNNNNNNNNNNNNNNNNNNNNNNNNNNNNNNNNNNNNNNNNNNNNNNNNNNNNNNNNNNNNNNNNNNNNNNNNNNNNNNNNNNNNNNNNNNNNNNNNNNNNNNNNNNNNNNNNNNNNNNNNNNNNNNNNNNNNNNNNNNNNNNNNNNNNNNNNNNNNNNNNNNNACCAUGUGUCUCUAUGACCUUUCUUUGGAUAAUACCUUGAAUACUAUCUUGAUCAUCAUAUAAACUCCUUGAACCCAACAGAUGGACUUCAAGAAGUGCCUAUGGACAAAUCCAUACCAUGGGAUCACNAGAUCUUGAUCAACCAUGUGUCUCUAUGAACAUUCUUUGGAUAAUACCUUGAAUACCAUCUUGGUCAUCAUAUAAACUCCUUGAACCCAACAGAUGGACUUCAAGAAGUGCCUAUGGACAAAUCCUAUAAAUGUAACUUAAGGCAACCAUUAGUCCAUAGGAAUUGUCAUCAAGUACCAAAACCACAUAUGGACUAAUGGUAGUACCGCUAGAGGCAGCAGUAGUACCGCGCCUCGCUAUCGGUAGAACCUCUGUGCGCGGGCUGUAAGUGGGGGUAACGGUCUGAUUCCUUCCCCCACUAUAUAAAGGGGGUCUUCUUCCCCCUUGGACUCAUCUGACCGUUUGAGCUCGUGUUCUUCCUCCAAUUUUUUACCUUCUCCGAGCUUGCUAACUCUCAAUCUCUCCAAUGAUUCUUGCUUGUUCUUGAGGGAAAAGAGAGAGGAGAUCUAGAUCCAUAUCUCCACCAAUCACUUUCUCCUCUAUGUGAGGGGAACCCCUUGGAUCUAGAUCUUAAAGUUCUUUGUGAGCUCCAUGUUCUUCCUCUCAUAUUUCUCCAUAAUUUUUGUUGUUGUGGAGGGAUUUGAGUGUGAGGGACUUGACCACUUCGUUUGUUCUUGACAUUGCAUUAGUUGCAUCGGUUUGAGUUCUCCACGGUGAUACGUGGAAGUGAGAAGUUGAGAAGCUUAUUACCCUUUGGCACUUAGUACCCUAGAGAUUGUUCUUUGUGGAUGCUUUGGCGUCCUAGAAGCUUGUUGGUGUCUCGGAGCUCAAUCAUUGUGAUGUAAAGCUCCGGGCAAGCGUCGGGGGUCUCCAAUUAGGUNNNNNNNNNNNNNNNNNNNNNNNNNNNNNNNNNNNNNNNNNNNNNNNNNNNNNNNNNNNNNNNNNNNNNNNNNNNNNNNNNNNNNNNNNNNNNNNNNNNNNNNNNNNNNNNNNNNNNNNNNNNNNNNNNNNNNNNNNNNNNNNNNNNNNNNNNNNNNAGCAAUUUGUACGGGUAUCGGUGACCGCCCCUAAGGAUUGCCAUUUGUACGGAUUCGAUGACCGCCCUCAAGGGUCCCUUAGUGGAAUCACGACAUCUUGCAUUGUGCGAGGGCGUGAGGAGAUUACAGUGGCCUUAGUGGCAUCUUGGGGAGCAUUGUGCCUCCACACCGCUCCAACGAAGAUUAGCAUCCGCAAGGGUGUGAACUUCGGGAUACAUCAUCGUCUCCGCGUGCCUCGGUUAUCUCUUACCCGAAUCUUUUUUGUGCCUUCCUAUUGUAUGGAUUGGUGUGACAUUCCUGAUGGAGAUGAUUUUAUUGCCUUGACAUGAAUAAAAUAUUUAGGGGCCUUGUUCAGGGGUGUUGUUGAAGAUGCUCCAAGUAAGUCGAAAAGGGUGAACCAAUCUGUGGUUGGAUAGUUAAAGGACAGUGCUAUCCCCAUCCGACUAGGAUUCAAGUGGGAGGAGAUGUUCUCGUCGACUAUAAAGGCGUUUGUGAUGACCUCGUUACUCUCAAAAUGAUAUACCGGUUCAAUCUCUCGAAGGUGCUCAUAGAAAAAAAAUCGUGUGUACAUUUAUAGCGAUGAGUGUGCGCUCGUAUGUAUGAACGUUUGUGUGUGUACUGUGUUAAAAAAUUAAAAUUAGAAAGAAGAUCAUACACGCAUGAUCCUUUCCAGCACAGUGGNNNNNNNNNNNNNNNNNNNNNNNNNNNNNNNNNNNNNNNNNNNNNNNNNNNNNNNNNNNNNNNNNNNNNNNNNNNNNNNNNNNNNNNNNNNNNNNNNNNNUUUCCAAUAGUCUCCCACUUGCACUAGAGUCAAUAAUCUAGUUCACAUCACCAUGUGAUUCCAACGAAUCCAACACCCAUAUAGUUAUGGGGUCUGAUCACGUCUUGCUCGUGAGAGAGGUUUUAGUCAACGGUUCUCAAACUUUCAGAUCCGUGCGUUCUUUACAAAUCUUUAUGUCAUCUUAUAGAUGCUGCUACUACGUGCUAUUCGGAAAUGCUCCAAAUAUCUACUCUACUAUACGAAUCCGUUUCACUACUCAUAGUUAUUCGGAUUAGUGUCAAAGCUUGCAUCGACGUAACCCUUUACGACGAACUCUUUAACCACCUCCAUAAUCGAGAAAAAUUCCUUAGUCCAUUAGUUACUAAGGAUAAAUUUUGACCGUUGCUAGUGAUUCAAUCAUGGAUCACUCUCUGUACCUCUCAACUUACUUUGAGUCAAGGCACACAGGGGAUAGGUACACAGCAUGGCAUACUUUAGAUUCUACGGCUAAGGCAUAGAAGACGACCUUCGUCUAUUCUCUUUAUUCUGCUAGGGUCAGGUUUUGAGUCUUACUCAAAUUCACACCUCACAACGCAACCAAGAACUCCUUCUUUGCUGAUCUAUUUUGAACUCCUUCAAAAACUUGUCAAGGUAUGCAUCUUGUUGAAACUUCCAUUAAGCGCUUUCGAUCUAUCUCCGUAGAUCUUUGAUGCUCAACGUUCAAGUAGCUCAAUCCAGGUAUUCCUUUGAAAACUCCUUUCAAACAACCUUGUAUGCUUUACAGAAAUUCUGCAUUACUUCUGAUCCACAAUAUGUCAACCACAUAUACUUAUCAGAAAUUCUAUAGUGCUCGCACUCACUUCUUUGGAAAUACAAGUUUCUCAUAAACCUUGUACAAAACCCAAAAUAUUUGAUCAUCUCAUCAAAGUGUAUAUUCCAACUCCGAGAUGCUUGCACCAGUCCAUUGAAGGAUCACUGGAGCUUGCAUACUUGCUAGUAUCUUUAGGAUCGACAAAACCUUCUGGUUGUAUCACAUACAAUGUUUGCUCAAGGAAACCGUCGAGAAAACAAUGUUUUGACAUCCUACGUGCAAUAUUUCAUAAAUAAUGCAUCAACAACUAACAUAAUUCUAACAGACCUUUAGCAUCGCUACGAGUGAGAAAGUCUCAUCAUAGUCAACUGUUUGAUCUUGUCGAAAACAUCUUUGCGACAAGUCGAGCUUUUCUUAAUAGUGACUUAUCACCAUCAUCGUCUGUCUUCUUUUAAAGAUCCAUUUUACUCAAUAGUCCUAUGACCAUCAAGUAGUUCUACCAAAGUCUACACUUUGUUUUCACACAUGGAUCCUCUCUCGGAUUUCAUGGCUUCCAGCCAUUUGUCGGAAUCUGGGCCCACCAUGGCUUUCUCCAUAACUCGUAGGUUCACUGUUGCUCAACAACAUGACCUCCAAGACAGGGUUACCGUACUACUCUGCAGCAGUACGCGACCUUGUCGACCUACGAGGUUUGUAGUAACUUGAUUCGAAGCUCAAUGAUCACCAUCAUCAGCUUCCACUUCAAUUGGUGUAGGCGCCACAGGAGCAACUUCCUACGCCCUGCUACACACUGGUUGAAGUGAUGGUUCAGUAACCUCAUCAAGUUCUACUACCCUCCCACUCAAUUCUUUCGAGAGAAACCUUUCCUCGAGAAAGGAUCCGUUUCUAGAAACAAACACUUUGCUUUCGGAUCUAAGAUAGGAGAUGUACCCAACUGUUUUGGAUAUCCUAUGAAGAUGCAUUUAUUCGCUUUGGGUUCGAGCUUAUCAGACUGAAACUUUUUCACAUAAGUGUCGAAGCCCCAAACUUUCAAGAAAUGAUAGUUUAGAUUUCUCUAAACCUCAGUCUAUACUGUGUCAUCUCAACGGAAAUACGCGGUGCCCUAUUUAAAGUGAGUGCGGUUGUCUCUCAUGCAUAACCCAUAAACGAUAGUGGUAAUUCGAUAAGAGACAUCAUAGUAUGCACCAUACCAAAUAGUGCAUGGUUAUGACGUUCACACACAUCAUCACACUAUGAUGUUCCAGGUGGCAUGAACUGCGAAACAAUUUCCACAUUGUCUUAACUGCGUACCAAAACUCGUAACUCAGAUAUUCAUUUUCAUGAUCAUAUCGUAGACAGUUUAUCCUCUUGUUACGACGAACUUCACUCUGAAACGGAAUUGAACUUUUCAACAUUUCAGACUUGUGAUUCAUUAAGUAAAUACUCCUGUAUCUACUCAAAUCGUCAGUGAAGUAAGAACAUAAUGAUAUCCACUGCGUGCCUCAGCACCCAUUGGACUGCAUACAUCAAAAUGUAUCACUUCCAACAAGUUACUAUCUUAUUUCAUCUCAAUGAAAACAAGGCCUUGCUCAUGUGGUAUGAUUUGCAUGUCACUAGUGAUUCGAAAUCAGGUGAGUACAAAGAUCCAUCAGCAUGGAGCCUCUUCAUGCAAUUUUAUACUAACAUGACUCAAGCGGCAGUGCCACAAGUAAGUGGUACUAUCAUCAUUAACUCGUAUCUUUUGGCACCAAUAUCAUGAACAUGUGUAACACUACGAUCGAGAUUCAAUAAACCAUUGAAGGUGAAUAUUCAAGAAAAUAGAGUAACCAUUAUUCUCUUUAAAUGAAUAAUCGUAUUGCAAUAAACACGAUCCAAUCAUGUUCAUGCUUAACGCAAGCACCAAAUAACAAUUAGUUAGGUUUAACACCAAUCCCGAUGGUAGAGGGAGUGUGCGACGUUUGAUCAUAUCAACCUUGGAAACACUUCCAACACAUAUCGUCACCUCGCCUUUAGCUAGUCUCCGUUUAUGCCGUAGCUUUCAUUUCGUGUUACUAAUCACUUAGCAACCGAACCGGUAUCCAAUACCCUCAUGCUACUAGGAGUACUAGUAAAGUACACAUCAACAUCAUGUAUAUAAAAUAUACUUCUUUCGACUUUUGCCAGCCUUCUUAUCUACCAAGUAUCUAGAGUUGCUCCGCCUCAGUGACUGUUCCCCUCAUUACAGAAGCACUUAGUCUCGGGUUUUGGUUUAAUCUUGGGUCUCUUCAUCAGUGCAGCAACUGUUUUGCCGUUUCACGAAGUAUCCUUUCUAGCCCUUGCCUUUCUUGAAACUUAGUGGUUUUACAAACCAUCAACUAUUGAUGCUCCUUCUUGAUUUCUACUUUCGCAGUGUCAAACAUCGCGAAUUGCUCAAGGAUCAUUGUAUCUAUCCUUGAUAUGUUAUAGUUCAUCACGACGCUCUCAUAGCUUGGUGGCAGUGACUUUGGAGAACCAUCACUAUCUUAUCUGAAAGAUUAACUCCCACUUGAUUCAAGUGAUUGUCGUACUCAGACAAUCUGAGCACACGCUCAAUGAUUGAGCUUUUCUCCUUUACUUCGUGGACAAAGAAUCUUGUUGGAGGUCUCGUACCUCUUAACAAGGGCACAAGCAUGAAAUCACAAUUUCAUCUCUUUAGAACAUCACUUAUGUUCCGUGACGUUUUACAACGUUUUCGGCGCCUUGCUUCUAAGCCAUUAAGUAUUUUGCACUGAACUAUCGUGUAGUCAUCAGAAACGUGUAUGUCGGAUGUUCAUAGCAUCCACAGACGACGCUCGAGGUGCAGCACACCGAGUGGUGCAUUAAGGACAUAAUCCUUCUGCGUAGCAACGAGGACAAUCCUCGGUUUUACAGACUCAGUCUGCAAAGUUUGCUACUAUCAACUUUCAACUAAAUUUUCUCUAGGAAUAUAUAAAAAACAGUAGAGCUAUAGCGCAAGCUACAUCGUAAUCCGUAAAGACCAUUAGACUAUGUUCAUGACAAUUAGUUCAAUUAAUCAUAUUACUUAAGAACUCCCACUCAAAAAGUACAUCUCUCUAGUCAUUUGAGUGGUUCAUGAUCCACUUACACUAGCUCAAGUCCGAUCAUCACGUGAGUUGAGUAUAGUUUCAGUGGUAAGCAUCCCUAUUCUAAUAAUAUCAUCUAUAUGAUUCAUGAUCGACCUUUCGGUCUCAUGUGUUUCGAGGCCAUGUCUGCACAUGCUAGGCUCGUCAAGCUUAACCCGAGUGUUCCGCGUGCGCAACUGUUUUGCACCCGUUGUAUGUGAACGUUGAGUCUAUCACACCCGAUCAUCACGUGGUGUCUCGAAACGACGAACUGUAGCAACGGUGCACAGUCGGGGAGAACACAAUUUCGUCUUGAAAUUUUAGUGAGAGAUCACCUCAUAAUGCUACCGUCGUUCUAAGCAAAAUAAGGUGCAUAAAAGGAUUAACAUCACAUGCAAUUCAUAAGUGACAUGAUAUGGCCAUCAUCACGUGCUUCUUGAUCUCCAUCACCAAAGCACCGACACGAUCUUCUUGUCACCGGCGUCACACCAUGAUCUCCAUCAUCAUGAUCUCCAUCAACGUGUCGCCAUCGGGGUUGUCGUGCUACUCAUGCUAUUACUACUAAAGCUACGUCCUAGCAAAAUAGUAAACGCAUCUGCAAGCACAAACGUUAGUUAUAAAGACAACCCUAUGGCUCCUGCCGGUUGCCGUACCAUCGACGUGCAAGUCGAUAUUUUCUAUUACAACAUGAUCAUCUCAUACAUCCAAUAUAUCACAUCACAUCGUUGGCCAUAUCACAUCACAAGCAUACCCUGCAAAAACAAGUUAGACGUCCUCUAAUUUUGUUGUUGCAUGUUUUACGUGGUGACCAAGGGCAUCUAGUAGGAUCGCAUCUUACUUACGCAAACACCACAACGGAGAUAUAUGAGUUGCUAUUUAACCUCAUCCAAGGACCUCCUCGGUCAAAUCCGAUUCAACUAAAGUUGGAGAAACCGACACUUGCCAGUCAUCUUUGAGUAACGGGGUUACUCGUAGCGAUGAAACCAGUCUCUCGUAAGCGUACGAGUAAUGUCGGUCCAAGCCGCUUCAAUCCAACAAUACCGCGGAAUCAAGAAAAGACUAAGGAGGGAAGAAAAACGCACAUCACCGCCCACAAAAAACUUUUGUGUUCUACUCGAGAAUACAUCUACGCAUGAACCUAGCUCAUGAUGCCACUGUUGGGGAACGUCGCAUGGGAAACAAAAAAUUUCCUACGCGCACGAAGACCUAUCAUGGUGAUGUCCAUCUACAAGAGGGGAUGAGUGAUCUACGUACCCUUGUAGAUCGUACAGAAGAAGCGUUAAUGAACGCGGUUGAUGUAGUGGAACGUCCUCACGUCCCUCGAUCCGCCCCGCGAACAAUCCCGCGAUCACUCCCACGAUCUAGUACCGAACGGGCGGCACCUCCGCGUUCAGCACACGUACAGCUCGACGAUGAUCUCGGCCUUCUUGAUCCAGCAAGAGAGACGGAGAGGUAGAAGAGUUCUCCGGCAGCGUGUCGGCGCUCCGGAGGUUGGUGAUGACCUUGUCUCAGCAAGGCUCCGCCCGAGCUCCGCAGAAACGCGAUCUAGAGGAAAAACCGUGGAGGUAUGUGGUCGGGCUGCCGUGGAGAAGUCGUCUCAAAUCAGUCCUAAAACCUCCGUAUAUAUAGGUGGGAGGGAGGGGACCUUGCCUUGGGGCUCAAGGAGCCCCAAGGGGGUCGGCCGAGUCCAAGGGGGAAGGCUCCCCCCCAAACCGAGUUGGACUUGGUUUGGUGGGUGGGAGUCCUUCCUUCCCUUCCCACCUCCUCUGUUUUUUUCUUUUCUCUUUGAUUUUCUUUCCUAGGCGCAUAGGGCCCUUUUGGGCUGUCCCACCAGCCCACUAAGGGCUGGUGCGCCACCCUCAAGGCCUAUGGGCUUCCCCGGGGUGGUUUCCCCCCCCCCCCCCGGUCGAACUCCCGGAACCCAUUCGUCAUUUCCGGUACAUAACCGGUAACUCCAAAAACCUUCCGGUAAUCAAAUGAGGUCAUCUUAUAUAUCAAUCUUCGUUUCCGGACCAUUCUGGAAACCCUCGUGAUGUCCGUGAUCUCAUCCGGGACUCCGAACAACAUUCGGUAACCAACCAUAUAACUCUAAUACGCAUAAAACAACGUCGAACCUUAAGUAUCCGCAUACCUAUUUCAAUCUCGUUUACCGGCAAGUCUCUUUACUCGUUCCGUAAUACAAGAUCCCGUAACUUACACUAAGUCACAUUGCUUGCAAGGCUUGUGUGUGAUGUUGUAUUACCGAGUGGGCCCUGAGAUACCUCUCCGUCACACGGAGUGACAAAUCCCAGUCUCGAUCCAUACUAACUCAACGAACACCUUUGGAGAUACCUGUAGAGCAUCUUUAUAGUCACCCAGUUACGUUGCGACGUUUGAUACACACAAGGCAUUCCUCCGGUGUCCGUGAGUUAUAUGAUCUCAUGGUCAUAGGAACAAAUACUUGACACGCAGAAAACAGUAGCAACAAAAUGACAUGAUCAACAUGCUACGUCUAUUAGUUUGGGUCUAGUCCAUCAACAUGCGAGGUCGCGAGGGGGCGCGGCCAUGAGAGCAGGGAUCUCGGGGGAGCUUGCGGGGGCGGCGGAUCUGGGCUGGGACGGGCCGCGCGCGGGCCUGGCAGGCCGGCGGCUGGAGGAGGGAGACAUGGAGCAAGUGGGGGGCGGCUAGGGUUUCGGGACGACACAGAUUCCGAGGUGGAGAGGGGUUGGUUCCCUAAAAUUAAGGAGGAGGCCUAUUUAUAACAAAUGGGGGGGCUAGGUUUAGCGGUUUUCCGCCCCGGAUUCAACGGCGCGGACGGAUUCGGCUAAUUCCGAACGCGUGAACGGGUACGUGGCUGUGUAGAGGGGAUAUCCGGAGACGAGAGGGAGGACGGGCGGCGCGGCACGAAUUUUUAAACACCGACAGACGUCCGACGGUAGACCGAAUACGGUGCCGCUACGGUCGACCGUUCGGGUACCAGACGGUCUCCGAUCGCGACAAAAUUUGACAGGCGGCCUCGCUAUAACUAAUCACAACCGCACGUCAAAUCUCAACCCGAUCAGAGAAAGUUUUAAACGCGCUUUAAAAACAGGGUUUCGACGGUGCCGCGGGCGUGUGCAUGUGCGGUCGGGCUCAGAACGGACGACGACGCGAACUGGCAACUAACAACGGAUGCAUGUUUUGAAAACGGGCGGCAACAGAGACGCCGAUGCAAUGCAGAUGAUGCGCAUGAUGCAAUGAUGAUGCGGCAACUGAAAAUACCCACACGACGAAAACGGAAAGAAAAGGGGAAGCUUCUGGAACGUCGGCAUCGGGCUGUCACAACUCUCCUACACUACAAGAGGAUCUCGCCCCGAGAUCCAAGAAUGAAAGGGGAAGAGGGUGAGAAAGAACAAGUGGUAAAAACUUAGUCGCUUCUUUGACACAUGAGUGAAGCCAACGAUCAUUGAAAGUUGCAAAGCGAUGAGGAAUGAUAUGAGAAAGAAGCGAGAAUUCACGGAAAAUUUCGGCAGCACUUCGGUAGGAAAAUGGGACAAAAAAUUCGAAAAGGUAGGAGAAUUAGACAAUAUUCACAACAAACAAGUAAAUAGAGCAAGGGAACACCAUGAUCUUGAUAGAACAACAAGAUUGACCCAGAAGAGCAAUAUCACAAAGCCUCCGGAACAAUAGAAUAGGAACUAGCUCAUACGGAAGAAGAGAAUGAAGAAAAGAAUGACAACUAUCAUCACAACAGACUUGAAGUGCCUCCGGACAGAGAAUUGACGUAGUAGUGGUUAGAAAACCAACAACGAAAAGAACAAGAUAGUAGUGGGCUUAUGAAAAUCAUCUCAACAAAUAUGAGGUGACAAACAACCACUAAAAGAAACAAGGAUAGAUUGCGAGAAACAAGAUAUGAACAAUUACUUACACCAAGAGGAAACAUUGAGAACUCGGAUUAAUGGCAAGCACCAUGAUAACAACAAUCCAUAGGAAAAGCUUUAGGUGAAAACCAAACCCAGAUAGCUCAAUGAAGAAAUCAUGGGUUGAUAAUAUCUCAUGAUCAUAGAAUUGGUGGGUUUAAUUAUCUCAUUCUUGAAAGGAAAACUCUUCGAGGCUCCUACACUAACAAGAAGGCUAUAAUACCACCUCAAAGGAUAAAGGAAGAACAAAUGCACUUGGGAAUGCAAGAGAACGGAUACUUGAGAAAAGAAUUGAUAUCAUGGGCCACUCCGGAUGAAGAAUCGAAAUCAUUUGAUGACACAAGAAUAAGAACUAUGUUAUGCUAAUCCUUCAUCAAAUUAAAUUGAUGACAAGCAACGGAUUUAGCAUACAACUUAUUCUUCUAGAAAAGAUUGAGGAGAGAUAUGAGCACAAACUAGAAAAAGUCUAGAAGGAGACACCGGUGAGAAUUGAAAUGAAUGAGGCAACCAUGAAUGACUCGAGAUACAUGAGAAUGAUGAGACCAUGAACCACCUAACAGAAAACUUGAACAAGGCACCGGAAUAAUCGAGAGACGAACGAAGAUGCAACAAUUGAGAAGAAUCGAGGAUGAAAGCUGAAAGGUGAGAACGAAGAAUCUUCUGAAAUGAUGGCCUUCGGAGGAUCGAGAAAUGAACACAACAUUGAAAUGCACCGAAUAGCAAGAAAAUGGAUUCCUCAUGAUUGGAACAAAUUCCAGAUUAUAACACAAGGCUGAAAUGAUGAAUAUCCAAGAGAAUGAACCAAGAUUCUAGAAAAACACUCCUUCGAAUAGCAAGCUGAGAAUGAGGAGGAGAACGCCACCAAGAAUUAAUGAGACACUCCGGAAUAAAGAAGGAUGCCAGGUUGAGCCAAAUAUGAGAAUAAUUCGAAUAGAUCUUGAAGAAGGAAUAUGACUGAUGAAAAUCAUACUUACGUCAUAGUUGAAAAGAAUUAAAGAUCUCCGAGAAAAGAUUAAAAGAGCCAGGAGAGAUCCUGGGAAAGAACCUGUGGGUUAUGGGCCCACUCAAAGAAACCACCAUUGAAAAGCUUGCUAGAACAAGAGAUAUUGCACCGGUACAAGAAAACUAGAUGAGGUUAGCACCUCGAAAUAAAAGAAAGAAUUGAAAGCAAGAAUUUCUGAGAUAACUUCAGCACUCCGGAUAGACUAGAGAGAAAUGAACAACAAGAUAGGCUGCCAAGAAACUCCAACAUGGGAAAGAAUUACAAGGAUGAAAAGGAUAUGAUGACACGGACAACUGAAUUAAAUUCACCGGUAAGGAAGACAAGAAUGAACAAAGAUGAACAUGAAGCUCCUGAGAAUCUUCACAACGAAUCAUCGGGUAAGAGAGAAAAGAACAGACAGCGAAAGCAUAAUGAAAAAGAAAACUCUUGGAUGAAAAUUGAAUCACUGAGAAAAAGGGCGGGAGGGUGGGGAAAAACAAAGACAACUUGGGCUAGAUGAGAUGAACUCCGGAAUAAACGAGAGAAAGAUCUUGCAAAUUGGAGAGGGUUGAAUUCACUUGGAGAGAAACACACCGGUUGAAAAAGAAUUGAAAUGGCAACUCCGUUUGACAAAAUUGAUAAGACAACUAAUUGAGCACAAGGAUUAAUACUCUCAUAAAAAUAUGAGAACACCUCUUAGGAAAGAUCUGAAAUCACCACUUGACAUCGAAGCAACUUGAAUUACCAUAUUUAGAAAAACAAUGGGUGCGGCUUAUGAAACAAGCCAGAACAAACUCAUGAGAAAGAUUUCCGUUUGAUAUUUUCGUGGACAGGAUCGCACGGGCACGAUUUACUGUAGCCAUCAAGUGCAAGGCAGUGCACCCGACAUACGAAGCGUCCCCGAGUCGUAGCAAGCUACAAGGACUCUUUAAUACGCAACGUGUACCGCUGUAAGUCGACCGUGAACAAACGAAUCCACUAGAUGUCGAACCCCAACCUAACAUCAUGCAUUUGUUGGAAGAUUGUCCUAUAAGCAACUACUUGAAUUCCCACCUAUGAAUUCCCGAAAUAUCUGGUCAUGCAAUCUGGUACACAGAUACAAGGAGUAAUAAUCACACAACUCCUAUACUAACCCGUCACUUAUAUCACAUCCGUCAACACACGACCAGAAUCUCGAACCUUCAUCUACAACAGACCCUCGUGAUCACAACGAUACAAAGUAUGGCAGUACUCCCGAACAAUCUGCACCAGUACUGGGGACAUCGGGGUUAUCUCGCCACUACUAGUAUUGAAGCAAUUACUAACAUCCUUCGUCCUGAGAUACUAAGAAAUCUGAAUGAUAAGGAUGUGCUCAAGAAUCCCCUGCAGCUCAACUCCCCGGAAGAAGAUCAAGUCAGACAGGAGGCACCAAGACAGAACUCCGUCACAUCGGCAUCAUAUAGAUCCCAAGAAUAUCCGCGUGAUCCUAAAAAAAAUUUGAGUGGGAAGAGAAGUAGAGUAAAUUAUUACGUCAAGAUUCCUCACCAGAGCAUAGAAGAGGAGAAAAAAAUCCUACUCUCGGAUAUAUAACUAAGACUCAAAUAGUUUUACUAGACUCGACUCGGCCAAGUUCAAUCAAUCAAGGGGGCUCCUAGGUCGGUCCUUGCUCUGAUACCAACUUGUCACGCCCAAGAUGCGACCCUAUCCUCAAUUUGGCACGAAGGCCUCGUCAGGGAUAUAAGCGCAUCUCGUCGUGUCGCAAGAAUGGGUAUUGUUACAAGUACAUGUACUGAGAAGAAGAGACAUAUAAAGAGUUGGCUUACACUCCCACAAGCUACAUCAGAGUCACAUCAGUACAUUACAUAAUCAUCAAGAGUAAGAGCAGGGUCCGACUACGGACGAAACAAACGACAAAGAAGAACGACGUCCAUCCUUGCUUUCCCAGGCUGCCGGCACGGAACCCAUCCUAGAUCGAUGAAGAAGGAGAAGGAGAAGCAACUCCAAAUGGACAAUCAACGCGCUUGCAUCAAGUAACCUUUACAUGUACCUGCAACUGGUGUUGUAGUAAUCUGUGAGCCACAGGGGACUCAGCAAUCUCAUUUCCAAAGGUAUCAAGACUAGCAGAGCUUAAUGGGUGAGGUAUGGUUAAGUGGUGAGGUUGCAGCAGCGACUAAGCACAUAUUAGGUGGCUAACUUACGAGUACAGGAAAUAAGAGGGGGGAUGAUCUACGCAUAACGGGCGUGACUACUGAUGAUCAAAUGAAUGAUCCUGAACACCUACAUACGUCAGACAUAACCCCACCGUGUCCUCGAUCGGAGAAGGAACUCACGAAAGAGACAGUCACGGUUACGCACACGGUUGGCAAGUUUUAAUUAAUUAGCUUCAAGUUGUCUAGAACCAGUGUUAAACAAAGCUUCCACGUUGCCACAUAACCGCAGGCACGGCUUUCCGAAAUAUUUAACCCUGCAGGGGUGCUCCAACUAGUCCAUCACAAAUUACCACAAGCCGCAUAGAAAUCCUCAAUCACGAAGCUCGCGAUCUCGUCGGAUUCCCUAGUGGAAAACCUCAACUCUGAGAUUACCCAAAGCAUCACCGGAAUCCCGAUGCACAAGAUAUUUCGUCAAAGGUAAAACUAAUCCAGCAAGGCCGCCCGACGUGUCGACGAUCCCGAUAGAAGUCGCGUACCUCGUUCUCAGGACACGGCGGAUGAGCUAGACGUCGGGAUCGCUAAACCUCCGGGUGACCAGAGGGGCGCCGGACAUCGCUCAGGUGGGGCCAACACUCAUGAGGAGCACUGGUCCGGGGGUUGAUUAAAUUUCCUCGGGUUAAUUACUCCCUAUGCAGUUCAUUAGUUUUUAGGUAAAUGUAGUACCAAAGUUGGCCCUGCCAGACCAGCUUUAAUCUAAAACGAAUUAUCAAGGGGGUCCCCAUAACAACCCCGAUCGUGUUAGGAGCGCUCAUUUAUGGAACAUAACACCGGUAGCCGGAAACUAAGGGGGCAAAGGUGGAACAAUACACCAGGCUAGAAAGACCGAGCCUUCCACCUUUUACCAAGUAUAUAGGUGCAUUAAAUUAGAUAGCAUUAAAUAGGGUGAUAUGACAAGGAACCCAUGUUAUUGUUGGGGAACGUUGCAUGGGAAACAAAAAAUUUCCUACGCGCACGAAGACCUAUCAUGGUGAUGUCCAUCUACGAGAGGGGAUGAGUGAUCUACGUACCCUUGUAGAUCGUACAGCAGAACCGUUAGUGAACGCGGUUGAUGUAGUGGAACGUCCUCACGUCCCUCGAUCCGCGCCGCGAACAAUCCCGCGAUCGGUCCCACGAUCUAGUACCGAACGGACGGCACCUCCGCGUUCAGCACACGUACAGCUCGACGAUGAUCUCGGCCUUCUUGAUCCAGCAAGAGAGACAGAGAGGUAGAAGAGUUCUCCGGCAGCGUGACGGCGCUCCGGAGGUUGGUGAUGACCUUGUCUCAGCACGGCUCCGCCCGAGCUCCGCAGAAACGCGAUCUAGAGGAAAAACCGUGGAGGUAUGUGGUCGGGCUGCCGUGGAAAAGUCGUCUCAAAUCAGCCCUAAAACCUCCGUAUAUAUAGGUGGGAGGGAGGGGACCUUGCCUUGGGGCUCAAGGAGCCCCAAGGGGGUCGGCCGAGUCCAAGGGGGAAGGCUCCCCCCCAAACCGAGUUGGACUUGGUUUGGUGGGUGGGAGUCCUUCCUUCCCUUCCCACCUCCUCUUUUUUUCUUUUCUGUUUGAUUUUCUUUCCUAGGCGCAUAGGGCCCUUUUGGGCUGUCCCACCAGCCCACUAAGGGCUGGUGCGCCACCCUCAAGGCCUAUGGGCUUCCCCGGGGUGGGUUCGCCCCCCCCCCCCCCCGGUCGAACUCCCGGAACCCAUUCGUCAUUCCCGGUACAUUCCCGGUAACUCCGAAAACCUUCCGGUAAUCAAAUGGGGUCAUCCUAUAUAUCAAUCUUCGUUUACGGACCAUUACGGAAACCCUCGUGACGUCCGUGAUCUCAUCCGGGACUCUGAACAACAUUCGGUAACCAACCAUAUAACUCAAAUACGCAUAAAACAACGUCGAACCUUAAGUGUGCAGACCCUGCGGGUUCGAGAACUAUGUAGAAAUGACCCGAGAGACUCCUCGGUCAAUAUCCAAUAGCGGGACCUGGAUGCCCAUAUUGGAUCCUACAUAUUCUACGAAGAUCUUAUCGUUUGAACCUCAGUGCCAAGGAUUCAUAUAAUCCCGUAUGUCAUUCCCUUUGUCCUUCGGUAUGUUACUUGCCCGAGAUUCGAUCGUCAGUAUCCGCAUACCUAUUUCAAUCUCGUUUACCGGCAAGUCUCUUUACUCGUUCCGUAAUACAAGAUCCCGUAACUUACACUAAGUCACAUUGCUUGCAAGGCUUGUGUGUGAUGUUGUAUUAUCGAGUGGGCCCUCAGAUACCUCUCCGUCACACGGAGUGACAAAUCCCAGUCUCGAUCCAUACUAACUCAACCAACACCUUUGGAGAUACCUAUAGAGCAUCUUUCUAGUCACCCAGUUACGUUGCGACAUUUGAUACACACAAAGCAUUCCUCCGGUGUCCGUGAGUUAUAUGAUCUCAUGGUCAUAGGAACAAAUACUUGACACGCAGAAAACAGUAGCAACAAAAUGACACGAUCAACAUGCUACGUCUAUUAGUUUGGGUCUAGUCCAUCACAUGAUUCUCCUAAUGAUGUGAUCCCGUUAUCAAGUGACAACACUUGCCUAUGGCCAGGAAACCUUGACCAUCUUUGAUCAACGAGCUAGUCAACUAGAGGCUUACUAGGGACAGUGUUUUGUCUAUGUAUCCACACAAGUAUUGUGUUUCCAAUCAAUACAAUUAUAGCAUGGAUAAUAAACGAUUAUCAUGAACUAAGAAAUAUAAUAAUAACUAAUUUAUUAUUGCCUCUAGGGCAUAUUUCCAAUAGUCUCCCACUUGCACUAGAGUCAAUAAUCUAGUUCACAUCACCAUGUGAUUCCAACGAAUCCAACACCCAUAUAGUUAUGGGGUCUGAUCACGUCUUGCUCGUGAGAGAGGUUUUAGUCAACGGUUCUCAAACUUUCAGAUCCGUGCGUUCUUUACAAAUCUUUAUGUCAUCUUAUAGAUGCUGCUACUACGUGCUAUUCGGAAAUGCUCCAAAUAUCUACUCUACUAUACGAAUCCGUUUCACUACUCAUAGUUAUUCGGAUUAGUGUCAAAGCUUGCAUCGACGUAACCCUUUACGACGAACUCUUUAACCACCUCCAUAAUCGAGAAAAAUUCCUUAGUCCAUGAGUUACUAAGGUUAAAUUUUGACCGUUGCUAGUGAUUCAAUCAUGGAUCACUCUAUGUACCUCUCAACAGACUUUGAGUCAAGGCACACAGGGGAUAGGUACCCAGCAUGGCAUACUUCAGAUUCUACGGCCAAGGCAUAGAAGACGACCUUCGUCUAUUCUCUUUAUUCUACCGGGUCGGGUUUUGAGUCUUACUCAAAUUCACACCUCACAACGCAACCAAGAACUCCUUCUUUGCUGAUCUAUUUUGAACUCCUUCAAAAACUUGUCAAGGCAUGCAUCUUGUUGAAACUUCCAUUAAGCGCUUUCGAUCCAUCUCCAUAGAUCUUUGAUGCUCAACGUUCAAGUAGCGCAAUCCAGGUACUCCUUUGAAAACUCCUUUCAAACAACCUUGUAUGCUUUACAGAAAUUCUACAUUACUUCUGAUCCACAAUAUGUCAACCACAUAUACUUAUCAGAAAUUCUAUAGUGCUCCCACUCACUUCUUUGGAAAUACAAGUUUCUCAUAAACCUUGUACAAACCCAAAAUCUUUGAUCAUCUCAUCAAAGUGUAUAUUCUAACUCCGAGAUGCUUGCACCAGUCCAUUGAAGGAUCGCUGGAGCUUGCAUACUUGCUAGUAUCUUUAGGAUCGACAAAACCUCCUGGUUUUAUCACAUACAAUGUUUGCUCAAGGAAACCGUCGAGGAAACAAUGUUUUGACAUCCUAUGUGCAAUAUUUCAUAAAUAAUGCAACAACUACUAACAGAAUUCUAACAGACUUUCAGCAUCGCUACGAGUGAGAAAGUCUCAUCAUAGUCAACUGUUUGAUCUUGUCGGAAACAUCUUUGCGACAAGUCGAGCUUUUCUUAAUAGUGACUUAUCACCAUCAUCAUCUGUCUUCCUUUUAAAGAUCCAUUUUUACUCAAUAGUCCUAUGACCAUCAAGUAGUUCUACCAAAGUCUACACUUUGUUUUCACACAUGGAUCCUCUCUCGGAUUUCAUGGCUUCCAGCCAUUUGUCGGAAUCUGGGCCCACCAUCGCUUUCUCCAUAACUCGUAGGUUCACUGUUGCUCAACAACAUGACCUCCAAGACAGGGUUACCGUACUACUCUGCAGCAGUACGCGACCAUGUCGACCUACGAGGUUUGUAGUAACUUGAUUCGAAGCUCAAUGAUCAUCAUCAUCAGCUUCCACUUCAAUUGGUGUAGGCGCCACAUGAACAACUUCCUGCGCCCUGCUACACACUGGUUGAAGUGAUGGUUCAAUAACCUCAUCAAGUUCUACUACCCUCCCAUUCAAUUCUUUCGAGAGAAACCUUUCCUCGAGAAAGGAUCUGUUUCUAGAAACAAACACUUUGCUUUCGGAUCUGAGAUAGGAGAUGUACCCAACUGUUUUGGAUACCCUAUGAAGAAGCAUUUAUCCGCUUUGGGUUCGAGCUUAUCAGACUGAAACUUUUUCACAUAAGUGUCGAAACCCCAAACUUUCAAGAAACGACAGUUUAGAUUUCUCUAAACCUCAGUCUAUACUGUGUCAUCUCAAAGGAAAUACGCGGUGCCCUAUUUAACGUGAGUGCGGUUGUCUCUAAUGCAUAACCCAUAAACGAUAGUGGUAAUUCGACAAGAGACAUCAUAGUAUGCACCAUACCAAAUAGUGCGUGGCUAUGACGUUCAGACACAUCAUCACACUAUGAUGUUCCAGGUGGCAUGAACUGCGAAACAAUUUCCACAUUGUCUUAACUGCGUACCAAAACUUGUAACUCAGAUAUUCAUUUCUAUGAUCAUAUCGUAGACAGUUUAUCCUCUUGUUACGACGAACUUCACUCUGAAACGGAUUUGAACUUUUCAACAUUUCAGACUUGUGAUUCAUUAAGUAAAUACUCUUGUAUCUACUCAAAUCGUCAGUGAAGUAAGAACAUAAUGAUAUCCACUGCGUGCCUCAGUACCCAUUGGACUGCAUACAUCAAAAUGUAUCACUUCCAACAAGUUACUAUCUUAUUUCAUCUCAAUGAAAACAAGGCCUUGCUCAUGUGGUAUGGUUUGCAUGUCACUAGUGAUUCGAAAUCAGGUGAGUACAAAGAUCCAUCAGCAUGGAGCCUCUUCAUGCAAUUUAUACUAACAUGACUCAAGCGGCAGUGCCACAAGUAAGUGGUACUAUCAUCAUUAACUCGUAUCUUUUUGGCACCAAUAUUAUGAACAUGUGUAACACUACGAUCGAGAUUCAAUAAACCAUUGAAGGUGAUUAUUCAAGAAAAUAGAGUAACCAUUAUUCUCUUUAAAUGAAUAAUCGUAUUGCAAUAAACACGAUCCAAUCAUGUUCAUGCUUAACGCAAGCACCAAAUAACAAUUAUUUAGGUUUAACACCAAUCCUGAUGGUAGAGGGAGCGUGCGACGUUUGAUCAUAUCAACCUUGGAAACACUUCCAACACGUAUCGUCACCUCGCCUUUAGCUAGUCUCCGUUUAUGCCGUAGCUUCCAUUUCGUGUUACUAAUCACUUAGCAACCGAACCGGUAUCCAAUACCCUCAUGCUACUAGGAGUACUAGUAAAGUACACAUCAACAUCAUGUAUAUGUAAUAUACUUGUCUUGACUUUUGCUAGCCUUCUUAUCUACCAAGUAUCUAGAGUUGCUCCGCCUCAGUGACUGUUCCCCUCAUUACAGAAGCACUUAGUCUCGGGUUUGGGUUUAAUCUUGGGUCUCUUCAUUAGUGUAGCAACUGUUUUGCCGUUUCACGAAGUAUCCCUUCUAGCCCUUGCCUUUCUUGAAACUUAGUGGUUUUACAAACCAUCAACUAUUGAUGCUCCUUCUUGAUUUCUACUUUCGUAGUGUCAAACAUCGCGAAUCGCUCAAGGAUCAUUGUAUGUAUCCUUGAUAUGUUAUAGUUCAUCACGAAGCUCUCACAGCUUGGUGGCAGUGACUUUGGAGAACUAUCACUAUCUCAUCUGGAAGAUUAACUCCCACUUGAUUCAAGCGAUUGUCGUACUCAGACAAUCUGAGCACACGCUCAACGAUUGAGCCUUUCUCCUUUACUUUGUGGACAAAGAAUCUUGUCGGAGGUCUCGUACCUCUUAACAAGGGCACAAGCAUGAAAUCACAAUUUCAUCUCUUUAGAACAUCACUCAUGUUCCGUGACGUUUUACAACGUUUUCGGCGCCUUGCUUCUAAGCCAUUAAGUAUUUUGCACUGAACUAUCGUGUAGUCAUCAGAAACGUGUAUGUCGGAUGUUCAUAGCAUCCACAGACGACGCUCGAGGUGCAGCACACCGAGUGGUGCAUUAAGGACAUAAUCCUUCUGCGCAGCAACGAGGACCAUCCUCGGUUUUACAGACCCAGUCUGCAAAGUUUUGCUACUAUCAAUUUUCAACUAAAUUUUCUCUAGGAACAUAUAAAAACAGUAGAGCUAUAGCGCAAGCUACAUCGUAAUUCGCAAAGACCAUUAGACUAUGUUCAUGACAAUUAGUUCAAUUAAUCAUAUUACUUAAGAACUCCCACUCAAAAAAGUACAUCUCUCUAGUCAUUUGAGUGGUACAUGAUCCAAAUCCACUAUCUCAAGUCCGAUCAUCACGUGAGUCGAGAAUAGUUUCAGUGGUAAGCAUCUCUAUGCUAAUCAUAUCAACUAUACGAUUCAUGCUCGAUCUUUCGGUCUCAUGUGUUCCGAGGCCAUGUCUGCACAUGCUAGGCUCGUCAAGCUUAACCCGAGUGUUCCGCGUGCGCAACUGUUUUGCACCCGUUGUAUGUGAACGUUAAGUCUAUCACACCCGAUCAUCACGUGGUGUCUCGAAACGACGAACUGUAGCAACGGUGCAUAGUCGGGGAGAACACAAUUUCGUCUUGAAAUUUUAGUGAGAGAUCACCUCAUAAUGCUACCGUCGUUCUAAGCAAAAUAAGGUGCAUAAAAGGAUUAACAUCACAUGCAAUUCAUAAGUGACAUGAUAUGGCCAUCAUCACGUGCUUCUUGAUCUCCAUCACCAAAGCACCGGCACGAUCUUCUUGUCACCGGCGUCACACCAUGAUCUCCAUCAUCAUGAUCUCCAUCAACGUGUCGCCAUCGGGGUUGUCGUGCUACUCAUGCUAUUACUACUAAAGCUACGUCCUAGCAAAAUAGUAAACGCAUCUGCAAGCACAAACGUUAGUUAUAAAGACAACCCUAUGGCUCCUGCCGGUUGCCGUACCAUCGACGUGCAAGUCGAUAUUAACUAUUACAACAUGAUCAUCUCAUACAUCCAAUAUAUCACAUCACAUCGUUGGCCAUAUCACAUCACAAGCAUACCCUGCAAAAACAAGUUAGACGUCCUCUAAUUUUGUUGUUUGCAUGUUUUACGUGGUGACCAUGGGUAUCUAGUAGGAUCGCAUCUUACUUACGCAAACACCACAACGGAGAUAUAUGAAUUGCUAUUUAACCUCAUCCAAGGACCUCCUCGGUCAAUUCCGAUUCAACUAAAGUUGGAGAAACUGACACCCGCCAGUCAUCUUUGAGCAACGGAGUUACUCGUAGCGAUGAAACCAGUCUCUCGUAAGCGUACGAGUAAUGUCGGUUCGAGCCGCUUCGAUCCAACAAUACCGCGGAAUCAAGAAAAGACUAAGGAGGGCAGCAAAACGCACAUCACCGCCCACAAAAACUUUUGUGUUCUACUCGAGAAGACAUCUACGCAUGAACCUAGCUCUGAUACCACUGUUGGGGAACGUCGCAUGGGAAACAAAAAUUUUCCUACGCGCACGAAGACCUAUCAUGGUGAUGUCCAUCUACGAGAGGGGAUGAGUGAUCUACGUACCCUUGUAGAUCGUACAGCAGAAGCGUUAGUGAACGCGGUUGAUGUAGUGGAACGUCCUCACGUCCCUCGAUCCGCCCCGCGAACAAUCCCGCGAUCAGUCCCACGAUCUAGUACCGAACGGACGGCACCUCCGCGUUCAGCACACGUACAGCUCGACGAUGAUUUCGGCCUUCUUGAUCCAGCAAGAGAGACGGAGAGGUAGAAGAGUUCUCCGGCAGCGUGGCGGUGCUCCGGAGGUUGGUGAUGACCUUGUUUCAGCAGGGCUCCGCCCGAGCUCCGCAGAAACGCGAUCUAGAGGAAAAACCGUGGAGGUGUGUGGUCGGGCUGCCGUGGAAAAGUCGUCUCAAAUCAGCCCUAAAACCUCCGUAUAUAUAGGUAGGAGGGAGGGGAGGAGGCAGCCUCAAAACCUAAAGGUUUGGCCGAAAUUGGAGGUGGAGGAGUCCUACUCCAAUCCUACUUGGAGUAGGAUUCCACCUUCCCACUUGGAAACUCUUUCCACCUUGUGUUUUUUCCUUCUCAAACCUUAUGGGCCUUAGUGGGAACUUAUUCCAGCCCACUAGGGGCUGGUUUAUCUCUUCCCAUAGCCCAUGAGACCCCUUGGGGCGUGACACCCCUCCCGAUGGUCCCCGGCACCCCUCCCGGCACUCCCGGUACACUACCGAUGAGCCCGAAACUUUUCCGGUAAUGCACGAAAACCUUCCGGUAACCAAAUGAGGUCAUCCUAUAUAUCAAUCUUCGUUUCCGGACCAUUCCGAAAACCCUCGUGACAUCCGUGAUCUCAUCCGGGACUCCGAACAACAUUCGGUAACCAACCAUAUAACUCAAAUACGCAUAAAACAACGUCGAACCUUAAGUGUGCAGACCCUGCGGGUUCGAGAACUAUGUAGACAUGACCCGAGAGACUCCUCGGUCAAUAUCCAAUAGCAGGACCUGGAUGCCCAUAUUGGAUCCUACAUAUUCUACGAAGAUCUUAUCGUUUGAACCUCAGUGCCAAGGAUUCAUAUAAUCCCGUAUGUCAUUCCCUUUGUCCUUCGUAUGUUACUUGUCCGAGAUUAGAUCGUCAGUAUCCGCAUACCUAUUUGAAUCUCGUUUACCGGCAAGUCUCUUUACUCGUUCUGUAAUACAAGAUCCCGCAACUUACACUAAGUCACAUUGCUUGCAAGGCUUGUGUGUGAUGUUGUAUUACCGAGUGGGCCCCGAGAUACUUCUCCGUCACACGGAGUGACAAAUCCCAGUCUUGAUCCAUACUAACUCAACUAACACCUUCGGAGAUACCUGUAGAGCAUCUUUAUAGUCACCCAGUUACGUUGCGACGUUUGAUACACACAAAGCAUUCCUCCGGUGUCAGUGAGUUAUAUGAUCUCAUGGUCAUAGGAACAAAUACUUGACACGCAGAAAACAGUAGCAACAAAAUGACACGAUCAACAUGCUACGUCUAUUAGUUUGGGUCUAGUCCAUCACAUGAUUCUCCUAAUGAUGUGAUCCCGUUAUCAAGUGACAACACUUGCCUAUGGUCAGGAAACCUUGACCAUCUUUGAUCAACGAGCUAGUCAACUAGAGGCUUACUAGGGACAGUGUUUUGUCUAUGUAUCCACACAUGCACUGUGUUUCCAAUCAAUACAAUUAUAGCAUGGAUAAUAAACGAUUAUCAUGAACAAAGAAAUAUAAUAAUAACUAAUUUAUUAUUGCCUCUGGGGCAUAUUUCCAACAAUUAGAUGUCAUUGAUAACGGGAUCACAUCAUUGGGAGAAUGAUGUGAUGGACAAGACCCAAUCCUAAGCCUAGCACUAGAUCGUAUUGUUCGUAUGCUAAUGCUUUUCUAAUGUCAAGUAUAUUUUCCUUCGACCGUGAGAUUGUGCAACUCCCGGAUACCGUAGGAGUGCUUUGCGUGUAUCAAACGUCACAACGUAACUGGGUGACUGUAAAGGUGCACUACGGGUACCUCUGAAAGUGUCUGUUGGGUUGGCACGAAUCGAGAUCGGGAUUUGUCACUCCGUGUGACGGAGAGGUACCUCUGGGCCCACUCGGUAGAACAUCAUCAUAGCUCAAUGUGACUAAGGGGUUAGUCACACGAUGACGUGCUACGGAACGAGUAAAGAGACUUACCGGUAACGAGAUGGAACAAGGUAUAGGUAUACCGACGAUCGAAUCUCGGGCAAGUUCUAUACCGACAGACAAAGGGAAUCGUAUACGGGAUUGAUUGAAUCCUUGACAUCGUGGUUCAUCCGAUGAGAUCAUCAUGGAGCUAGUGGGAGCCACCAUGGGUAUCCAGAUCCCGCUGAUGGUUAUUGGCCGGAGAGGUGUCUCGGUCAUGUCUGCCUGUCUCCCGAACCCGUAGGGUCUACACACUUAAGGUUCGAUGACGCUAGGGUUAUAGGGAAUUGUUGUACGAGGUUACCGAUAGUUGUUGGGAGUCCCGGAUGAGAUCCCGCACGUCACGAGGAGCUCCGGAAUGGUCUGGAGGUAAAUAUUGAUAUAUAGGACGGAUGGUUUCGGACACCGGAAGUGUUUCGGGCAUCACCGGUAACGUACCGGGACCACCGGGACCACCGGAGGUGGUCCCGGGGGACCACCGAAGGGGGGCUGCGACCCCGGGAGGUAAGGUGGGCCAAGUGGGGGUGAGAACCAGCCCCUAGUUGGGCUGGUGUGCCUCCCCACUCAGCCCAUGGCGCAGGGGAAAGAAAAAAAGGGGGGGCAAACCCUAGGCCAGGUGGGCCUAAGGCCCACCAGUGGGUGCGCCACCCCCUCCUCCCCAUCUGGCCGCCGCACCACCCAUCUGGGAGGGCUGCCGCACCCCCUAGGGUGGGAACCCUAGGGGUGGCACCCCCUCUCCCCUUCCCCUAUAUAUAGUGGGCACUUUUGGCCUUUGGAGGACACGGUUUUCCCUCUCCUUCGGCGCAGCCCUGCACUUCUUCCUCCUCCUCUUUGCCGGCGCUUGGCGAAGCCCUGCCGGGAGACCUCGUCUCUCCACCGACACCACGCCGUCGUGUUGCUGGACUUCUUCCCCAACCUCUCCCUCCUCCUUGCUGGAUCAAGGUGCGGGAGACGUCACCGGGCUGCACGUGUGUUGAACGCGGAGGUGCCGUUGUUCGGCACUAGAUCGGAAUCGCCGCGAGUACGACUCCAUCAACCGCGUUCUAGCAACGCUUCCUCUUAGCGAUCUUCAAAGGUAUGAAGAUGCUCUUACCCCUCUCUCGUUGCUGGUCUCUCCAUAGGAAGAUCUGAACAUGCGUAGGAAAAUUUUGAAUUUAUGCUACGUUACCCAACAAUGGUAUCAGACCCAGGUUUUCUAUGCGUAGAUUCUAUGCACGAGUAGAACACAAAAGUUGUGGGCGAUGGUUUGGUAAUUUGCUUGCCGUUACUAGUCUUAUUCUUUUCCGGCGGUAUUGUGGGAUGAAGCGGCCCGGACCGACCUUACAUGUACGCUUACGUGAGACUGGUUCCACCGACAGACAUGCACAUCGUGCAUAAAGGUGGCUAGCGGGUGUCUGUCUCUCCUACUCUAGUCGGAUUGGAUUUGAUGAAAAGGGUCCUUAUGAAGAGUAAAUAGCUUUGGCAUAUCAUCGUUGUGGCUGUCACGUAGGUAAGAAGGCGUUCUUGCUAGAAACCCAAAUCAGCCACGUAAAACUUGCAACAACAAUUAGAGGACGUCUAACUUGUUUUUGCAGGGUUUGACAUGUGAUGUGACAUGGCCAAAGUUGUGAUGUUGCAUGUAUGAUGUAUGAGAUGAUCAUGUUAUUGUAAUAGGUUUCACGACUUGCAUGUCGAUGAGUAUGACAACCGGCAGGAGCCAUAGGAGUUGUCUUAAUUUAUUGUAUGAGAUGCAACGCCAUGUGCUUACUAUUUUACUUCAUUGCUAACGAUUAGCCAUAGUAGUAGUGAUAGUAGUAGUUGGCGUGACGACUUCACGGAGACACGAUGAUGGAGAUCAUGGUGUCACGCCGGUGACAAUGAUGAUCAUGCGAUGCCUGAAGAUGGAGAUCGAAAGAGCAAAGAUGAUAAUGGCCAUAUCAUGUCACUAUAUGAUUGCAUUGUGAUGUUUAUCAUGUUUUACAUCUUAUUGCUUAAAACGACGGUAGCAUAAUAAGAUGAUCCCUCUUAAAAUUUCGAGAACGUAUUCCCCUAAGUGUGCACCGUUGCGAAGGUUCGUUGUCUCGAAGCACCACAUGAUGAUCGGGUGUGAUAGAUUCUAACGUUCGCAUACAACGGGUGUAAGCCAGAUUUACACACGCGAAACACCUAGGUUGACUCGACGAGCUUAGCAUGUACAGACAUGACCUCGAAUACAAGAGACCGAAAGGUCGAACAUGAGUCGUAUGGUUGAAUACGAUCAGCAUAAGUUGCUCACCAUGGUGACUAGUCCGUCUCACGUGAUGAUCGGACACGGGUUAGUCAACAUGGAUCAUGUAUCACUUAGAUGACUAGAGGGAUGUCGAUUUAAGUGGGAGUUCAUACUUAAUUUGAUUAAAUGAACUUAAUUGUCAUGAACUUAGUCUAAAAGUUGUCUUUACAAAUAUUAUAGAUGUCCAACGUCAACCUCAACUUCAACGCAUUCCUAGAGAAAAACAAGCUGAAAGAUGAUGGUAGAAACUAUGCGGACUGGGUUCGCAACCUGAAGCUCAUCCUUGAAGCAAGUAAAAAAGGCUUAUGUCCUUAAUGCGCCGCUAGGUGACCCUCCCGCUCCCGCAGCAGCCCAGGACAUUCUAAACAUCUGGCAAGCGCGGAGUGAUGACUACUCUCUGGUCAGGUGUGGCAUGUUAUACAGUUUAGAAACGGGGCUCCAAAGACGUUUUGAGCAACACGGGGCAUAUGAGAUGUUCCAAGAGCUGAAGCUAGUUUUUCAAGCUCAUGCCCGUGUCGAGAGAUAUGAAGUCUCCGACAAGUUCUUCAGCUGUAAGAUGGAGGAGAACAGUUCUGUCAGCGAGCACAUACUCAAAAUGUCUGGGUUACACGGUCGUCUGACUUCACUUGGAGUCGAACUUCCGGAUGAUGCUAUCAUUGACAGAAUCCUCCAGUCUCUCCCACCAAGCUACAAAGGCUUUGUGCUUAACUACAACAUGCAAGGGAUGGAGAAAACCAUUCCCGAGUUGUACUCGAUGCUCAAGUCUGCAGAAGUAGAAAUCAAGAAGGAGCAUCAAGUGUUGAUGGUCAACAAGACCACUAGUUUCAAGAAAGGCAGGGGUAAGAAGAACUUCAAGAAAGACGGCAAAGCUGUUGCCGCGCCCGGUAAGCCAGAUGCCGGGAAGAAGAAAAAGAACGGACCCAAGCCUGAGACUGAGUGCUUCUAUUGCAAGGGAAAGGGUCACUGGAAGCGGAACUGCCCCAAAUACUUAGCGGACAAGAAGGCCGACAACGUUAAAGGUAUAUUUGAUAUACAUGUUAUUGAUGUGUACCUUACCAGCGCUCGUAGUAGCUCCUGGGUAUUUGAUACCGGUGUUGUUGCUCACAUUUGCAACUCAAAGCAGGAACUGCGGAAUAAGCGGAGACUGGCCAAGGACGAGGUGACGAUGCGCGUCGGAAAUGGUUCAAAGGUCGAUGUGAUCGCCGUCGGGACGCUACCUCUACAUCUACCGUCGGGAUUAGUUUUGAACCUUAAUAAUUGUUAUUUAGUAUCAGCUUUAAGCAUGAACAUUGUAUCAGGGUCUUGCUUAAUGCGAGACGGCUACUCAUUUAAGUCAGAGAAUAAUGGUUGUUCUAUUUAUAUGAGUGAUAUGUUUUAUGGUCAUGCUCCGCUGGUGAAUGGUUUAUUCUUGAUGAAUCUCGAUCGUGAUGUUACACAUAUUCAUAGCGUGAGUACCAAAAGAUGCAAAGUUGAUAAUGAUAGUCCCACGUACUUGUGGCACUGCCGCCUUGGUCAUAUCGGCGUUAAACGCAUGAAGAAGCUCCAUACUGAUGGACUAUUAGAGUCUCUUGACUUUGAAUUAUUUGACACAUGCGAACCGUGCCUCAUGGGCAAGAUGACUAAGACUCCAUUCUCAGGAAUAAUGGAGAGAGCAACCGACUUAUUGGAAAUAAUACAUACUGAUGUGUGUGGUCCAAUGAACGUUGAAGCUCGCGGUGGUUAUCGUUAUGUUCUCACUCUCACCGAUGAUUUGAGUAGGUAUGGGUAUAUCUACUUGAUGAAGCACAAAUCUGAGACGUUUGAAAAGUUCAAGGAAUUUCAGAGUGAGGUUGAGAAUCAACGUGACAGAAAAAUUAAAUGUCUACGAUCCGAUCGUGGAGGAGAAUAUUUGAGUCACGAGUUUGGCACACACCUAAGGAAUUGUGGAAUCGUUUCACAACUAACGCCGCCUGGCACACCGCAGCGCAACAGAGUGUCUGAACGUCGUAAUCGCACUUUAUUAGAUAUGGUACGAUCUAUGAUGUCUCUCACCGACUUACCGCUAUCAUUUUGGGGAUACGCAUUAGAAACUGCAGCAUUCACUUUAAAUAGGGCACCGUCUAAAUCCGUUGAGACGACACCGUAUGAACUAUGGUUUGGCAAGAAACCUAAGUUGUCGUUUCUUAAAGUUUGGGGCUGCGAUGCUUAUGUGAAGAAACUUCAACCAGAAAAGCUCGAACCCAAAGCGGAGAAAUGCGUAUUCAUAGGAUACCCUAAGAAAACUAUUGGGUAUACCUUCUAUCUUAGAUCCGAAGGUAAAACCUUUGUUGCCAAGAACGGAUCCUUUCUAGAGAAAGAGUUUCUCUCGAAAGAAGUAAGUGGGAGAAAGGUAGAACUUGAUGAGGUAAUUACACCCCCUCUCGAACAGGAAAGUAGCGCAGCACGGGAAGUUGUUCCUGUGGCGCCUACACCGACUGAAGAGGAAGUUAAUGAUGAUGAUCAUGAAGCUUCGGAUCAAGUUACUACUGAACCGCGAAGGUCCACAAGGGUACGCUCCGCACCAGAGUGGUACGGCAACCCUGUGAUGGAAAUCAUGUUGUUAGACAACGGUGAACCUUCGAACUAUGAAGAAGCAAUGGCGGGCCCGGAUUCCAACAAAUGGCUUGAGGCCAUGAAAUCCGAGAUAGGAUCCAUGUAUGAGAACAAAGUAUGGACUUUGAUGGACUUGCCCGAUGACCGGCGAGCCAUAGAAAAUAAAUGGAUCUUCAAGAAGAAGACUGAUGCAAAUGGUAAUGUAACCGUUUACAAAGCUCGACUUGUCGCAAAGGGUUUUCGACAAAUUCAAGGAGUUGACUACGAAGAGACUUUCUCUCCCGUAGCGAAGCUGAAAUCAGUCCGAAUCAUGUUAGCAAUUGCCGCCUUUUAUGAUUAUGAAAUUUGGCAAAUGGACGUCAAAACAGCGUUCCUUAACGGGAACCUUAAAGAAGAGUUGUAUAUGAUGCAACCAGAAGGUUUUGUCGAUCCUAAGGGUGCUAACAAAGUAUGCAAGCUCCAGCGCUCCAUCUAUGGGCUGGUGCAAGCAUCUCGGAGUUGGAACAUUUGCUUUAAUGAAGUGAUUAAAGCGUUUGGGUUCAUACAGGUUUACGGAGAAGCCUGUCUGUACAAGAAAGUGAGUGGGAGCUCUGUAGCUUUCCUCGUACUAUAUGUAGAUGACAUAUUAUUGAUGGGGAAUAAUAUAGAGAUGUUGGAGAGCAUAAAGGCCUAUUUGAACAAGAGUUUUUCAAUGAAGGACCUUGGAGAAGCUGCAUACAUAUUAGGCAUCAAGAUCUAUAGAGAUAGAUCGAGACGCCUCAUAGGUCUUCCGCAAAGUACAUACCUUGACAAGAUAUUAAAGAAGUUCAAUAUGGAAAACUCAAAGAAAGGGUUCUUGCCAGUUUUGCAAGGUAUGAGAUUGAGUAAGACUCAGUCACCGACCACGGCAGCAGAUAGAGAGAAGAUGAGUUCUGUCCCCUACGCUUCAGUCGUGGGCUCUCUAAUGUAUGCCAUGCUGUGUACCAGACCUGAUAUAAACCUUGCCAUAAGCUUGGUAGGGAGGUACCAAAGUAAUCCCGGUGCGGAACACUGGACAGCGGUCAAGAAUAUCCUUAAGUACCUGAAAAGGACUAAGGAAAUGUUUCUCGUUUAUGGAGGUGACGAAGAGCUCGUCGUAAAGGGUUACGUCGACGCUAGCUUCGACACAGAUCCGGAUGACUCUAAGUCACAGACCGGAUACGUAUAUGUGUUGAAUGGUGGGGCAGUGAGCUGGUGCAGCAGCAAGCAAGAAGUCGUGGCAGCAUCUACAUGUGAAGCGGAGUACAUAGCUGCUUCAGAAGCGGCUCAUGAAGGAAUUUGGAUGAAGGAGCUCAUCACCGACCUUGGAGUGGUUCCAAGCGCGUCAGGUCCUAUGACACUCUUCUGUGAUAACACUGGAGCCAUUGCCAUAGCCAAGGAGCCCAGGUUUCACCGGAAGACGAAGCACAUCAAGCGCCGCUACAACUCCAUCCAGGACCAUGUCCAGAGUGGAGUGAUAGAUAUUUGUAAAGUACACACGGAUCUGAAUAUUGCAGACCCGUUGACUAAACCUCUUCCACGAGCAAAACAUGAUCGACACCAUGAUGCUAUGGGUGUUCGAUACAUCACAAUGUAACUAGAUUGUUGACUCUAGUGCAAGUGGGAGACUGUUGGAAAUAUGCCCUAGAGGCAAUAAUAAAAUGGUUGUUAUCAUAUUUCCUUGUUCAUGAUAAUCGUCUAUCGUUCAUGCUAUAAUUGUAUUAACAGGAAACAGUAAUACAUGUGUGAAUGAAUAGAUCACAAUGUGUCCCUAGCAAGCCUCUAGUUGGCUAGCUCGUUAGUCAAUAGAUGAUCAUGGUUUCCUGAUCAUGGGCNNNNNNNNNNNNNNNNNNNNNNNNNNNNNNNNNNNNNNNNNNNNNNNNNNNNNNNNNNNNNNNNNNNNNNNNNNNNNNNNNNNNNNNNNNNNNNNNNNNNAAGAAGAAGCAGCAACCUGGCAUUACCCAAGAAGAAGCAAGAAAAGGAGGGACGUACGGUGGGGAAGGUGUUGGAGGUGUAGGAGAUGAGCAUGCAGGUCUUGCCGACGGCGCCGUCCCCCACGGUGACGCACUUUAUGAACCUGGACGCGCUCAUCCUCCCUCUUUCCCUCGCUGCCGGUGAAGCUGCGGGCGAGACAGGGGGAGGAGGAGGAAGAAGAAGGGGAGGUGGGGAGCUGGUUAAGAUUUGGGGCCAGAGGAGCGAGGCCCAGGGCGGGGUGUGGAGGUUAAGAUUGGGGGGCGCGGCGCGGGGGCGGGGACAAAUGGAGGGGAGCGCGGGGGAGGGGGAGGAGAGGGAUGCGGGGGUGCGGCCGAGGAAGCGGUCUCCGCGCCGAAUCGCUGGGUGCCUCCGCUUAGCCUGGUCGCUACGCUCGCCGAGGGAGAAGAAGAGAACCAACGGUGGGUGGGGUGGGUGGGGGUGGACACGGUGUGCGCGCGCAUCAUUUCCUUCUUUAUUACCGCCCGCUCCUGCCCGGCCCCGGCACCGGCACCGGCAGCGGCAGCAGCAGCCAUCAUCACGCCCCGCCCCAUAAUUAAUUUCCUGGCUAAUCCCGCGUGCAAACUCGUUCAUCCAUUCAUUCAUCACAGUUUUCCACCGAGUACAAAUGUUUCUUCUCAGCAAAAAAUAUUAAACUUCUGUUAUAGACAGUGCAAACAGUUGAGUGUGUGUAAUCCGAUUCCAAAUGUGGGGAGUGAGAAUCUGAUGUGUAUCCUUGGCAGGGUCAGCUGUAUCGUCAUAAAUGUAGAAAUUGUGCUACGUUAGCCGCAGUAAGGCCAGCUUGAUUGAACGUGUGGUCGAAAAGGUUGGAACGCUUAUCACGAGGCGCACAGCAAGAAUCCGUCGUAUGUGCUUGGCGGGGCUAGCUGUAUCGUCAUAAAUGUAGGAAUUGUGCUACGCUGGUCGUAAGUAAGGCCAGCUUGAUUGGCACAGAGCUCACGCGUGGUCAAAAAUGUUGUAGCGCUUACUACGAGUCAUAGUAAGAAUCCGUUGUGUAUCCUUGGUAGGGUUAGUUCUGUGGGGUUUAUAAAWAUUGGCCAAGGGGGGUUUCCUGUUUACCGGCUUGGGUUAGUAAAGUAAAGGCCCAACUUGAUUGGAUGUUNNNNNNNNNNNNNNNNNNNNNNNNNNNNNNNNNNNNNNNNNNNNNNNNNNNNNNNNNNNNNNNNNNNNNNNNNNNNNNNNNNNNNNNNNNNNNNNNNNNNGCCGUCGGCCGUCCUCCUCGCCGCCGCGCCGUCCUCCUCGCCGUCAUCGCCGUCCUCCUCGACGUCGCACCCGUCGCUCCUCGCCGUCGCGCCGUCCUCCGCGCCAUCCUCCUCGCCGCGCGCCGUCGACACCUCCGACCGGUAAGCCCCCCGCCCCACUCCUCCCCAACACUCCGGCCAGUAUAGAAGAAAAGAAGAAAAAAGGAGAAGAGAAGAAGAAAAAGGAGAAGAAAGGAAGAAAAAGGAGAAGAAAAGAAGAAAAAGGAGAAGAAGAAGAAGARAAAGAWAAAGAUUUUUUUUGUCAUUUAAUUCCUAUUGUUAUUAGGUUUGUGCUAGAUUAUUAGGGUUAGUAAUAUUUAGAAUUAGGUUAGGGUUACAAGAAGAAGAAAUAUGAACAAAAAUAAGAAAUAAGAUUAGGAAAAAUGAAAAUUAAGAAGAGGAGGAGAAGAAAAGAAGAAAAAAAUGUAUAUUGUAUAGUGUAUAUGCUUAAGUGUAUAGUGUAUAUAGUGUAUAGUGUAUAAGGAGAGGAGAAAUUUUUGCUAUAGUGUAUAUAGUGUAUAGUGUAUAAGAAAAGAAGAAAAGAAGAGGAGGAGAAGAGAAGAAAAGAAGAAGAGGAGAAGAAAAAUGAAAUAAGAAGAGGAGGAAUUUUGCUAUUGUAUAGUGUAUAUGCUUAAGUGUUAAUAGUGUUUCUUAGAUUAUUGCUUACUUUUGCUAUUAUAUAUGCUUAAGUGUUGAUAGUUUAAUUUUGCUAUUGUAUAUGCUUAAGUGUUAAUAGUUUAUUUUCAGCAAGAAAAUUAAUAGAACUAGUUUAUUUUUUAGUUCAUUUUACGAUGCCUAUCCCGCAUCCUCGUCGUCGACUCGGCGGAGGACACCUGCUUGAUCAGAGGGGCCCUGUCCGGGACUGGGCUCCGCCCGGCUGGUAUUGGGAGGUGCUACCUUCCGGGGGGCGUAGGUUGGUGAGGAGCCAGCCCGUCGUUGACCCGAUCCUUGUUUGGUGGCGGUCGCGUGGGCCAGUGAGGGUGCCGAGGCUUCCGGACACCGCGGAGGUGGUACGUCACCGUGUCAGCGAGGAGGAUGAGCACGUCCGUCGCUACAUGGUUGCGUUGGAGGGCAGGUUCGAGCAUACCUGGCAGGUUCUUCGGGGAUCUCACUGGAGCUAUGAUCCUGUGAUGGUUCCUUCUCUUUGGGUGUCCACCUCCCGCGCCGAUACCCGUCGGGCGCUACGGUUCUAGAUGUAUUAGUGAUGCUAUAUGUAUGAUAGUAUUCGAGGAGUAUUAGUGAUAAUAUUCAACGAUGUACGGACAAAAGUGAUGAUGUAUUAGCUUAUAAUUGAAUGCAUGCUAAUUUGAAUACUGCUUUAUUUUACGAUUUGGUUUUGCUUAUUGAAUGCUCAAAUUGGAAAAGUACUCCUACUUUGAAUACUAUGCAGAAAUUUAGGAGUCCCGGGUGGAGCCACGACCCGGGACUUAAGUUGUUUUGGAACGGAGUUCCUGAUAGAAUAAUUCUUUUUUGGUACAAAGGUUAAGAGAAUCCGUUUUUUGCAGAACUAUGGAUCCACAUAUCAGGAACCUCGAAGAGGAAGAACUUCUCGAAGAUAUAAUCAAAGACGGCCCCGACGUUGAACCAGCUGAAUCUCCGUCGUCAUAUCUAAACCAGGACGUUGGAAUGGAGGUCGAGCGACACGAAGAUGAAGCCGAUGGGGCAGGAGAUAGGUCCAAUGACGGAGAAGGUGAUAGCUCCACUGAUGGAGAAGCCGGUGAAGAGGAGAAGUCCGGCGAGGUAUACAUAUGAAGUUCGACAAUCACUUGUAAUAUGUGAAAAAUAUUGGAGAUAGCUCUAUAUUGUAUACAUAUACAUUCAUUUGACGAAUGUUUCUCCCUCUUAGGCCUCCACAUCGAGCAAAACUACGAAACGAGGCCCGACUAGAAACUUGGAUGCACGGACGCAUUACACAUUUGAGGUGAUAUUUCCUACGGGCGAACCCAAGCUUCCUAAGAAUGCUGCUGACACAUUCAAGAAGCCAUGCGGAGUUCUCGUUAGGGAUCACGUCCCGAUCAGCGUUCGGGAGUGGAACAAGCGCAAAGGGGCAGCCGAUAGUGACUAUGUCGCCGAAAGGUACAAAGAUAAUCUUUGGAAUGAUCUCAUAUCACAUUUCAACCUGCCAGAAUGUGAGAAUGAAGACGCCGCAGACAAACUGAGGGCCAAAGUCAAGCAGUGGACUCUGAAGAAGAUGGCUGAACUGUUCCGUAGCUGGAAGAAGAAGCUAUGGAAAAACUAUCUGAAGACACAGAAAGUGCCAGUAUUCGACGGGUAUCUAGCCAAGCAGGCGAAUCACUGGAAGGCAUUUCAAGAGUACAAGGAGUCAGAAGAUGCCCAGGCAUUAUCAGAAAAGAACAAGAUAAAUGCCGACAAGAAGAAAUAUCACCACAAGCUGGGGCCAGGGGGCUAUGAGACUGCCAUCCCAAAGUGGGAUAAGAAAGAUCAAGAUCUGAUAGAUAAAGGCAUCGUACCUGAACCACUCCGUGAUGAGUGGGAAUUGAGAGCAAGAAAUUGGUUCCUUGGGCAUGGUGGGUCGUACGACGAAACAACAGGGGACCUCAUCUGCAAUGACGAGCUUAGGAUACCCAGGGAGAAUUGGAAAAGGAUAGUGAAAGAAAUUAAGGAGGGACAAAGAAAGUUCACUGCAGAUAGAGAUAAAGAUUUGCUCACACUGGUCCUCGGCAAUGACGAACAUGGAGGACGAACGCGAGGCUUCGGUCCUUCUUACCCGUGGUGGCUUGGGUUUGCCAGAGACCAAGACACUUACAGAAGCCGAGAGAGAGCAAAGAAGCAGCAGCAGGAUGAGGAGAAUGACAAGUUCAACCAGUUGCUUGCCAGGAUUAACGAGCAACAGAAGCAGAUUGAUGAGCUUAGAGGAGUACCGCGCCAGGAAGAUCCUGCACUUGAUAUUACCGGCGCCCCAUCUAAGCGGAAAAGCAGCGUGGCUGAAUCUGAGGCCCCGCCCGAUGAUGAACGAAGAAUGAUAGAGGGCGGUCCCGGCUACCCCAUGGAUGGAAUCAAGGAGUCAACAUCAUGUGAACUCCAUCAGAAAUUCAAGAACAUAUCCAUGAAGGUGGCCGUCGGACAGUCGAUCCCACCCCUCAAGGUGUUAACCGAGAAUGUUCCCCCUCCGGUGUAGGGGCAAGCUUUUGAAAGAGCAAAGGAGUUGGCGGAUGAAUGUGGUAUCUCGGUUGAAGAUUUGCUCGCUUCCCAAGACGACAGGAUACCCAAGGCUGUGGUAGCCCCUAAGCCACAGUUUGUCAUGGGAGAGCCUUUGGUCAGCAAAGAUGAUCUCCCAACAAAUAUGCGUUACUUGCAUAAAUGGUACUUAAGUGAAUCAAAGAAUGGGAGAACGAUGAUCGUGUUGAGUGUCCCACGGGAGUACUACGGCCGCUCCGAAGAAAUCCAUAUCGACUUUGAUGAACUCUUCCAGAUGUACAAUGGCGACGCCCUCGACAAAUUGCUUAUGAGUUGCUAUUGUCUGUAAGUUUUUUAAUUCGUUGUCUAUAUAUAACUUGUUUAGUUAUUUCAAUUCAUUGUCUAUAUAUAACUUGUACUCUAUUAUGCAGAAUGAAGAGUCUGGAGUGUAAAAGUAAGAGCAUCCUAAAUAUUGGGUUUAUUGACCCAGAUAAAAUACAUAUAGCGACGUUAACUAACAAACCCAAGGAGACGGAGGAAAACCUUCUAAGGUUUCUAACAGAUCAAAAUUUCUAUGACCACAUACUGUUUCCAUACAACUUCAGGUGAGGGUCUUUACUCUGUUGUGUCCAUUCACUUAUAAGUGUAAUUGAUAAGUUACUGACACACACACACACACACACACACACAUAUAUAUAUAUACAUGUGCAGCUUUCAUUGGAUUCUGUUGGACAUUCAAAUUGAUAAGGGAAGAGUUGAUGCCUUCGACCCAUUAUCGAGACCCUUGGAACAGUUCCAAAGCCUGCAGGACAUGCUCCAAGGGUAAUUUUAAUCAUUCUUGCACUCUAUCGGUCUCUUUUGAUGAUUUUCUGAUAUAUCAAUUAAUGAAAAACUUAGCAAAUCAUUAUCCUUGUCGGGCAGGGUUUGGAAGCGGUUCAAGUGCGUGACUCCCGGUAACUUUCCUGAGAAGCUGACCUUUAGAGCGGCCCAGGUAAGUAGUAGUAUGAUAUACUUCUAUUUUCAAUACAUUUAUGAUGCUAGAUUAUUAUUUUGAUUAUAUAUAUUCUAUUCUCGUAAAGUGUGACCAGCAGCCACGGGGAACGCAUCUAUGCGGAUACUAUGUUUGCGAGACCAUUCGCACGUUUACCUCUGAGUUCAAGGAUCACAGAUUCGACGUAAGCAAUGAACAUUCACACCUCUAUUUUUACCCGUCAUUCUUUGUUAUCAUGAUUGAUAUUCAUAUUCAUCUCCUCUUCUUAUAUAGCACACGGCCAUGAGGACGAAGGUCCUACCACAGCAACGCGCGAUUGCUGUUGCAGAGGAGCUUGCGGGAUUUCUGAGGACGGAAGCUAUAGAAGACAAAGGACGAUUUAGUGUAGCUAAGGGCCAUUACUGAUGUUCGUCCAUGUAAUCGAAUAGACGGGCUCUAGUCCCGAUAAUUCAGAUCUCCAUAUAAUUGUAUAUAUAUGAUCGCUUGUAAGAUAAGUUAAUCUUAUAUAUAUAUAUAUAUAUAUAUAUAUAUAUAUAUAUAUAUAUAUAUAUAUAUAUAUAUAUAUAUAUAUAUAUAUAUAUAUAUAUAUAUAUAUAUAUAUAUAUACUAAUACUAMGUACUACUAACUACUAACGAACUACGUAACGACUAACGUACUACGUACUACUAACACCGUAACCAACCUUAAACAAACCUAACUAACUAAUAACCUAAACUAACAAACCAAUAACGAUAACNNNNNNNNNNNNNNNNNNNNNNNNNNNNNNNNNNNNNNNNNNNNNNNNNNNNNNNNNNNNNNNNNNNNNNNNNNNNNNNNNNNNNNNNNNNNNNNNNNNNGACUGUCAGUCACACGAGAUAAUACACGAAGGCGAAGGAAGGAAAGAAGGAAAAUACCAAACAAUGGAUCCGCCCGAUGCCUACGACAAGAGACCUUGCGUGGCGACGGCGUCGGCCGGGUCGGGGUAAACCGGUAGGRGKGKGGGUGGGGUGAGGGGAGGGAGGACGACCAUGAGAGUGCAGCUCCGCUGAAGCAAGACGUAACAAUAAUAUAGCAUGGCGGCAACUUCGCCCUUGUUCUUUGUCUACCGAUUGAUUAGAUCACAAGAUGGAGCAAGCCCCCCUCUGCGCCUUUUUCUUCUUCUUUGCCUUUGGUGGCUGCAGUACCACCUUUAUUGCCGCAUCAAAUACACCCUUGACAU